UACUUUGCUAUCGGUAGCACGGAGCGCUUCGUGCUACCAAGUUGUUUUUGAUGAUGCGGUUUCCAAAUCGAUGAUCGGCUCCGUUAGACUUGAUCUAUACUAUUGAGAGUAUUUGAAAAUUAAAUUUCAGAUUUUUUCGACAUCAUUUAACUAGUGAUCAAAAGAUCUCAAAAUUGACAAUUUUAAUGGCCGAUGUGGUGUGCUUGUGAGUUUAACGGUGUAAAAUAAUCCAAAUGCGAUGAAAAUUUUAUAGAAAAUUCUUUUCACUAUUUAGAGUAAGAUCAGAUAUACUGAUCUUGAAUUUAAAUUUUUUAUCAUCAUUUUUCAUGAGAUUUUUAUUUUCAGCCGUUCAAUUUUAGACUACUUGUUUGAUAGGUAAAUGAUAUCGAAAAAUUCUGAAAUUUAGUUUCUAAAUACUUUCAAUAGUGUAGAUCAAGUCUAACGGAGCCGAUCGUCGAUUUGGAAGCCGUAUCAUCGAAAACUACUUAGUAGCAUAGAGCGCUUCGUGCUACCGAUAGUAUAAUAGCCUAGCUCGUCUUAGCAACUGCUUUUGCUGCAAACAAAAUGCAGAGGUAGCAAAUUCAAGCUGCACUUCAAUUACGCUCCCUUUUUUUUUUUCUUUUCUUUUUUUUUUUUUUUUUUUUUUUUUUUAAGUUUUAGUGAAUUCAUGAGCCAUGAAAGGUUCAUAUAAAUUAACUUGGGUAUCCUUGGAGAAACAUGAACAAAAUUACAAAUAUAUCCAUCAACAAUCCAUUAAUAAAUUUUUUUUUUUUUUUUGUUUUUUGACAGACAAGCCCAUUAGGCUUAUUGGGCUGGAAAAAGAACUAGUAAGAAAUGUCUAGAGAUGGGCAUAUCAAGAGGCCCUAUACUUUCCAGAUUUUAGAUCUUGGUCCGUUUGGUCUAAUUUCUGCUUCUACUUUCGCCGCGAUGAUUUAUGUUAAGUUGUUGGUAAGUUGACAUUUAUGUUUCCAAUUUUACUGGAAAUGUGGGAUAGAAUACAAAAUUACGAAAUUUAUUUGGUAUGUUAAUAGCAUCUAUAAUAGAUACUUUCUAAAAAGGCUAGUCCGGUAUGUUUUAGAAAUUCAAAAUUAUCUCAUGGCUUCUGAAUAUCCAAUUUGAAAAGCCAAUUCAAUAAAUAAUGUUUAUUAUAUAUCAACUUUUAACCUUUAGACUAAUAUUAUUUCACUUGCCACCACUAAAUUUUAGACAUCUAAGGCUUUGUUUGGGAUUGCGAGGAAAUUGCGUUACGUGCGGUUAUAAACGGCGAUGGAAAAAUACCCUGAUUGUUUUCGUACGUAAUAUUGCGUUCUGCAUAUUGCGGUUAGUCGGUUACGAUAUAUUUUCUGCGGUCUCAUCGGAAAAUGCAGAACAAACCUCAAUACCAAACUAAGUCUAAAGACUAAAAAGUAGAUAAUUUAUAUAUUUUGAGUUUCCUUUUGAGUAUACAUAAAAAAAAAAAAAAGGUAAUGAAAAGUAUGAGGGGUUCUGGUGCCAACGUGCGCGCAAUCUCACAUGAAACCUCCCAUUAAAUUGAAUGCUUAACAACUCAUUAGAAAGAGACAAAAUAUUAAUAAAAAGAAAGAGAGUUACAUUUCAUAUCACUAACCCAACAACCGACAUGUCAAUUGCCAUGCUUAAUUGCCUCUUGUUGAGGCAAAAAUUUCAACCAUUGGAUAGAAAGGGGCGACAGAAAAUCUCGGCCGUUCGAUGGACGUAUGCUGUUUAGUAAAUGAUAAGCAUCCCAAAAUUUUCAGAUACGGUCAAAAUUGAUAGGAUUCAGUUAUCAGAUAAGAUACCGACCGUUCCUAGAGCAAGUGGCAAAAGACUUGGUGGUUGGUAUCCGAGACCCAAGUUUGAAUCCUAGUUGAUUCACAUUUCCAGCUAAGUUUAUUUCUAAAUGAAAUAAACGAAGCAGGUAGCGUGCUAUCUAUCUCUCUCAAAAAAAAAAAAGAAAAAAAAAGUGGGAGUUUAUUUGGUAGUAGUAGAAGUAGUGUACAUUUCGGCCUACCUGUAGACUUUGACUUGAGAUCUCAGGGUUUUAAAGUUUCUCAUCUUCAACUGAGAGAUCAUUCAAAUCUAAUCUUCCAAGGUCGGACUGAUUCGAGCGGCCGAAUGUAGGUUAUUUAUUUAUUUAUUUUUUUUGAGAGAAAGGUAGCAUGCUGCCCGCUUCGUGAAUGUAGGUUAUUUAUUUAUUUAUUUUUUUUGAGAGAAAGGUAGCAUGCUGCCCGCUUCGUGAAUGUAGGUUAUUUAUUUAUUUAUUUUUUUUGAGAGAAAGGUAGCAUGCUGUCCGCUUCGUUUAUUUUAUUUAGAAAUAAACUUAGCUGAAAAUGUAAAUCAAUUAGGAUUCGAACUUGGGUCUCGGAUACCAACCACUAAACCUUUUGCCACUUGCACUAGAGACGGUCGAUGGCCGAAUGUAGGUUAUUGAUCUAUAAAAUACCUCUACUUUGAUCCAAAAGGGUGGUUUAAUAUAUGGAUUAACCGAUAAUUAUAAUGUAUAAUAGAAACGUUAAAAUAAAUUUUGGGUCGAUUUUUAUUAGAUUGAUAUUGUACCUAAUAUAAUAUCGAGCUAAUUUUAAACCCUAUAUGUUAUAAUAUGUUAUGGUAUAAGCAUAUAUUCCUGUCGAAUUAGGCUACUAUAUUAUAUAUAGUACCGGAGCUUUGGUACUAUAGUUUUGUUUUCGAUCUUAGGGUGUUCAAAUUAAUGAUCCACACUGUUAAAUAUGAUCUAGGGUAUAUGAAGUUCUUAGGAAUAAAAUUUUAAUUUUUUUCGACAUCGUUUACUUAGUAAAUAAAUUAUGUCAAAAUAGACGGUGGGAAUCGAAUAAUCUUUAAAAUUUGAGUAUAAGACUUUUAAAUUCAAGAUCAAGAAUGUUAACUUUAAUCUAAAUAGUUUAAAGUAUUUUCUAUCAAAAUUUGAAGAAAUUUAUAUUUUUCUAUACCGUUAAACUCCAAACUCGCCAUCGUAGCCAUUGAAAAUUGACAAUUUUGAAAUGGUUUGAUCAUAAAGUAAACUAUGUCGAAAAAAUAUAAAAUUUUAUUUCUAAAAAUUUUAAAUAUCCUAGAUCAGUUUUAACGUUGUGGAUCGUUGAUUUGAACACCCUAAUAUCGAAAACAAAACUAUAGUAUCGAAGCCCCCGGUACUAUAAAUAGUAUAGGAGACUAGUUCUAUUCCUGUCUAUUAUUUUUAUAUCUUUUUUGUUAUCUCUUUGGAAAAUCUCCUUGGUGGAGCAUAUGUAAGAGAAGUUAUAAAGUUAGUCAAUAUACAAAGUAUUUUUCAUAUAGAACUUAUCUGAACUAUAAACUAUUUUUAAUUGGCUAUCCACUUUUAAAUCUUUUAUUUUACUAUCCAACUUUUAGUUCGCUUGAUUUAAUUCAAUCAACAAUGAAUGUGUCGUUUAUCUUUACAUAUUUAGUUAGUAUAUAUAUUUCACACAAUUCUUGCAAUUACAAAUUUAUUAAAUUAAAAUAAUUAGUUUAAAUUUUUAAGUCAAAAUAUCAUUAAUUGACUUAGAUUAAAUAAAUUAAAAGCCUGGAUAGUAAAAUUAAAAUUUUGAAAUAUUGGAUAGUCAAUUAAAAAUGGUUCAUAGUCUAGAUAAGUUCUAUAUAUUUGUAUUUGUAAUUUAUUAGAUGAGUUUUACAGCAUGUACAUACUCUAUUUCUUUUUCAAAUACUGUUUUUUUUCUCCUCAAAUGAAAUAACAAUAUCCUUCUCAUAAUGCUGGUUUUCUAAUAUUUUGUUAGCUUAUAAAUUCUAGAGUUCAUUGUCAUAUUUGUUACUUAGAUCAAAUUUGAUUUUGAAAUAUGUAAGGGCCCCUUAGUGUUAACUAUUAAGUUGCCUUCUAAAACCACAUUGAGCAACAAUAAUGUGAUAAUUGGUAUUUACCUUAUUCCUAGGAGCAACCCAAUUUUCAUCCAGACGUAAAAUUGGUCUAGUUCCUGCUUAUACCUGAAUUUGUACCUUUUCCUCGAACAAACAGUUCUUACUUAUACCCGAACGAAACGCAGCCUUAGAGAUUCCGAGUGUUCACCGCAUCUAGUGGACUAUUAGACCCACUAUUUUGUUUCUUAUUAAAUGUGAUUUUUUUCGUAGCGUCUUUUUUUUAAUUAAUACAGAUUGAUUUUCUUUAGGCAGUGUUUGGUUGAGGGAUAAAGUGGGAAUAGUCCACUUUAUCCCUCUAAUUCAUCCAAACACUAGAAGGCUUAAUGAGUUUAUUUAAUCCCUCUCUUAACGAGUUAUUCUAGAAUAACCCGUUAAGAGUGGGGAAUUGUUGUUCCGCCCUUUUCGUGGAAUAACAAUUUCUUCUCUUUAUACCUCUACUAAUUUAAUAAUAAAAUAUUAUUAAUUAAUGUAUUAUAUAAUAUUUUAUUAAUUAAUUAACUAAAUUAAUAAUUAACUUAGUAAUAAAAUAUUGGCUAAAUUAAUAACUAUUUAUUAAAGUUUAAAAUUUAAAAUUUUAAUUUUUUAAAAUUGUAAAUUUGAGAUUUUAAAAUUUUAAAAUUUAAAAGUUUAUAUUUUAAAUUUUAAAAUAUAAAUAUAAAAUAUAAAAAUUCAAAUUCUAAUAUAAAGAAAGGGAUAAUACCAUUAUUUUUUAUUUAUACUACUCACUUUAAUUCUUAUUCCAUCUUAUUUAACCAAACGCUAUUUUUUUUAUUUCCAGGAAUAACCCAAUUUUCAUCCAAACAUAAAAUUGAUAUAAUCUCCGCUUAUACCUCAAUUUAUAUCUAUCAUUGGAAUAACCACUUUUUAUUUAUUCCCGAACCAAACGAUACCUAAUAGGGUUUUGGCGUGCUUAUUUUUUCCACCUUUCGAACUUCUCCUUUCUCUCUCUUCCUCUUUGUCUCUGUCUUUGCCAUGUCGAUCCGCCAUUACCUCUAUGUUUGUUCGUAUUAAACUGGCUCUUUCUUAGAAUUUCAAUGCUAAAACUCACUAGUACACUCUGAAUCUGACUCAUUUGCUGAAGUUUUUGACUAUCUAUAUUGUUUUGAAAGCUCUUCAAGACAUUCAUUUGCUGAAACUACAACUAUUAUUUUAGAGCGCAUGUUUUCUGUUUGCUAUAUUUUGACCUACGCCCUAAUGGAACAAACUAAAAAUACGUCAAUUGGAGAGAGUAAUUAUACACAGUAAUAUAAUCUUAUAUGCCCAUUCAUAUCCUACAUAAAGUAAAUUUUGUUUAAGAUUAUAAAAUUUGUAAAUGCGGGUUCCAAGUGCAAACAAUCAGGCAAAAAAAUUAUAAUUGCAUUAAUGUCGACAGUGAAGUAAGCAAGAUGCAAAUAUUAUAGAUAUAUAUCUAUAAUUGUAUGCAUCUCCAAUUGUAUUGUAUCUACAUAAUAUUUCAUUUUUAUAAUAUUUGGGUGUUUUUGAUGUCAAAAUAACAGGUUAGAAACUUAAUUAAAAGUUGAGUUUUAAUGCAAAAACAUUUCAAAUGUCUUAAAUCACAUUGAUCAGAUCAUAAAUUUUAACCUGAAGACAUUUAUAACUCAGAAAAUGCUAAUACUAUUAAUAGUAAGCAGGUUGAUACUAUAGUCUUAUUUUUGACGAUAAAGCAUCCGACUUUAUAAUUCAUUCCGUUGAAUAUGAUUUAUGAUAUUUAAAAUAUUUAGCAAUCACGCUUGGCAUUUUUUACAUUACAGUUACUGAACAAUUAAGUCUCAAAAGAACAAUAAAGUGAAUAGUGAAAAUUAAAUAAUCUUAGAAACUUAAGAAUAAGAUUAUUCAAUUUAAGAUCCAUGGCAUUAAUUUUGAUGGAAAUAUUUCAAAGUAUUUUUUAGUAGAAAUCAGACUUGUUUGAAUUUCUUCGCAUUGUUACACAUCAAAUAACUCGUUCUGGUCAAUAAAAACUAUUAUUUUUAAGACCUAUUAAUUCUUAGAUAAUUGUUGUGAAAAAAAAUAUAAAAUCUGAUGUCUAAAUCCUUCGAUCUCGCAAUCACAGGAUCAGGAGUGGGAUUGGCACACAGAAAUGUUGCGAAAGUCUUUAAAUAUUCUCAAUUAUGUUCAUUAGAGUGGAUCAUCAGUUUGAAACCUGUACGAUUCAAGAAGAGGCGAUAUCACUAACUCCUAUAUACUAUCAAAAGUAUAAUAGUAUUUUUCUUUAGUUCCUUUCUAGAUGUUAAAGUAAUAUAUCUAAUUAAUGAUAACUUAUUCGCUAAGAUGAUUUUCUUGUGUGAUUGGAAGCUAAAAUUUAAUUUUUGCUCCUAAAAAAAAUUUGGUAUCAAAGAUUUUAUAAGGUAGCAUGUUUUAUCAACAAAGUGAUUUAUUAUACUCAAAAAAAAAACUUUUGGGGCUUUUUUUGCAUUUAGCCCCCGGCAAAUUUUUAUUUUGAAACUUGUCCUAUCAAAAUUUAAUUUGCAAAAAUGGCCAUGAGCCUGCCACGCAGGCGCCACGUCAGCGCCACGCGAGCAUGGCCGGGGCCAGUGUGUUAAGUUGUACACGGUAAACCAUUCACCAUGUUCAAACACGGUGAAUGGUUCGCCGUGUUUUUUAUUUGUAUUCCUUUUUUUUUUUUUUUUCCUUUUUCAAAAAUCUGAACCCGAAUCCGAACCCGAAAAUCAAAUUAAAACUCAAACCCGACGGAUUUUAAAAAUUCAUACCCAUAUUCAUAUCCGACCAAAAACUCGAAAUCCAAACCUAAACCCAGCGAGUUUUAAAAAUUUAUACCGUUGAAUGAAGAUCUAAGGAAUAAAAAUUAUUAAAUAUUUUUUAUAUUGUAUAAAUAAAUAAAAAAUAAAUUAUGUAUAUAUAUAAUUUAUUCGGGUUUGGGUUCGAAUAAUAUUUCGGAUAUCCAUACCCAUUGACAUCCCUACUCUCUAUUCCUCUUUUCAAUAUUUAUAUUGCGAAAAAUACAUAUAUUUGUAUUUUUUCUAGACAUGGUAAACCAUUUACCGUGUUUGGACACGGUGAAUGGUUCACCGUGUUUAACUUAACUACCGCCCCCAGCCCCGCUCACGUGGCGCUGACGUGAUGCUUGCCUGGUAGGGACGGGACCAUUUUUGCAAAUAUAAAUUUGCUGGGGUUAUUUUUAAAAAUAAUUUUUUUAAGGGUCCAAUUGCAAAAAAAAGCCCUAACUUUUGGUUCCUCAAAAAAUCGUGAAAACUGUUUUCAAAAUUUUUUUUAUGAAAAACAGUCUUUACAUAUUUUUUCCCAAAUAAAAAAAUCUAAAAAAAUAAAAAAUAUUCUAGUAAAAAUUAUUUUUCUUGGAAUCAAUAGGACAAAAAGUAUUUUUUCAACGAAAAAACUAUUUUUUAAAAUUAUUUUUAAAGAAUAAACAUUUUUGAAAGAGAAUACGUUAUCCACCCUAAAUAUUUGAUUAUACUUAUCAUCUUUCAAAUACUGCAUGCUUCUUGAGUAAGUGGGAGGAUAUAUGGAUUCAUAAUGUUCACGCAUCCAAAAACAACUUUUUAAUUUAUUGUACACAAACAAUUUGGUGCACUAUGUGCAUGCAGAAAUAAAUUUUAUUUCUCCAGCCGCACGACACUCUGUCAAACGAUACUCUCUCAAAGAUCGAAUAUGGUACUCACUCUAAACAUUCGAUUACACUUCUCGUCUUCUAAAUACUGCAUGCUUUUUGAGUAAUUUAGAGGAUAUAUGGACCACGACGUUUGCGCAUCCAAAAAGGGCCUUAUAUCUGAAUAUAACGGGCGGUGCACAAGCAAUUCGGUGCACUGGGUACACGCAAAAAGAAAAAAUCUUUCUUUCUCGAGCCGCACGAAACAGCCGUAUUAGGGGAGAAGAGAGUGCCCACAAAAAAAAAAAAAAAAAAAAAGAAAAGAAAAAAAAAAGCAAAAGAUAACAAAAUAUCGAGCUAUAAAUUAGUCAAACAUAGUUCGCUCUUGUUCCUCUUUUCCUUCACUCAACCUCUUCACGUUGUGGAUUAUUCGAAGCUCCGAUUAACGAUUUUUUCCCCAAAAAGGAGAGGAGAUAGGGCGUCGAAUUCGACGCCGAAAGAGCGAUUUCAUCGUAUUUUCGGGCCAAUUUUGGUGCGAAUUCGUCUCGUAUUGAGGAGUCGGCGCUGGAUUUAGCUCUUAAUCGAGGAUUUGUAGCUGUUUCUCGUCGAAUUUGUGAGCUGGGUUUGGGUGGGAUUGGGGCAUGUCGCUCUUCCGGAAGCUGUUCUACAAGAAGCCGCCCGAUGGGCUUCUGGAGAUCUCGGAGAACAUCUACGGUACGAAAAAGCGCUUUUUUUUGGGUGUUGUAAUGGUGGUGUGUGUUGAAAUGUUGUGCUUUUGCUUUUGGCUUGCUAAUUUGUUGCCAAAGUUUGCUCCUUUUUGUCUCUUUAAGCUCUAUUGGUGCUUGGCUGUGGAGAAUUAAUUUCCAUUUUUAGCACAAGGGAGUUAAUGGCCCUUUUUAGGAAUUGCAUUUUCUUUGAGAGUACAAAGUGGGCAAAUAGAGUUAGAAAUGGUAGAGUUGGUUGUAGGUUAGGAGAGGUAGAGUAUGUAGGAACUAGGGUUUCGAAAUUGAUGUUUGCUAUGCACUAUUUAGUGUAAGAGGAUUUAUAGGAACCUAAGAAUACAUCAUCGAGUCUAUAUUUGCUAAGAAAAGAAUGGCUUUGCUGCAUUAACUAAAUUAGGUCUACCGCGGCCUAAUUUAGUUAAUAGAAGCAGUUGCAGUAGCUCCUGUGGGGGCUGCCGGGGCGAAAUUUCCCUCAUGUGGCGGCAACUCUAUGAGUCUUGGUGGAAUGUCAUGGCAUUUUGCGUUUACGGGAGGUGACAUGGCGACUCUUGACCCGCCAUGGCACCCAAUAUGAUUAGUGAUGUGGAAGCCACUUAGAAUCGAGGAAUAUAUUUUGAGUGAUUUUACUUUUCUUCUUGAUGAUAUGCGACGUUACUCGUUCUUUCUAUUACCUGUCAUUGAUAUUCUCAAUGUUAUAGAAUUGAAUUUUGUGAUCUCUAGAUUUUAUAAUUAGCCUUUUGCAUGAAUGUCAUAUGAAAGAUUAUUGAUUGCAUGGUGAAAAUUGAGUUUUUAAGUACUUAGGAAAAGGAAUUAGGAAGAAAUGUUGGAUGUUCACUUUGGGCUCGUACUGAGCAGCAAGCUGUGUAAUGUUGCCAUCCAAUAUUUGUUAGGUGAAUGUCUAAUUUGAAUCAUGAGGAUGGUUCGGAUGAUCUUUAGGAUGUGAUCCGCCAUCAGAAGCUGCCGAUGGGUGGUUAGAGUAUCUUUAAUUGUAUCUUGGCAGUCAACUUUAGUUUGGCUUUUGUUCGUGAACCCCAAUCCACAUCUUAUGUGGAUCGGGUUGAAUUUAAAUGGGCCAAUGUGGACACACCACAUGGCAACAGUUCGGAAAAAGUAGAGUUUAAUCAAGUUAAUGAGUCAAAUUGAGGCUUGUGGUAGCUCUUCAUUUCUUGAGAUUUUGGACAAUUUUCAUUGAUCCUACUUAUAGAUUACUAUCUAAAGAGUCCAAAUAGAGCUGUUUGAAAUCUGAGUGAAGGAAAGUAAUACAAUUUCUACUCUAUACUUAAUAGUAAAAAAUUAUUUUGCAUGCUUAUCAUAAUUGAGUUGCUUUUCAUUAUAUUCUAGGCUGUUACUUCUAAAGCAAGGAUUAAGUGCUGUGGCACAGGGCUGUGCCAAGCACAUGUCGGCGCGGUAUGACACGGUGCGUGUUGUGCCGUGCUGACAUGUACCCUUCAGAAAUAUACUUGUGUGCGGACACGCAAUGGUGUGAAAUAUUUAUUUCUUUUGCAUCGAUAUAUUCUAAUUGCUUAUUAUAUCUCUUUAUCAAAUCUUGUGCACUUUGUUGAUGCAACUACUUGCUAAUUUCAAAGAAAUGCGGGUUUUGGACCUUGCCAUUGGGACGGGCGUCAUAUCGUAUAGAUGUUUUGUCGGCACAGUGGGCACGGCCCGUGCCGAUGGGCACUUAAACCCUUGUUCUAAAGUACAUUCUCUGGAAAAAAACAACUUUUAGUUAGGACACUUGUGCUUUUCAAUUUUUUUCUCUUCUGCAUAGUAAGGAGAUUUUAUAAGGUCUAUUUAGCCUAGUUUGUUCGGGAACAGACCCUGAAAAGUUAGAUCAUCGUCAUUGCUAAAUGGAGAUGCUUUUGAGAAGAUCAGGUUUUUCUUCUUUUACGGUCAGUAUUGUUGCUAUCACUAUUGAUUCUUUUCAAGUUGAUCCGAUGGAACAAGCUUUCUAUUAAUAAUAAACUUUUUACCUAUAGCGUUCGAUUGCUGCUUCUCCACUGAUUUUUUGGAAGAAGAUGAGUUCAAAGACUACUUGGGAGGCAUUGUAGCACAGCUCCAUGAACAUUUUCCUGACGCCUCGUUCAUGAUCUUCAAUUUUGGUGAUGGGGAUAGAGAAAGCCAGAUAGCCCGAAUUCUCUCAGAGUAUAAUAUGACUGUGAUGGACUAUCCCCGCCAUUACGAGGGUUGCCCUUUACUGCGUGUUGAGAUGAUCCAUCAUUUCUUGAGGUCGAGUGAGAGUUGGCUUUCUUUAGGACAUCAUAAUUUUUUGUUGAUGCAUUCUGAGCGAGGGGGGUGGCCUGUUCUGGCUUUCAUGUUAGCAGCUCUUCUUGUGUACUUGAAGCAGUAUAGUAGUGAGCAGAAAACCUUGGAGAUGAUUUACAAGCAAGCUCCUCCUGAGCUCUUGGAACUGCUUUCUGCUUUGAAUCCCGUGCCUUCCCAGCUGAGGUACUUGCAAUACAUCUCAAGGAGAAAUGUCGCCUCAGAGUGGCCUCCUGAUGAUCGAGCGCUUACCAUGGAUUGCGUGAUAUUGAGGAUGAUCCCAAACUUUGAUGAUGAAGGUGGUUGCAGGCCAAUUUUCCGAAUUUAUGGUCCGGAUCCUCUUAUGCCUACUGAUCAAACUCCAAAAGUUCUUUUUUCAACUCCGAAGAAAAGUAAAUUUGUCCAGCUUUACAGACAGGUAAUUAUUUAUUUGUUAUGUGUUUGUUUUUAUUUUUUAUAUAAACAGCGUUAAAUGCACUUCACCUUUGCAAACACUAGCAUUUGAUGAUCUCGCUUUUCAUAAUUUGUAAUAUAUAUUUUUUCAUCGUACUGAUACAGCUAGAUGUUGAGGUGCAAGUUGUCGCGAGACUAAUCCCAUAUUAUCAUGUUUCAUACUAGAAAAUACUUAUUAGAAGCAAAAAAUAAAUCUACUUCUUUGCUUGCAUCUGAACUAUCAGCUGCAGCAGAAAACUAACUCUUUUACUUCUAACUUUUUUUCCUGUUGCUUGUCAUGGAAUUCAGGCUGAUUGCGAACUAGUUAAAAUUGACAUGCACUGCCAUAUUCAAGGAGACGUAGUCCUUGAAUGCAUCCAUCUAGAUAAGGAUCUAAACGGGGAAGAAAUGGUGUUUCGUGUCAUGUUUAAUACUGCUUUCAUUAGAUCGAACAUAUUAAUGCUGAAUCGUGAUCAAAUAGACAUUUUGUGGGAUGCAAAGGACCAGUUUUCUAAUGAAUUUAGAGCUGAGGUAUGUGUUUUUGUCUUUAGAACUUAUUUUUACCUUGGUUGAUUGCAAACUUAAUUAAGUUUGACCCCAGUUCAGUUUCCUUCUUAUGAGUUCUGAUUUAACAAUUUAGUCCUUAAAGUAUGAAUCCAAUUUUGAUUUCCACCUGUCAAGUCUAAAAUUAACAAUUUAGCCCUGGAAAUUUAACCCCCCUCUUUAGUUUCAUGUUAAGAGUGUCAAUUUUAAUGAAGCAAAACUCUGAGGAUGGCAUUGACAUGGCACUUUUUUCAGAAGGUAAACUAUUAGAAGGACUUAUUUCUCAUGCGGAAUAUGGUUUGAAGACUAAACUGUGAAAUUUGAGAUGAUGAAUAUGAAUUUUGAAAGCAAAACAGGAUUGAACUUUAGGGACUAACUUUGCUUUUAAACCUUGUAUUUUCCACUGUCCCUCUUAUGGCGUGCGGUAUUUCUUAUAUGAAGAUUCUUUUUUCGGAGAUGGAUACAACGCGAUCAUUUGUCACGUUGAAUUUUUCUUGUGAGGAGAAAGGACUCCCCGUAGAAGCAUUUGCCAAAGUUCAGGAGAUCUUCAACAAUGUAGAUUGGCUAGGUGUGAAGGGGGACGACGCACUUCAUGCACUACAGCAAAUAACAACGCCGUCGCCCGAGAAGUCUAAUGCCGUUGCUGGACAGAAAUUAGGAACUGAUUUUAUUUCAUUUGAAACAAGUCCUGACAUUCUUGUGGAAAAAUUGCAAAAUGGUAAACCCAAUGAAAUCUCGAGAUCUGGAAAUUCAGAAGUGGCUUCCUUAACUCCGCAUUCACUUUCAAAUAGUUCUUUUGGUUUAGGCCAGCCUUAUGAAAAUGGUAUAUCAGCAGUCUUACCGCCAUCUCCGCCGCCGCCUCCUCCGCCGCCUCCUCCGCCACCACCAUAUUUUUCAACAGUUGAUAAACGUAGAAUAUCAAAAGUUCUUCCUAAUCCUUCUCUUCCUACUACUACUGUUUCCUCAUCACCAUCAUCAACUGCAAAGUUUGCUCCACUGCCACCGCCUCCGCCGCCACCACUUCCACUUUCAAAGGCGAAACCUGUUUCUUCCCUUUCUCGGGAAUCGGUCCCCUCAAACUCUUCACUAUCUAAUACAACAAUUUCUAUACAGCCAACGCGUCAACAACCUUCGAUCAACAUCUUAAAUAAGAAAUCUACCGAAAUCCCUACCCAUCCUCUACUGCCACCAGGCACCUCAUUAGUUCCUCUUCCUUGUACUCCACCUAUUAAAAAGGCAUCUCCUCCCCAGCCUCCGCCACCUCCUCCUCCUCCUCUACCUUCUCCACCUGCAUUUUCACGUGCUAAAUCUUCUCUAGUUGCAUCUACACCUUCAACUCCAUCUAGCAUCCCUCGACCUCCUCCUUUGCCUCAAGGUUUUCCUAAUCUUUCUUCUUCUUCUAUAAAGAAGGUAGCAAACAUGACAAAUGCUCCCGCCCUGCCGCCGCCACCACCACCUCUACCACCACCUCUACAUUCUUCGCCUUCUCUAUUUGCAUCUAGACCUUCACCACCAUCUAGUAUUCCUUCCCCACCUCCGCUACCCAGUACCUCAUCAAUUCCUUGUCCUUGUCCUUCGCCUUUAAACAGGGCAGCUAGUAUGAAAAGCACAAUUCCCCCACCACCCCCACCUCCAUGUUCUGGGUCUUCUCCAAAUGCAUCUAUACCCUUAGCACCUCCCCCACCCCCCCCACUAUCAAAUUUUACCCCGCAGAAAUCAUCCCCUGUUCCACCUGCACCGCCGCCUCCGAUUCUUGCUAAGGAAUCCUUGAAAUUUUCUCAGCCUACUUCGGAGAAUACGAGAAUAGGCAAUGGUCCUGUGCCGCCUCCACCUAGUACUUUAAUGCCCCUUAGUUCACUCGGUAUUAAAAGCCGUAACGUAGCACACUCCAAAAGCCCAAGGAGCUUGCACUCUCUCCAAACAUCAUCCAAAAAAGCUUCUCUGAAGCCGUUGCACUGGGUUAAAGUAACAAGAGCAAUGCAAGGAAGUUUAUGGGCUGAGACGCAAAAAUCCAAUGAAGUAUCCAAGUAUCAAGCCCUCCUUGUUACAUCAUUUUCUUAAUUGAUCAUUGCAGAAGUAUGGAUCUUAUUUCUUUUCUUUGUUGUCUAUGCUAGGGCUCUGGAGAUUGAUAUGUCUGAACUUGAGAGUCUUUUUGCAGCAGUGGUUCCAAAUUCAGAUGCUCCUAAUUCGGGUGAAAAAUCAAGUCGGCGUGCCUCUGUUGGGGGAAAAUCAGAUAAAGUUCAUCUGGUAAGCUUUGCCUUAUACUUUUAUACUACCUGCUUCUGUUAUUUAAAUAUUUCUUUUCAACUUCUAAUCUUGUUUCUUCUUGACUUUAUUAAUUUUAUCGGCUGCUAUAUUUCAUUGUCUAGAUCAUCUUUACUUUUAUGGAAUUUUAGUUCAAAAUUUCAUAGAUGUAAUCAUAUCAUGGUAUAUGGAAGAGACCGCAAUUGGUCAAUGGGUUAAGGGGUAAAAAGGGGGGAGGGGGGCGCGGAAUCUAAGCAAGUUACAUGUUUCAUAUAUUUGUCUCAUCAUUAUCCUAUCAGAUUCAAGUAACAUUUUUACUGGCUUCUUUGAAAAAUUGAUCAAGUAAUUCGUGUAUGUAAUGGUAGGUAUUUGAAUUGUUGAAUCAAAUGCCGUAUUCAUUCUUGUCCAAUUAUUAUUACGAAAUUACAUGAGAAAACAGAUAGCAUUCAAGUAUUACUAGUACCAGGUUCUCAGGAAUCAUAUUCAGGGGAAUGUGACUCUUGAUGUUAAUCCUGUAAUCUCCAAAAGAAACACACAAGUGUCUCAUGGAAUGUCGAUGGGCAUGAGCACUUGCCUUGGAUCUACAUGCAUAUUUAAAUGCCAGAUUUGUCAAGACGAAGAAAUUAAGAUAAGGUCAUGUGACAAAUACCAAAUGCUUCCAUAUUUGGACAAAUGUAAGAGAAUCUUUUACUAGAAUGCUCUGUUGUCACCUGUUUGGCAGAUCAAGAAUUGAAUUCAAUUAAUGCGGUAAAUGCAACAACUAAAUAAUGGCAGUCUUAAGUGACAUUGUGAGAUGCAGGAUAUUUUCCUAUUUUAUCUAACUAAAAUUAACCAUAUUAACUUUGUCAGUUUAUCUUUUUCACCAUUUCUAGCUCCUUUAAUUUUUCAGCACGAUAAUAGUUUGCUCCAUUUCAUGAACUUUGAUUUGCCUUAAGGUAAUAAUAGGCCCAUUUUGAGAGACCGGCUCUUAGAUAAUUCUGAAUUUGAAAACCCAGCCUGAUGCCUAUACCAGAUUGGCUGAUGUGUAUCUGACAUAGGAAUGCAUGUGGACAUGGGUUUUAGUAGGAUGCUUGUGCCAAAUUAAGACGUGAAGCUUGGCAACCUUGCCGAACGUCUAGCUGAUGCUGGUUGGUCUGCUGGUCAGAACAGUAAAUUGGGAGUUUGCAAUUGGCUUUUAUGCUUUGCAUAGAAAAGGAAAAAGAUAGCACGAAAAAAUCUGGACAUCCUUCCAACACUCAAGGCGGACAAUAUAUAAGUUGGAUUUCAUAGCCUAAAAAGAUUGUGGGUUUUAGUUAUUGAUUGUCUAGAAGCUCAAGUAAUCUCUCUCUCUCUCUCUCUCUCUCUCUCUCUCUCUCUCUCUCUCUUUUGUUUUGCAUGUGAUUGAAUGGUUUUUGAUGUUGCAUGUGGGCAUUAUAGUGAGAUGUAAUUCUUCUUUAACUUGGUUCCAAUUCGAAAGAACUUAUUUGUAAGGUAACCACGUAUAGAUUGUUUCCUCAAUAAAAACUAGUUUCACUAACUCUUGUGUAAUUUUUUGGUGCAGAUUGAUCUUAGGCGGGCUAAUAACUGUGAAAUAAUGCUCACAAAAGUCAAGAUGCCGCUGCCUGAUUUGCUGGUACCAACUUUGACAUGUAAUCUUAUUCUUUCUGUGUACUUUGUUCUAGUGUAACUAAGAUGUAGUUCAUAUUGAUGAUCACACAGAAGUUUUGGUAAUUAAUUAUUAUGUACGUAUCUUUAUGAGAAUGAGCUAUAGGAAAGAACUUAAAAGUUUGAGCUAAAACUUCCUUACAAUAAGCUUAUUUUCAUUAACUUACUCUUGUACAAGGUUGUCACCUUUUUAAUCUGUAUACUCUUGAAUUUCACUGCAGAUUUCAUUGCUUGCCCUCGAUGAUUCCAUUUUGGAUGCCGAUCAGGUAGAAAAUCUUAUUAAAUUUUGCCCAACAAAGGAGGAAAUGGAUCUACUCAAGGUAAAUAUUCUCUGUAUUGUACCUAAUAUAGCUUUUUGAACAUUGACUUGGUCUGUUUCAUCUCUAAAAUUAUGUACACACACACACACAUUCAUUUCUUUGAUGCAUGACAACAGAAUGAUAGAUUUCUCUUUCUUGUUCGAAUUUUUUAGCUUGACGGGUUUCUGUUGAAUUUUCAGGGGUAUGAUGGUGAUAAAGAAAACUUGGGGAAAUGUGAGCAGGUUUGUUUCUGUUUUCUUAUGCACUCCACUUUGUUUUUAUUGGUUAAUUAAAAUAGUACAAAGCAAGAAAAGGAUAAGCUGGCAAAUCUUAAAUGUCUUCCCACAAUAUGUAUUUCAGAGUUCUUUGGCGCGCAAGCGCGCGCACACACACACAAAAAGCACUGGUGUGUUUCCUCCCACUCGCUCACAAUUACUUGGUUCCUGGAUUUUGAUUUUGACUUCACAUGUGCUUCCUGAAAAGUGAAAGGCCCUUUAGUUUACCAGAAAGAGGAAAAAAAAAAAAGAGAAGCUUCUUUUGUUGGAGUCGUGCUUUUAACUAGGGCUUCAAACACCGAAAUUAGUACUUCUAGAUUUGCUAAUGAUAGAACAGAUAUUUCCACUUCUCAUGUUCGACUUUACACUCAUACAAAAACUGAAUCUAUUGACUUCUCUGGCAAUUUUGCCAUCAGCAUCCCUCAAAGCUGUUCCAAAUAAUUAACCAUAGAGAAAUUUCAUUGGACAUGAUUAUUCCUGAAAACUUCAGAAAACUCCAAACUCUAUAUCUUGAUUUUCCGUGAUCUCUGAUCAUAAUCCUUCUUGAACUCAAUGAUUCUUUAAAGAUCCAACUAAGUUGCAUCUAUUUAUAAUGUUGAGAUCUCAGUUGGCCUCUAGGCUCAGGUACCUUUACUUAUUAGUUGUCUUUUAUGGGUAGACCAAUGGUAAUAUGGGAACGGUUCCUAGGUUUAGUGUUUGGAAAGUAAACAAAGCUUCAUUGUAUCUUCUCAAUAAAACAUUUUCAGAUCAUACCCCUGCCUAUAGUUGUCUGCUAGUGCUCAUGCGCUGACAUAAAUUUUGUAUGUAUAACAUAUAGAAAAAGUGAUAAUGUAUGAAGUAGCUUAUGAUGUCCCUUCUGUUUUUUUUCUACCAGUUCUUCUUAGAGUUGAUGAAAGUGCCAAGGGUGGAGUCCAAAUUGAGAGUCUUAUCCUUUAAGAUUCAAUUCCGAUCUCAGGUCAGAAAAAUCUUAUUCACUCUUUUACUGUAUUCUGCAUGCUGUUUGUCCUGCUCUAUCAAAGUCAAUUUAUAAAUUUCUCAGGUUGGUGAACUCAAAAAUAGCUUGAAUGUCAUUAACUCUGCAUCAGAAGAGGUACGUCCAAUCUUCUAUUCAUUAGUGCUUUCGCCAUUCCCUUAAAUAUUAUCACUUAAUUUUGCGCCCCUCAUGCCAUCAGGUCAGAAGCUCUGUGAAGUUGAAAAGAAUUAUGCAGACCAUUCUCUCUCUAGGAAACGCUUUAAACCAGGGAACAGCUAGGGGUGAGUAAGAAUGCCAUGUACCAUGGUUUACGAAAACAAUACAGAGAAAGCAUUUAAUUAAUUACGAAGAAGUUGGUAAUUCUGCUGGUAAAGAUAUCCUAGUUUCGUUGUGCUGCUUUCCGAAGACAUGCAAGUUGGCUUUUUCAAUUCAGUAAAUGCAUAGUCUUUCUAUAACUAUAGUACUUUUCUACAGCAUACAUCUAUUAACAUAAACGUGUGACACAUUGAUGGUAUUUUUGCUUCCAAGUUCGAACACAAGACAUUGAUUUAUGACAAGUUUCAAUUAGGAGAACUACAUUGGAGCACAGGAGCUUUGGAUUUGCUUGGGUGAAACUUGUUCAUAUUUCUAAUAAUCGGUUAGGUGUCUGGUAUUGACAUUUCUAGGUUGUCGAAGAAAUGUACAUUGUAGUUUUUUGCUUAUGUUUGAAACAUUUGGUAUGAUAUUUAAUAUUUAUAUACAGAAAGCAAAGAUUUUGAUUACUUUUUAACAGUUAGUAUAUCUAUUUAUGGUCUCUUCCACCUGUCCUUUGGGUUAAUCCCAUUAAGUCAUACAAUAUUUGAGCUCUGGUGCUUUCUUAUCUUUCUUAUAUCAUAUUUCAGAUGUAUUUUCUUGUNGUCCAUAUCUUGUGUACACGUUUGAAAUGUAUGGACAGAGAAAACAGAAGUAGGCAAUUUUCUUUCUAGCAACUUUGUAUUGAUUCUUAAAUCGUUUGCUCCCUCCUUCAGAUCUUAAAAGUUCUGAUUGCUGAUUCAUUUGUAAGAAUUAUUUAAAUGGUUGUCUGUGACCUUAUUAGCUAGUGAAAUUAAAGGCAAAUGAUGUUUGUUUUGCGAUAAAACUUUUGAGAUGAUAAAUAUACUUUACAUUUUAAGUUUUACAUUUUGACACCAUUGAAAUGAAGUGCGAUUUGUAUACCCAUUGAGUACACUUUGCAUUUAAACAAGCUAAUUAGCAGCUGAGUAUGUUCCAUGCUUGCAGGAUCUGCUAUUGGCUUUCGAUUGGACAGCCUUCUUAAACUCAGUGAUACACGUGCACGAAACAAUAAGAUGACUCUCAUGCAUUAUUUGUGCAAGGUACCAUGUCCUUCGUUUGUAAUUUAUUGCGAUCUCAUGGCUAGCCUCAUUAGAAUUCGAACAACACAUGCCUUGUAGUCCUUUUGCGCUCUUAUGCAUGAUACUUAGUAUGGUUUUAUUCAUGCUUGCUUUUAUUUGUGUACGCACAUCCAAGUUAGAUAACUUUUGCAUGCAGUUGUAGGAGCAAUUCUUCCAUUAUGUAGGUGAGGCUAGCAUAUUUGUGUUUUAUGGAUGUGAACCUUGAACUGAAAUGUCAUAAUUGACAAAUGAGAAGAAAUCGCCAUGCCAAUGGAACUGGAAAAGAUUGAGGAUGAGAUACUUGGACCUAAGUUAUUUCAUAAGAUGAGUUUCAAAAUUGUCAUUUGGUGGAAAAGUAUUCUGGUUCCAAAAGUUAAACUAGAUUGAAGUUGCGGAAAAAACUUAAUUGGUUUCACUCUGAAUUUGCCCAAAUAAAAAAAAAAGUUGAAAACAUGGAUGCGAGUCCCUUUCUAUGUCUGAUAUAAACAUAUGGAGCUAAGUCAGCUAACCAGAUUCAUGACUUGUAUUAUUACAUGAAAAAACUUCUCCUGAUAGCGCUAUGUACCCUCAGCACUAUAGUUCUAUUGGUCAAGGCACACAUUUUAUCAUAAUUAUAAAUGUUGCUAUGCAGGCUACUUGAUGCUUAAAAGAAGAGUCAGGAAAAACAUAACAUUAGCUUCUGCACAUUUGAAAUGUUUUGUGCAUCAUAUUUGAUGCAGUAUAUCUUGGACUACUGAAACAUAUUCGAUUUAUUAAUAAACUGAUAUUGGGAAUUCACACUUAUGGUUACCGGAUGUUUGGCUAAUGAUCUGCUAAACAAUCCUAUUGUGUUAUAAUUCCUAAGUGCUUCUAUAUUAGUGUAAGUUGUUUUAAGCUGUUAUUUUGGUUGGAGGGAAGUUUUAUGAAAUGUCGGUUGUGAAACUUUGGCUAUUUUUGUUUGUAUGAGGCAUGAAAAUAUGAUGCAUUUACUUGCGUAUUAACCCUCGUCUCCAAUUCUAGUCUUACUUACCCUAGUUUCAGCUAAAAGAUUUUGUUAUUCUGAUUAGAGGAAGUUAUUCUUGAUAUAUAGAGCUUCAUUCUCCAUGAUACCUUGUCUUAUAAUCCUAUAUAAGCUGCAGGUUCUUGCGGAUAAACUACCAGAUGUUCUCGAUUUCCAAAAGGAUCUUGUUAACUUAGAAGCUGCAUCAAAGGUGCUUCAAUUUUACUUGAAGAUUUUGGUUCUGCUCUCAUUUUCCUAUUGGCACCUAACUAGGUAAGUAAAACUAAUUUUUGAUACAGAUACAAUUGAAGUACUUGGCUGAAGAAAUGCAAGCUAUACAAAAAGGGUUAGAAAAAGUUGAACAAGAGUUGACAGCUUCGGAAAGUGAUGGUCCUAUAUCUGAAACAUUCCAUAAGGUACUUAUGCACAUAAGUAACAUGUUCAAAUCCUUUUAGGAUACUGACUUUGCAUCUUAGCUCCUGGACUUAAUCACUUAUUAGCUUUAAUAGCUAGCCUAGUAAAAUCCAUCAAGCCACCUUUCCUGUAUAGUGACUUUUUAACCAUUUGUUAUUGAGACAAGGCUAUCAUUUUGCACAAGGGGUAAAAUGCGAAUUUACAUGAAGAACUCAUGUGCUGAGCAUGAUACUCGAAGCUAGAUUUCUUUUCUUUUCGUGUGUGCUUGCGCGCAUUGGCACGCCCGUGCAUGCGCCCACGCGCAUGUGUGUAUGCGUGUGCGUGCUCACAUGCCUGCCUGUUUGUAUGUGACAGCCUAGGAUGGAGUUGCAAUACAUGACAAAGUCCAGGGACCGAAGUGUUUUAGUGAGAAGUUCAAGUGACUCGAUUGCAAUAUUGGGACAACAUGUCCUAUCCAUACAUUUUACCUUACAAUUUUCCACUUCCUGAUUUGCAUUAUUUAAAUGAUUCCUCGCACUCUUACAUUCCUAACCAUCAAAGGGGUCCUUUUCCUUACAAGUGCCUCUUUGUGAUAGUGGCUGUUUCUUUGCCCUGUAGCUGCACGCUGAUAGUUUUCUUCUAGUUGUACCUGCACUUGACAUGAAUUUCCAUUUUGGAAUGCAGAACUUAUUCGAUUUUAAAUAAUCAGAAUGAUUCCUAGCUAUUCAUUCCAUCCUUAAAGAGACUAUGAAAAUAGAUGAACACAUUGGGAGAUUUUGGUGCAAAACAUUGUCAGAUAAAUGAAACACUAAAGCUUCAUUACGUUUCAUACUCUUGAGCAUUUUGUUAUUAAUUGUGUAGUAUGUUCUCUGGGUACAACAUACUAUCUCGGAAGUUUCUAAAGCCAGCCAUAAUGUAAGUAUUGUCAUGCUAGUGAACACGUUUUUUUCAUAGUCGGCUGCUAGUGCUGCUCGCAUCGAUAAACCUGUGCUUCGCAUGCUGAUGAUGCCAACAUAUAAAAUAGGGUGUGUGCGAAGGUGUCCCUACAUGCCGUGCCAUGGUGAUGGCGCACUAGCAAGGCCCAUGCCAUCGGCACAGCAAUCCUUGCUAUAAAGCAAAUAAAAGGACACACAUAGAUGGACAAGGAAACUCUUCCACACACACAUUUGUAAGUUGGAUAAUUUUGGCAGGAAAAUUUCUAAAAAGGACAGAACAAUGGAAAAAAUUGCGCAACUUAUUGUCAAUGCCCCGUGACCGCCAAUUGGGCCCGCUCAAACACGUGCAGCAAACCCGCCGAAUGGGCAAAGUUUUCUUUACCCACACGAAGCGGAAUCUUAUACCAACCUGUACAAUGCAUACAUGAUACAGAAACAUAAAGCAUCAGAGUAAUACUACUAAUCUAAAUCAUUACAACUUUAAAGUUUUACAACACUUGUUUCGUCCCAAAAUAUUGCAUUGUUCACAUUUAACCAAAAAGAGGUACACACUAGACCGACUCACAACAAUCUAAUUACUACGCGAUGCCCUUGCCGCAGUCUCGCACCUCAUCGGCGACAGUAGGCUCUGAAAAGGGAUAAACAACAGGGGCUGAGAACUUGAAAUAAGUCCUCAGUAGAUACAACCGCCGAAAAUGACGUCUCUACACUCAGUCCAAAGAAGAUAUUAGUAGAACAAAAGUAGUAAAUAAAACAACUAUUUGUACGAUAAUAAUGCAGGUAAAGAAAAAUACUACUACAAUGCCUCGAGUAUGCUCAAUAUGUCACAAUGCUACUAUGUCAUUGCCUCAUUGGUUACAUGUUUAUCCAAUCUAUCUCAUAUAUCAACCAUCCAUAUGGUUGGUUCCAUUUCACAUUGCACACCUUAUGGAGAGCUGAGGGAGAUCGUACUUCUCUCCAAUCGGUAGGCACUUGGAGUCAAGGGUAAUCGGCACUCCAAGUAUUACGUAAGGAGUCGAGGGUGAUCGGCACUCCAAGCGCUACAUAAGGAGUCGAGGGUAAUCGGCACUUCCAAUGUAACGUAGGCAUCGAGGGUGAUCAACACUCCCUUUAGACACAUUCGGUAGGUCUCGACAAGUCUCAAUGUUACACCCCAAGUUCUCAUGAUGUCUAGGUCAACCACCAUGUCCACUAUACUUAUUUUCUAGCUCACGUUUAGCUUGGAGUUCACAUGUCACUAUAUUUUACACCUUAGGUUCCAACCUAGGUUAAAUGCCACAUUGUUUCUUAUGUCCAAGCCUCCAAGGUUCACAAUAUUCGCAUAUGCAUGCUACAUAUUUUUUAUUCACUAUAAUAUAGGGUUAGAAACCCUAUUUCCCUAAGUCAAGUGCUCAAAAGCAAUUUGAUCUACGAGAUCCCCUAGCAUGCAACUAAAAUACUUUUUAGUCUACAUAUUGUACAUGAUACAUGCAUAAAAUCAACAAAAACUUCAGACAAAGGGAACCUAUUUCGGUGAUAUUCUCCGCCUUAUCCUGGAUCUCUUCUAAGGAGUGUUCUUGAUCUCCUAAGACCUCAAAAGAAAACCUAAAAAUGGUUCUAAUAAGGUUAGAAUCUUAAAAAUCCCCUAUCUUGGAAAACUCCAAAACAAAAUCCUAAAAUUCCAACUUACCUCUUCUCUUGUAGCAAGAAAAACAUGGAUGAGAGUGGCUUCUUCUCCUCCCUAGAUCUUUCUCUUGAAGCUCCUGACCUUUUUCAAGCCUCCGAGGAGAUGAAUCCCAAGCUCCAAGCUCCAACAAUAGAGGAGCAGCUCUUUUCCCGUUUAGAGAGAGAGAAGAGAGAGAGAGCAAGAGAGAAAUGAGAGGGUGGGUUAGGGUUGGCUGUGAAAAAGGAUUAUAUUUAGGGGUGCUACAAUAGCACAUACCCACACCCCCCCCACCCCACCCAAAACCUUUUAUAUUCACAAGUAGACAAAUCGCUGUUUGUAUGUCAGGUUUCGGGCACCCGAAUCCGUCGUAGCCCAAUGGAUCCGCUUGCUUCAUAAUUUGGUGCCCGAUACUCAACAAAGCUGGUCUGUUGCGCAUGCCCGAGUGGGCCCAAUUGACGGUCUCGGGGCGUGGCACUUAUCAUUGCCGUUAAACAACAUAAGUUGAUGUUUAUUAUCUGUCUUUUAGUGCACUGAAUGAGAAAUAUCUCUUUGCUGAAGCAUUGACUGUUAAUGGUGUAAGCAUGACUUAUUGAGCUCAAAACUAACUGUUUAUCGAACUUUUCACACCUAAACAUGCAAUAAAAACCAGUAAUAGAUAGGAGGGCUACUUGCAACUAAUAUUUGAUGGAUGCAUAUAGUUGUAUUAAUUGGAAUAAAAUUUUCUUCACCCAUGAAGUUUCCUUUCAUACUAAAGAAAAUUAUUUUCAUUUCAGACUUUGAAGGAGUUUCUUGUUGUUGCUGAAGCUGAAGUGAGGUCUUUAACAUCCCUAUAUUCUGCGGUGGUGUGUAUUGUUGUUUUUCUUCUUUGUGCUCAACAAAUAACAAUUGGUUAGUACUUAAUACUCUUCCAAUCACUCUACAGGGUAGGAAUGCAGAUGCACUGGCUCUUUAUUUUGGAGAAGAUCCUGUACGUUGCCCAUUUGAGCAAGGUAGUUUCUUUAGCUCGAAUUAAUAUGUUGUUAAAAGUUUUCUUGAACCCUAUACGAAUUGGCUUGAUCUUUCUUUCUCUUUGUCUAUGUUUUCUGCUAUGCAGAUAUUGAUUGUAUUAUAUUGUUUGGGUUUAGUGACUACCAUGGAUGGAUUUUAAUGAUACUUAUAGGGCAUUUCUGUAUUAUGGUCAUGCAGGACGGUGUUAGCAUUUGUUACAUUUAGAUAGGUUUGAGUCACGUCACUCCUUUUCCAGUUAAUCAUAUGUGCUGGGUUUUUUUUGCUUUAAGAAAUUGCAGGUUAUGUCAAGUUAUCGGCUAAGAUCAGAAAUCGCAUGUCAUUCAGGACCACUUGACCAACCCAAACCGACUUCACUGAUACUAGUCAGACCCUGACUGAUUUAUUCGAAACUCACUUUACAAUAUAUUCUUCUUAUAAAUUGUGUAAUUUUACAGCUUAUCUAGGUGAUUUUGUAGUUUAGCUUACUUUGUUGUCUUCUAGGGCCAAACAUCUGAACGAUUUUGCCCAACCUCUAAGCAGCUCUUCAGUAUUUUGAUGGGCUGAGGUUUGGGGUUUCUUAAUAUCAAAUAAUGGAUAAGAAAUAACUAAAUAUGCUUUUAUUUGUGACAUUUUUAAAAAUGGACAAGAAUCUUACCUUCAGACACAAUUACAAGCAAACAAGACAGUAACUAAUGAGUUGGACUAUACACUUAAUGCAAAAUCUUUUCCAAAAGAUUUAACACUUCUAUAAUCAAUAGAAACUCAAUUUUAGACAUCUAAAUUGGAGAUUGACGCCUUUCAUUAUGAUUUAAAGGCAAUUACAUUACUUAUGAAUGAGAAGGUAUUUGAUUAGGUCUUAUGCUUAUGCACCAACAAUAGUGACGAAUUAGUUGAUUGGUGCUUUGCUAACGAGUUCCAAAUUUCUAGUUGUUUUUUUUUUUUUUUUUUUUUUUUUUUUUUUUUUUUUUUUUGUUUGAGACGGUUUUUAAUGCAGUAGAUUUGAUGAUCUACAUAAAAAGCGCCCAUAAAUGCAUUUUGCCAUAAGUGUUCUUCAUGCACUUUUAUAUUUCUUUUUAAGGUUUGAUGCAUUAGUAAGCUGUAGGAGGCAUUGGCAAAUUCUAUAAUUUUUGUUAUACUUUUGGUUGCUUAGUUACGUAGAUUAUAAUUAACACAGUGGUCAUCUCUUUGAUGAUGUAGGAUCAAGAUUUCAUUAUUAAAUCUCUUGCUAACGAUUUCACAUUUAGUGUGCAAUGACUGCAGUCAAAUCCUGCUUUAAAUUAUCUAUGUGGUCAAGUGACACAUCUAGCUCUUUAUACUUUCAAGAGAAUAUGAGAUUGAUGUAAUAUUUAAAUUGAUUACCAUUCUUUGCAAAUUGAUUUGCCUUAUAUUGAAAUUUAAAUCCCAUCGCGGACAUAUUCGAACAGAUUUCAAAUUGCAAAGAAACCACAAAAUUUUGCAAAAAAAUGUUCUAAGAAGAUCACUUUUUAUACGUUGAAAUCUUGCAUGCUGUUCCAUACUGGAAUUUGACGUGCGUUUCAGCUUCGUCUUUGUCAAAGCCUAGCUUUCUCUAACAUUCAGGUGAAUUACUUAAUGCAGUUGUCUCUACGCUACUCAGCUUCAUGAAAAUGUUCGAGCGCGCCAACGAAGAGAACCUCAAACAGCUAGAGAUGGAGAAGAAAAAAGCUCAAAAAGAAGCAGAGAAAUCGAAAAUCGCCGCUCAAAAGUGAAAAGAUAUCUCUAUUUCUCCAAUUAAUGCCGCGACACGUGUUAAUCUUUAUUCAUAACCUAGAAAUUGGUCCGACAAACCACACACAGUAGUUUCUCCACCUCGGAGAGAACUGCUGCAGGCCCGUAGCACACCAUAAAAUGUAAAGGAAAAUCACAGGAUCUGAGCUGGGAUUUCAUUACUCAUGCCGAUAAAAACGUGAACAUUAUUAUCGAGGAACCCAGCUCGACAACAAAAUCCUUGUUAGAAAGGUAAAAAUAUGGAGGCUCCUCUAUUGCAUUUAUUUUCUAUCGACAUAUUCGAAAUACUGCUGAUGUUUUUAACCGUCUUUGUCGCAGUUCGUCUUAAGAAGGCGAGAAGAUUGUUUGUCUCAAGAAGACUACCUGGUAGAUAAUAUGUACCAUAAAUUUUAGCCUAAACUAUUCUUGCUGUAAAAUUUAGCAGAUGAGAUAGUGGUUAAUUUUAUAUCUUCUUUUUCCUUUUUUAGUUGUAGCAUGUGUAUAUAUUUUCUGAAUUACGGAAACUGUACAAAAUUGUAUGUAACUCUUGUAUACCAGGUAGUCUAUGGUCUUUGAUUUUUUUCCAGUUAUGCGAUCCAUCUUCUUUUUUUUUUUUUUUUUUUUUCUUGUCUGGCCAAAGUGGGCUCUCUGCAAGUUGAAACUGAUAAAAUGUAGCAAACAUCUCAUUAGCUCAAAAGUACAAUAAAUUUUUUCUUAAAAAAUUAGUUGGUAUAUUUUAGCCAAUACGUGUAAUUAUAAAUUAAUUGAAGUAAUUAAUUAGCUUAAUUUUACAUCUUAAAAGCAAUCAAAUAAUUUAAAUCGAGCAUAUUAAAAGGUUAGAUAAUAAAGCAUAAAUUUUGAAAUGUUCGGAGUAGUAAGCAUCAAAAUAGUUUAUAGUUCAGAUAAGUUUUAUAUAUUUUUAUCAAAAAGAAAUUGACUUUCAAUAAGAGUUUUUACCAAAAAGAAAUUGACUUUCAAUAAGAGAGCGGAGAAAAUGAUCCGAGCUUGCCAACACUGCUAUCUCUCUUGUCCUGAAACAGGUAAAAUGAAAUAUGGUCCUCAAACUUAAUGAAAUGAAUAAGAAAUGGCUCUAACACUCCCGCUCAUGCGCGUAAUAUAAGAUAAUAUGAAUAAUAAUGUGUAUUGUAUGGGAAUUGUGUCCUACAUUUCGAUACUACGUUAUUCAAGUGAUCAAUCAAAACAAAACUAACUGCGUACGUAGGUCUAUGAAACUGCAAACAACAACCAAAACAUCACAUCUCGCGUAUAACGAUCAAAAUUGACUGUCCCUAGCACAAGUAGUAAAGAGUUUGGUAGUUGGUACCUGAGAUCUAAAAGUUUGAAUCCUAUUUUAUUUAAAUUUUCAGCUAAAUUUAUUCUUAAAAGAAAUAAAUAAAGCCGGUAGUACGUUAUAUUUUUCUAAGUAUUCAAAACCCAUCUCUCGAGCCCGUUUUCGGGCCGAUUUAAUUGAUUUUUUCCGUCUCGAAUCUGACUCGGCCCGAAAACUUUUAUGCAUACAUUAAACAUCAAAACCCAGUCCAAAAUAAAUCGGGCCAAUAGAAUUAAUUGAAUCUACGAUUACUUAAGAAUUGAAUAGUCUUACUAUAUAUAUAUUUAUUUAUAUAUAUAUAUAUAUAUAUAUAUAUAUAGAUAUGGAUAUAGUGAGUGAGACGGGUGGUGAGAAAGGUCAACAAAGUCGGCGCCCGUUAGCCCACUUGUAUCAUCCGGAUGAGGUUUGAUUUGCAUGCACGGCACAUUUGAUUUGAUUUACGCUGAAACGAAGGGGGAAUGAAUGAAGUAAUUAAUUCAAUCACCAACUUUGGGCACGUAUGUGUCUCCUUUUACGACCCGAAACGCAACCCCGUGUCGUUUCUAAUCAACACAACUCAUAUCUCUCUCUCUCUCUCUCUGUUAAAUAUAAAAAUAUUUAAACACCUCUUUAACCGCUUAAAUUUUUAGAGUACAACGAUUGUUUUACAUGGUAUCAGAGCAGAAGGUCCUGAGUUCGAGUCACGCUAGACUCUUAACAUAUUAAUUUUCUUCUAUUUAAUUCAAAUGCACGUCAUGGGCCAAUUAAAAAGUCUCAAGCCUUACUUUUUUAGAGUACAAACGAUUGUUUCACACACUUUCUCUCUCUCUCUCUCUCUCUCUCUCUCUUAAAAUUUUUUUUGUUAAACAUAAAAUAUUAAAAUUAUUAUUAUCGGAUAGCUCAGGUUUUUAGAGUGAUCAGUUAAUUAGUGUUUCCAUCUGAUAUCAAAGUUUUUUUGUUAAACAUAAAAUAUUAAAAUUAUUAUCAUUAUCUAGUAAGUUUUUAGAGUAAUCAGUUUUUUCAUCUUAUACCAAAGUACUGAUGCGUCCCCAAUUUCAAUUUCGCUAACCUCCUAGUUUCAGUGAUUUUUUUUUAAAAAAUAAUAUGUCAAACUAUUGAGUCUAAAAUGUUAGGGUGAGUAUUGAACAGAUAAGUAGUAAUCAUUGAUGAUGUCCAUGAUUCUCAUUUCCUAGAAUUUCCUCCUGUCUAGAUCGAAUUGGCAUCUUGCGACUUGAGCCUUUGGAGAUAAGGCUUGUUUUUAUAUAUAUAUAUAUAUAUAUAUAUAUAUAUAUAUAUAUAUAUAUAUAUAAAAUUAGACUGGAAUAUUAUUAAUAGUAAAACGCUAUUUUUGCUAUCAAGUUUUUAUCCUUGGAUGAAAAAUUAUAGGAUCAGGAUGAUAUUAGUCGGUUAGAGUUGAGUGGUCCUCCUAGGGUUGAGUGGUCCUCACUGGGUUAUAGUAUUUAAUCCAAUGGUUAGAAAUAAUGAAAAAAGUUGAUCCAAAGGUUAAAAAACUGAUAGCAACAAUGGAAUUUUGCUACUAAUAGUAGCCCAGUCCAACUCUAUAUAUAUAUAUAUAUAUAUAUAUAUAUAUAUAUAUAUAUAUAUAUAUAUAUAUAUAUAUAUAUAUAUAUAUAUAUAUAUAUAUAUAUAUAUAUAUAUAUAUAGAAUUAGGCUAAUAUACUAUUAAUAGCACCAAGUCAUUGGUGCAAUCAAGUUUUUGGCCAUUGGAUUAAGAGAUGUGCGAUUUUGAUGAUGUGGGCCCCUUAGGGUUGAGUGGGUGGUUGGUUGGUUGAAUAGUAUGAUCUAAUGAAAAAAAAAUGAUCAAAAAGGUAGAUCUAACGGUGGAAAACUUAGUAACACCAAGUGUUUCGUACUGUUAAUAGCAUAGUAGCCAGACUCUAUAUAGAUAUAUAAACUUUAAAUACCACCAUUGCGGUUUUAUUUUUUUUCUUUUUGUCAGCCCUUCCGUUAACUUUUUGUUAAAUCAUAUACAAAAAACUUCAGAUAUUCCACCUAUAGUUUAUCGAAUAUUCACUUUACUACUUUUUAAUUUUAACUUUGCCAUUGAUUUAACGAAAAAAAUUAAUGAAAUGGAUAAUAAAAAAAAAUAAAAAAUAAAAUUACAGGAUACUAAAAUGAGAAAGUACGAAAUCACACGGUGGCAUUCAAAGUUUUCUAUAUAUAUAUAUAUAUAUAUAUUACAUCUGUCUCUCUCUGUUUUUUUCUUUAAGAAUAUUUUUAGGUACAAACAUAGGAUUCUAAUUAGAAAGGUUUUUGAUGUGGUGUGGGUACAUAUGUACAAUUGGAUGCAGGAAGCAGUUACACUAAAAGGGCGAUGCACAGGAUCUUAUCUGCCAGGUAUUUGUACGGUUUUUGUCUUCCCUACGGCCUACACUGCACGUUUGCUACCCAACUCACAUUGUCGUUUUAUUGCCCGGGAAAACCAAAAACAAAAUUUCCAUUUGUUUUUUUGUUUUUUUGUUUUUUUAUUCAGUGGAUCGAGUACGGAUCCAAUUAAACAAGACGUGCAGUUUAUAUACAAAGUCUAAUAUUAUUGCCUAUAAAUAUUAAAUAAUACUGUUCUUUAAUAUUGUUGAGGUUCUAAAUCAUCCAAAAUAUUUCCCAUCAACCAUACAACUUGAACCGACCGUCCCUAGAGCAAAUGGCAAAAGGUUUGGUGGUUGGUAUUCGAGACCCAAGUUCAAAUUCUAGUUGAUUCACAUUUCUAGCUAAAUUUAUUUCUAAAUGAAAUAAACGAAGCGAGUAGCGUGCUACCUUUAUCUAAAAAAAAACAUACAACUUGAAAUUUUAAUUAUAGAACUAAACUGACUGAAAGAUUAUGUUCAAGACUAUGUUACUUAUAGAUGGUUAGAUUUUUUUUUUUUGUUUUUUUUUUUUUUUUGAGAGAGAAAGAUAGCAUGCACACCUGCUUCGUUUAUUUCUUUUAGAAAUAAAUUUAGUUGAAAAUGUGAAUCAACUAAGAUUCGAACUUGAGACCUUGAGUACUAACUUGUCCUUUGCCAUUUGUACUAUGGACGGUCGGUUAAUAGUAAAUAUAACACACUUCUAGAUUUUAGUUUGAAAAUUUUACUGUCGAAAUAAUCAAUAUUAUUACAAGUUACUUUUUCUUUUUUCUUUUAGUUGUGAGAGCUAACAUGUCAUCCAAAGAUGGGCAAUCAAAAUAAAAACUCUGAAUCUUGUGCAUUUGCAUUAGUUGUUUGCUAGUUUAACGCAGAAUUGUGAAUCUUGUAAAAACUUAAGAUUAAGCUUUUGAAAACAAAUGGUCAUUUCACACAAUGGAUAAUUAGUGUCCUUUUGUAUAAAUUACAUUCUGAUUUUGGUAUUAGUUGCAGCUUAAUAAGUUGGUUUAAAAAUCAUGAUUUUUUAGAUAUAUAUCAGGUCUUAUAGAUUAUACUUAAGCCUUCAUCGACCUUUGUGUAAAAUGAGUGCUUAAGCUAGCUACACAUGUAUAGUUUGAUCCUUACUCUUUACAGUUCAUGAUUAUAUAAUCUUGUGAUCCAGAAAAAAUUAGCAUUUUAUCCUUGUGUGAUUUACUAAUUGGCUAGGUAAAACCUAAGUACUGCAUUUUAUACUGCACAAAAUAGUAAAAGUGUUAUAUAUAUAUAUAUAUAUAUAUAUAUAUAUAUAUAUAUGGGGCUACUAUGCUCUUAUGAGUAUAGACUUUCUUGUACUUAUAAAUUUUUAACCGUUGAUUGAUGGGAUGUGUGGUUAGGAUAAUGGUUGUCCACACUUAGAAUGAUAGUGGUGCUCUAAAAGGUUUUUUUUUUUUUUUUUUUUUUUGAGGAGAGAUAGGUAGCACGCUACCGCUUCGUUUAUUUCAAUUAAAAAUAAACUUAGCUGGAAAUGUGAAUAAAUUAGGAUUCGAACUUAGGACCUCGGUACCACACCACCAAACCCUUUGCCACUUGCUCUAGGGACAGUCCUCUAGGGUUGAGUGGUAGUUUGUUAAAUAGUAUAAUCUAACGGAGUGAAAAUAAUUAAUGGAAUAAAUCUAAGGGCCGAAAACUUAUGAGUAAUAAAAAGCCAAUACUCAUAAAAUAUAAUAGCGGACUAAUAUAUAUAAUAUAUAUAUAUAUAUAUAUAGUCCGCUAUGGUGGCAUUGUAAAAGUACCAAGUAUUUGGUGCUUGUAAAUUUUUUGCCGUUAGAUCUACACCUUUGAUCAUUUUCACCCGUUAGAUUAUACUAUUCAACCAACCACCCACUUAACCCUAGGGGGCCCACAUCAUCUUAACCGCACAUUCCUUAAUCCAAAGGCUAAAAACUUACAAGCACCAAUGACUUGGUACUUUUAAAAGUAUAGGAGCUCAAUUUUAUAUAUAUAUAUAUUUCACCGCUCGGUGUUUUCGAGUGUUGCUACAUCUUUUGAAUUCGUAGUAUUGAGCAGAUUGGCAGGGACUUAGAAAUUUGUCAAGCGCGCCCAGCCCAAGUUCCUGAGCCAACCUAGCUGAAAGGGGGUAUCAAGGAGGCACCUUCUGUUGGAGAUGGAGGCUCAUGCAACUGCAAUCAAAACCCCCAAAACUGCUAGUGGAACAAACAUGGCACACCUCUAGGCCAAUGUGUCGGACCAUAGACUGGAGAGUGUGCCAGAUAAGGAUUGCUACAUGAAAAUGGACAUGUGGAGUUUCUAUUAUAGGAAAACAGUAUUUAUCUAUGUAUUCAUUUUUUAACAAGUUCUUACAAAUGAGAGACUUGAAAACAACAACAGGAACUGACCGUCCCCAGAGCAAGUGGCAAAGGACUUGGUGGUUGGUACUCGAGACCCAACUUCGAAUCCUAGUUGAUUCACAUUUCUAGCUAAGUUUAUUUCUAAAUGAAAUAAACGAAGCGGAUAGCGUGCUAUCUAUCUCUAAAAAAAAAAUGUUCUCUCUCCUCAGAUGCUACACCACAAAUUCAAGAGAUAAGUAACAUGCAUAUUUAUAAAAAUGUAUUGGAAAUAUUUUUGAUUUAACUGAAACCCGAAUAGAAUUAGAAAUAAUCUAAUGUUGACUGAAAGCUUAAUUAAUGAGAUUAAGAAUAAUUCCAUGGGUUAGGAAAAAAAAAAAAAUGGUCCGAAAAUUCGGGACACAUCUAAGAUUCUAAGAACUACUACUAUACUCAUAAGAAUAUAGUAACUCUAUACUUAAAAAAUGCUUGAUGGACUCGGGCACAAGGGAACACGAGACAUGGAUUUGAUCAUUAACUCACAACAAGACAUGUAUGACUAUGCAUUAGUGGAGGCUAAUUAGUGGUUAAGGAGUCAAAUUUUUUUUUGAAAAACAAUCUUUGAAAGACAUAUAUAUCAACUAUGAUGGACGUACGAUUGCUUUAUAUGAGUUGUUCCAAAUCUCUAUCAUGUGCGUUUAUGUUUUAAGCAGAAGAGAUGUUAUAUAAAGCUAACCAAAUUAAACACUCCUCCUCAAUCAUUAGCCCAACACAUCUAUUGGUGCACAUCCAUGUAAGUGAGAUGGAGCUUCAAGCGGGGACCACGGCUAACUAGGGUUAUAUAUGUAUGGUAUGAUGUCAUUACCUUGAUGGAGUAUAUGUAAAGUAGAAACAACUCUUUUGGCACCUUCUUGGCUUCUUUUCCCAGCCAUUUAAUAUGUAGCUAGCUAGCUUUGACAAGUCCCAGCUAUAUAUAUUAAUUACUAUUAUUAUUAUUAUCAUUAUGCUAUAGAUAUGUAUAGGGUUCGCUUUCUAUGCUAUCAACAGCAACAAGCGUUACCGACUGUCCCUACAGUAAGCGGCAAAGGGCUUGGUGGUUGGUACUCGAGACCCAAAUUCGAAUUCUAGUUGAUUCAUAUAUUUAGCUAAGUUUUUUUCUAAAUGAAAUAAACGAAGCGGAUAGCGUGCUACCUAUCUCUCUCUCUCAAAAAAAAAAAAACAGCAACAAGCGUUAGCUCGUUGCUAUAAAGUUUUUCGUUGUUAGAUUAUUCCUUUAACCAUUUUUAUCCGCUAAAUCGUAUUAUUUAAUCAGCAACUCAUUCAACCCUAGAAAAUUAUUAUUAUCUUAAUCGCAUAUCUCUUUGUCCAAGAGCCAAAACUCUAAGGGCUUGUUUGAUUCAAGGGUGGAAUUGGAAUGGAUAAUGGAAUGGGAAUGAAUUGGAAUGGUAAUUGGAAUGGUCCACUCCCCCAAGACGUUUGGCUUAUUUGUGGAUUGAGAAUUGGAAUGAGUUAUUCAUAUUUCAUUGUUUGGUUCGUAUAAACUAAAAAAAUUAUAGGAUACUAUAAUACUAAUUUUACUCUCAAAUAUAAAUUUAUAUUAUUUAAAAUUUAUGAAAAAUAUAAUACUAUUCUCUAAUAAGUUUUCCAAAAAAAUAUCAAAUUUAUUUUAAAAAACUUUUAUUGAUGUGGGUUAGGUAUAGAGUUUUGAGAGAGGAUAGGAUUUUUUUUUUUUUUUUUCGAUGAGAAAGGGGUGAAGAGAAGGAAGGUGAGAUGGUCACAUGGGCUUCGAGAAUUUAGUGGGCUUUCGGAAUGAAAUCUCAAUCCGGGCUAGAAGACCAGAAUCAAGUUGAAGGCUAAUGGGCCAUUCCCAUUCCAGUUCGGAAUAGAAAUCCCAAACCUAUUCAUGCGAACCAAACAAAAUUAACCGGAUUUGAUCAAACCGAUUCUCAUUCCAUACCCAAAAUGCAUGAACCAAACAAGCCCUAAUAGUAUCAAUAACUUGGUACUGUUAAUACUAUAUAUAGCAAUCUAGCUAGUUUUCUCUCUCUAUAUAUAUUUAUAUAUUUCUUGUAAUAAACUUCUGAGAUGUAUAUGCAAUAAAGCAUCAAGCAGAACUAGCUAUCUAUAACUAUAUAUUAUUCCUCAAUAACUGCACACGUGUCGCGAGGAGGACGCGGCGUGGGCGAGGGUGCGGGGCGCGGGCGGCUGCGGGCGCUGGCGCGGAGCGGGAGCGGGCGUGGGGCGGGGCGGGGGCUGGCGCGGGGGUCGGCGCGGGUACGGACGCGGGCGCGCGCGCCGCGGAGUGGCACGGGGGCGGGGCGCAGCGCGGGGCGGGGCGCGGCGCGCGUGCGGCGCCGGCGGCGCGCCGCGAGGCGCGGGCGAGGGUGAGCACGGCGCGGCGCGGCGCGGAGCCGAAAAAACAUCGGGCUCAUAGGGGUGGUCUUCACGGGGUCCACGAGGCCGAAGUGCCUCGUGACCACAUGAGAGGGAGGUCCACGGUGGACCUCCUCUGCAUUCUCUCUGCUCUCUCUCUCUCUCUAUAUAUAAUAUAUAAUUUAUUUAUAAAUAUAUAUUUAUUUAUAUAUAUAUAUAAUUUUAUUUAUAAAUAUAAAUAUUUAUUUAUUAUAUAUAGUAUUUUAUUUGUAUAUAGAUAUAUUAUUAUAUAAUAAUUAUAUAUAAUUGUACUAUUUAUUUUUAUAAAAUGUAAAAUAUAUAAUAAAUGUUCAAUAAGUUAGACUACUGGUAUUUGAUUUAAAUAUUAAUUUAUAAUAUUGGCAAUUCACAUAUAAAUUCUACAUUAAAAAUAAAAAUAAAUUGAUUGGGCAAAAAUAAAAUAAAAUUGAUGCAGUUUAAGUUAAUUUUAUAUUUGACGAAAAUUAAUUGCAAGAAUCACAAACAAUGAUUUCUCUUCUCAUUUACUAACUACUGGGGGACUACGAUACCUACUAUGGGGGACUACUAUGUCUACUAAAAUUUUUUGAUAUAUUUAUUGUAUUAUUUAAAUUCUGAAAUUAAUUUUUAUAACUAAUUUUUAAAAUUAAAUUUUAAAAUAACUACCCGCAGCAUCGCGCGGGUCCCUUACUUAGUAAUAUAUUUAUACACGCAUAGAUGUACACCUGCGCGAGGCCCACACCCCAUCCACGCGUAUGUGCACGCCUUGGUGUUCUUUUUUACGCGUAACAUGGUGGGGCCCACCGUCUUUAACCAACGGUCGGCAUGCUCCCACCGUGCUUGUGAUCGAUUGUUUAUUUAUUUAUUUAUUUAUUUAUUAUUUUCUUAAGAUCAUUCAUUUAUGUACAAUAAAAAGAAAUUAAAUAUAUAUGGGAGGGGAAAAAGCGGGUGUGUGUGUGAUUCAUUAGUGUUUUUUUUUGAACUACGUACUUAUCGCCUCACGAGCUGAAAAGUGCGAUGAUCGUCAGGGUGCAUGAUUGCUGAUUUUGUCGGCUGGGUGGCCCAAUCACAGGAUGACACGUCGUCAUCUUCCUCAGAGUAUUGGAUCAGAUUCCACGUCAUCAGGUUAAUUCUUGAGCGUGCUAGAUCGCCUACCGACCGUCGGAUCGGUCAGUGACUUAAUUUUUGAAGUAGUUCGGUUUGAUCUUUUGAAUCAAAUAAGUCAGAAAAAUUACUUUGCAUCGUUCGAUCCGGCAAUUUAAUCAUCAAAUCGUUAAACAGAUCACAAAAUAGUUGAAUAUUUUUGAUCAAGUCAUAUUAAAAUCCAACAUAUUAAAAUCAACUUAGCCUAUUUUAUUUUUUAUCCGUGCAGAUUAAUCUUAUAUCUAUUUAAUUUUAUCAACAAAUCAGUAUUUUAUAAUUAAGACUGAUACUGAAAUAAUAAUAAUAAUAAUAAUAAUAAUAAUAAUAAUAAUAAUAUAUUUUAUAUAAUAAAAGUAAAAAAAAUAUAAUAAUUAAUUAGAUAUUUGUAAUGUCAUGCUGACGUUACUAGUUCAACUAGUGGUUGAUCCACUGUUUGAAUUAGUGACCUUUGAUCAGGUAAUAUUUUUGAGUCAUUGUUCGACCCAUUUUUUAAAGCAUUGGUUAUGACACAACCUUGUGAUAACUUUUAAAACUAAUUUGAUAUGGGGUUAAUGUAAUGUGUUAAAUAUUUUUUCUGUAAUAUUUUAUAUAGUAACUAUUAUUUCUAUAAAAGAAAAUUUUCUUUACUGAUAUUUGAUUGUGUCACGAUAAAAGUAAAAGUAAAGAGAGAAGAAAAAAAAAUAGGGGAGAGAAAGUGAUCGAGAUAGAAAGUAAGAGAAAGGGAGGAGAGAGAAGUGAAGAAUUAGAGAAAGUGCAAAAAAAGAAAGUGCAAAAAAGAGAGAAUGUGAAUAGAAAAAAGAUGAGAACUAAGGAGAGGGAAGGUGAAGGUGAUAAAGCAAGAAUAGAGGAACGAAGGAGAAAGAGAAAAUAAGGAGAGAGAAUGUGAAGAGACAGUGAGGAGAGCGAAAAUAAGGAGAGAGAAAGUGAAGAGACAUGAGGAGAGAGAUCUAGAGUGAGGAGAAAAAAAAACAAAAAGAGUGAAGAAAGAAGAGAGUGAGGCGAGAGAAAAAAGAAAGUGAAGAAAAAGAAACCGAAUAGAGAUAAAAUAAGAAGAGAGAAAAGGGAUACAAAGAGAAAAGAAAGAAAGAUAAUGUAAGGAAGAGAGAGGAGAGAGAAAAUAAAGAGAGAAAUUAGGAGAGAUAAAGUAAGGAGAGAGAAAGUGAAGGAAGAGAAAAUAAGGAGAGAGAAUGGAAGAAGAGAUAAAGAAAAAAAGAAUAGGAGAGAAAGUAAGGAGAAAAAAAAAAAAGAAGAGUGAGAAAGUAAGGAGGGAGAAAAUAAGAGAAUGAUAUACCAAGAUUCAAAAUUUUCUCACUUUUAUCAACUCUUUUUUUUUUUUUAAUUUGGCUAAUUGUACUUUAGCUCUUGUCUCAAUUACCUCCCUACAUAUAAAUAGUGUCAAUUAUCCUCCUACACUUUGUCCUCAAAUAGGUUCAGCUAUUUGGAAUAUUUGAUAGAUGUUAUUAUUUACUCGCGCAUAUACACACUUCAAAUCAAUCAUAUUUAUAUGGCAUAAGUUGGUAAAGUGUUUAGUUAGGAGAAGUAUGGCAAUGUGCUAUUGAAAUAAGAACUAAGCUAAAUGCUUCAAAAAGCACUACUACUUGGUACUUAUAAUUUUUUAGUCUUUGGAUCAAUAUUUUUGGUCAUUGGAUCAAAAGCCAAUAAUGAUGGUUAAUUACUUGUAUGGUCCAUCUAUGCAUGAUCCAAAAGUGCGGUUAGAAUAAAUCCAACGGCUACCCCAAGUCAAACUCUUAAAAUUAGUUUAACCAACUUCAGCUUUUAGCUUUUAUGCUAUGUAUAGAUAUUUGAUUAGAUGUAGUUAUUUUGAAAAAGAUAUAUGUCAAAUCAAUUAUAUUUGUACUAUAUAUGCAAGUUAGUAAAACGACUAGUUGGGAGGAAUAUAGUAAUUUCAUGUUGAAAUAAUCGUUAAAUAAAAAUUUUUUUUUUUUUUAGAAAAAGGUAGCACGCUACCUGCUUCAUUCAUUUAGAGGAUGAAUUAGGCUUACAUAAUGGAGGCAGCCGGGGCCUCCGACGGGAGAAAGAGCGUCAAAAGCCAGAAAAACAAAGACAAGGAACAAAAACGACAAGAGACUAAAACCAAAAAGGAAGGAAAUGAGGGGAAGGGGAGCAAAAGCGACAAAUAACUAAAACCAAAAGAGGAAGAAAGAAAGAGUAAAAACGACAGGCGUCAAACAGCAGGGAUCCAGCAGGGUCAACAAGGAGUGAUCCAGGUGUCAAGCAGCAGUUUCGCCCGUUCCAGGCACCGAAUAGGGUUGGGGGCAAUCUCUCGAAAGAUUAAACCGUUUCUUUCCGUCCAAACGACCCACCAAAUAGCAGAAAGGAGCGAGAGGGAAAUAUGUCUGUCUUUGGCGUCUCUUAGAUCAAUAAGUUUAGACCAGAGGUCUCUCACAUCGUCCGCGGGAUCAGACAGAGCCUCCAAGCCGCCUACGCUCAGUAAAAUGAAGCGAACAAAGACACAGGAACUCAUGAGGUGGUCGCAACUUUCCAAAUUAACGGCACAGAAAAAACAUGUUUGAUCCGGUAGCCACCCUUGCUUAUGGAUCCUGUCUGCAGUGGGGAUCCUCUUACGAAGUAGUAGCCAUAAGAAUACUUUGAUCUUGCCAGGAAUAUUCAAUUUCCAGAUAUGUCGACUUAGGGGGUCCACCAUGCCUGAGUCCGUGAGAAAGUGAUAGAGGGAUCUGACUGAAAACUUUUGGUUGGAGGUCCAAUGCCAUUUGAUCUGGUCCGGGAGCUGAGUUGGCCGGAUGGACCGAAGCAAGUCCAUAAGCAAGCCCUUUUGUCUAUGAUAGUUCACGGGUAGAGGCCCUGCUGGACCGCGGCAGAUAUAUUGCCACCGCCAACCAUUAGGGCCCCAGCUCUGAGCAAUAGUUGUCUCUUUGUUUCGGGUAUGGCUGUAGAUGUCGGGGAAGAGAGUACAAAGGGGAGCCUCGCCGUACCAAAUUGAUGACCAAAUCUUAAUAUCUUUGCCGUUUCCGAGGUUGUAGGUUGUACCGCAUUUAAAGAUGUCCCGGCAUCGCAUUACAUUUUUCCACCACUGAGAAUAUGGUACGAAGGCCCCGCCCUCAUUCAGAGGUUUGCGUCUAAUAUAAUAAAUCGAUUUGACUAACUUCUUCCAAGGUAGAUCUGGUUCGCUAAAGAAGCGCCACCACCACUUAGUUAAAAGCGCUGUAUUCAUAGUCGCCAAAUCCUUGAUUCCAAGGCCUCCUUCUUUUUUGCUUUUGCAGACUGCUCUCCAAUUUAUGAGGCAUGCCCCUUCAGAUAUGUUUGUGCAUCCGCGCCAAAAGAAAGCUCUUCUCAAGGCUUCAAUUCGGCGCAGAGCCCAUUGUGGAGCUUUGAAGACGGAGAGGAAGUGAAGUGGCAUAUUUGAAAGGACAGAGUUCACGAGGAUCAACCUCCCUCCUUGGGAGAGGAGUUUGGCCUUCCACCAUUCAAUCCUCUUAUCAAUGCGGUUGAUAAUGAUCGACCAGUCCUCUUUUCGCAAGGAUCUAUUGCAAAGGGGUAGCCCCAGAUAGCGGAUAGGGAGGCUUCCAACUUGGCAGCCCAGGAUGUUAGCAAGCCUGGUAGCUCUAGAGGUGUUUGAGCCCAGAUAGUACAGUUCGGACUUGUCCAUAUUGAUUCGGAGUCCAGAGGCCCAUUCAUAAAUUUUCCAUAAGAAACGCAAAUUUCGCAGGAUAUAUUUCCUGGGCUCGCAGAAGAAGAUCGUGUCGUCGGCAAAUUGAAUCAGAAUAGUCUGACAGUCCGAAGUCGGGCCAAUUCCCCGAAGAAGGCUAUUCCUGCAGGCCAUGUCGGAAAGUCUGGAAAGACAAUCUGCAACUAUCAAGAAGAGAUAGGGGGAGAGAGGGUCGCCUUGCCGAAGACCCUUUCGUGCUUUCAGCCAGUUUGUAGGAGUGUUGUUCACAAGGAUGGCUAAUUUGGGAUUACAGACGCCUGUUCAAUCCAGGACCACCAUUUCUCACUAAACGCAAGCAAAAACAUGAUUCUUUUCAGAAAGGGCCACCGAACGUUGUCGAAAGCCUUUUCAAAGUCCGCUUGAUACUGACGCAUUCUUUCCUGGUUUGUGGAGCAACCAACUGACUAGUUCGCAAGCGUUGACGAACGAGUCCGGCAAGCAGUCGGUCUUUGAGGAAAGCCGAUUGGGAAGGAGAAAUAAUAGACGGUAGAACAAGGGCAAUCCUAUUCGCAAGAACUUUGGAAAUAAUUUUCUGAUGGCCGUUGAUGAGAUCUAAUUGGGCGAAAAUCCUUGGCCUGGUACGCGCCUUCUUUCUUCGAAUGAGGCAGAUGAAGGAGUAAUCAAUCGGGGCUGUGAAAGCGUGCCCCCUUGGAGAUCAAUGAAAACUGUAAAUGUCGUCUUUAACAGUUUCCAGCAGAAAGUUUGGUAGAAGAUAAGUGGAAACCCACAGGUCAGGAGCUUUAUCGCUACCAAGUUGAAAGUAGCAGCCUUGACUUCCUCCAUGUCGGAAGGGGGCAGUUAGGUACUCAGGUUGUAGUAGCGUGUUGGAUUGGAAAGAGCGCUCCAGUCCCCGAAGGAGGAAGGCCUCCUCUGCCUGACAGAACAAUCGCGAAAAUGCUGAUAGAAAAGGAUCUUUUGUGAUCCUCCGUAGUCUCCAGUGUCGUCUCUAUUACUUCAAUGGAGUGGUGCGUUUCCUGCCGUUGGCCACAGCAUGGAGAACUUGGUAUUAGCGUCUCCCUCAUUUGAGCCAAAAUUGUUUGGACUGGUUUUCCAGGAGACUUCUUCUUCCAAAAUCUGUGUGAGUUUGAUUUGAUGGCGUUCUCUCUUUUCGGGAGAUCUAAGCUCAGAUUUUGGAGCUCUUUUAUCUGAUCAAUUAGACUGAGCUCGUCCAGAGGGCUUCUUAGCUACGAUAAUAUUGUAAAAGUUUGAUUUGCACCAAUUCCUUUCAUACGAACUCUGCACGUGCCGUCAGUUUAGCAGCUAUAGUGAAGGAUCGCUGAUCCUUUAGGGCUGACUUCGUUCCACCAUAAGUGGUACUUUGGAGAUAAAUCCGCUUUCGUGAGCCAGACCUUUUCAAAACGAAACCUACGCGUCGGAGGCGGGAGCCUAGAGUAGAGGAGAAUCGGAGUAUGAUCAAGGUGAUUCUAGGGAGGGCUUUGGCCUUGCACAGGUGGAUGAGAAGAGGUCCCAUUCCGUGGAGACGAGGAACCUGUCUAUUUUGGCAUAGUGGGUGUACGAUGCAUGUUAGACAAGUGAAGCUUUGAUUUGAAAGCGAACAUCAAUCGACCUCUAGGAUUGAUAAGAUCCGAGAACUAUGUCCAUGGAUUUCUAACUCAAGUACGCCCCAGUCUUUCGGUUUGAUUUCUGGUGAAGUUAAAAUUCCCACGAUGACCGCCAGCUGGUGCGCAAUUAUCUUUUGAGGGAAGCCAAUUCAGACAGAAGGUCCUUACCCUCCCAGGUGGGCGGGCCGUAAAAUAGUGAUGAAGAAAGUCGAGCCGCUCGCGGUGAUGGGAGAGGCGUACAGUAAGAGAGUACGACGAACAAUAACUUUAGUCGCAGCAAAGAACUCGAGCACCAACAGAUAUAAGACUCCUGAGCCCGACGGCCGGCAAAAAGUGACAUUUUCAACACUGGAGCCACAACAUGAUCUAAGAAAGACGCGAGAUACAGAGUCGACUUUAGUUUCCUGAAGACAGACAACUGCACUGUAGUGGCCUAGACACGAUAGAUUAUAACUAGACACUUUACGAGGAUCAUUGAGAUCGAACGUUCCAAUUAAGAAAGAAGACAUAAAAAAGAGACGACCCCAGAGAACAACAUCAGAACAGUAAAAGGGGAGAGAAACAAAGUUAAAUAGACCCCGCGGACAGGAAGUUUUGGAGAUCCUCGCUCAGCAUCAGAAAUCGCUACUCCAAGCAGAAGACUCUUCUUCUUGAUUCUAGAGCGAGACAGGUUUACGAGCGGAGCGGCCCGGAUCAGACGAAGAUCCUUCCAAAAGUUUAGCUUUCCUGUUCAUUUGCUCGCCGAGCACGUUGACAUCCGUCAGAUUUGAGAGUCUGGCUGCUUACCCUAAAGGGGGGGAGGGGCUCCACCAGACAGUUAGGAGGGGAGGGUCAGCAGAGUGAAGGGGGGGAGCAAGGGGAGCAAGCUGGCAGGAUAGUGAAGGCCAAGGCCGGCCCGCAGGAGAUAGCAAGGUGGGAGGCAGCAGGUGGUCUCCGGCCCCCGGGAGGGAGGGCGCGCCAUGGGAGGAGGCGAGCCGGGGGGCUUCGGGCUGGCAGGAGAGCUCAGGGAGUUCAAGCCCGGACAGAGGGAGCACCGAUCAGGGGAGCCCGAGCGGCGACUGGGCCAUCGAAGGCCCACGUUGGAUUCACAGAUAGUUCCAGCAAGCGGGAAGGCAGGCGGGGGGGGGAAGGGCGGCGAGCCGGCGGAGAGGGGUGGACGCGGGCUGGCGGAGAGCACAGGCGGCGGGAGCUCGAACCGCGGCAGGGGCUCGGACCAGCGGAAAGGCACAUGCCAGCGGGGGAGGUCGAACCGGCAGGGGGGGGCUCGGACCGGCGGAGGGCACAGGCCGGGGGGGAGCUCGAACGGCGGCGGGGAGCACAGGUCGGCGGGGGAGCUCGAACCGGCAGGGGAGCUCGGACGCACGGGAGGGCACAGGCCGGUGGGGAUUUCGAAGCGCGGCGGCGAGGGCACAGGCCGGUCGAGAGAGCACAGCCGGGGAGGCUCAGGCGGCAGGGGAGCCGUGGGCCGCGGAGGGCUCGGGUUGGCUGGGGGCUCGCGCGGACGGGAAGGGCAGAGGAGGCCGAGGCCGGGCUCUCCAAGGCCAGGCCCAAGUUGGGCCCACCGGUGGAGUCCAGCAAAUGGCUUCCCGGGCUCUCCAAGGCCAGGCCCAAGUUGGGCCAACCGGUAGAGUCCAGCAAAUGGCUUCCCAGGGAGAAGAGGUGGGCCUGGGCCGUUCGCAGACUUUCCAAGGUCCAACAGAAGGAGUCCCAGGUCCAUUUGAAUGACCCGGGGCCCAGUGCAGGGUAGAUAUGUGGGCCAGAAAAAAGCGCAGCGAAGAGGAGGCUUCGCGGCAGUCCCGUCGGACAGAGGCCCAAAUAACGUAGUUUGAAAUUUGAAACAGAGCAGUACAGUACUGGACCUGAGGGGGAGAGGCUCCAAGCAGAAUAAAUGCGCAGGGACUUUUCCCGAUAAGCGAGGCUUCUACAAAAGCUGAUCCCGGCUUGAUCCGAAGGGCUCAUCUUCCAACAACAGGCAGAAGAUGAGCGAGGCUGAGUAGGGUGAGACAAAAGGAGGCAUGAUCAGCAGGCAGACCAGUACUUUCUCCAACAAGUGGAUCAACUUGCACUAAGGAGGAAAGAUUUGGAAAAAGGCAAAUCUGGCCCUUGGGGUACGGGAUGCGGUCAGUCGAGGCGUCACCGACCGGAGAGUCAGCUGAGGCGUCACCGAUCGGAAUACCAGCCGGCCCCGAUCCCGUGGAGGCCUCGGCCACAGGCGCCGACCCCGACCCCAGGGAGGUCAGAGAAGCCUCAGUCACCGGCACCGACCCCAAUUCCAGGGGGGCGAUGAGGCCCAGUGAAGGUGGUUGGCAGCGCCUCCGAUCUCGGAUUUCGGAGGAGUCAGAGGAGCCGUCCGAGUUGGGGUCGUCGUCGUCCAGAGGCCUCCGCGCUCGUACUUCACCAAAGUACCGACGUUCAACCUCUAAAGAUCUCAUGUCAGGAUCGAAAUGGUCCGUUCGCUCGUUGGGCGGGGGAGGAGGAUCACCACCGCCAUUGUCCCUGUCCCGAGCCCAACGCUCAAGUUGGAUUAGGACCGACAUAGAGACGUCCCCGAAGGCGACGUCCAGAUUCUCGGGUAUGUCAUGGAGGUGGUUGACGGCUACGAGGCAGCGGUAGCCGGAGAGAUCUAUCAUGCGAGUCGUGUGCUCAUCCGCCCUGAUGAACCGGGUGAAGUCGCCGACGAUAGCCGCAACGGUACGGGAAGACCAACAUUCAUAGGGAAGAGAUACCAGUCUGAUCCAAGCUUUGUAAGGGGGAGAAAAACGGCGGGCGCCACUGUAGGGAUUCCAGGCAUAGCAUGGUAAUCUAAUAUCCCCCAGGCUGAGGUUUUGCCUUCGGACAAGGGAGUCGCUUGGAACCCAUUCUGGAAGAAACACCACGAACUCUCGUUCCCUGUAGCGAGCCACCAGAAAGUCCAUGGGGAAGCCUUCGAAACGGUUGGCGAGACCGUUGGCGAUAGUGUCUUGAGCGAAGUGGCCAAGAUUCGCGGGGGGAACGACAUCCACAAGGAGUGCAUUGCGGCGCCUGUUCUGCCGGGCAAAGAAGUCUUCUGUCUGCGGAACAAAGACGUUCAGGUAAGCUGGGCGAGCGCGCAUGUAGCGGUAGACGUCCAUCGGGAGGCGAUCCAUGCAGCUCCGCGCCUUGUGACCCGUUUUGAGGCACAGAGCGCACCGCAAAGGCUCCCGGCAAGCGGCCGCUCUGUGGUUCCGUCCUAGGCACCGGAAACACCGAUCCUUGAAAGAGCGCUUGGGGGGAGUGUUGCGAAGAGUGUUACGAAGAGGUGGUGGAGGGUGGCGCGAAGGGAGAGAGGCACGGGAGCGAUGCGCGGGAGCGAAGAGCAGAGAUGGCGGCGGAGGGUUGCGUGAAGAGGAGGGUGGGGCUGAGGAGAGGAGGGCCUCUUUGUAGGACGGUUUGCCGGGAGGAGCGAGGCGUCCGUUCCUUUUGUAAUGCACUUCGGUCCAAGGCUGAUCCGCAGGCGCUCCCUUGCCGUCCGUGUCCUUUACAGCUGGAGCAGGAGCACUAGGGGCAGUAGGGGAGUCGUCCUUGCUGAAGAAGGUAACUUGAGCCAGGUCCAGUCCAGCGGAGUCCGCCCAGAUCACCUUCUUAGCUAAGGAACGAUCAUUAAUGCUGGAGCUUGAGGGGUGGGUGGUUGCCAUAACUCCAUAUCCCAGAUGAUGUUUAAGCUCCUGAAACCUCCGCUCCAAGUCUAUACUCAGUCCAGAUGAAAUGACGUUCCCUAGCUGCCUGGGACAGGGGGCCGCCGUCGUCCCUAGCACCGUCAUGCCUGUUGUCUUGGCCGUCGUGCCUGUCGUCUUGGCCGCCGUCUUCCCUGUCGCCGUAAUCGCCGACUUCCUUGUCGUCGUGAUCGGUGUACAGGCGAUCGCCUUCCCCUUCUCUCUCUCUCUCUCUCUCUCUCUCUCUCUCUCUCUCUCAUUUUUUUUAGCAAUUUUUAACAUAACAUAUGUAAUCGUUAAAUAAAAUUGUUCUUAUACGCAAUGGCAAAUAUCUCAUUUGACUCCGAAGUGUGAGAAAUAUUUUGGGUUUCACGAAGAUAUCUUUAAUUAUAUAGAAUCCCCUCUAAAAUUGGAUACCAAAAAUAUCCAUCUAAUUUAAAGAAAUUAUCAGAGUUAAUCAAACAUUGAUGAUAAUUCUUUUUUAAAAUUUCUCAGAAUUUCCACUUUGCCCUUUAUCAAUCAUCAACGCCUUUUUGAUUGAGCCAAAGAUUUCUACCUUUAAAAUAUUAUAAAUGCAGUUGGUUUUAUAUUAUUUUUUUUAUCCUCAUGACCUUAUAUGAACCUAUCUCAAAAACUUUCCAAUUAUAGUAAAAACCGAAAUUCUAGUGCAUGAUAGUCCUAAUAGAAUUACGAUUAAGACAAAAGUCCUAGCCUAAUUCGGAUAAAAAAAAUAAUAUAAAACAAAAGAAUAAAAUUUUCUUAAGAAAGAAUAACUAAAAUUGACGUUUCUUAAGAAAGAAUAACUCCAAUUAAAAAGAGGAGCCUAUUAAACUACUUGAUAAAGUUUUUGGGGGUUUUAAUUGCCAAAAUAAAAAGUUUAGGCACAUGUUUCAUUUUUCCCAUAAAAUUUUGUAUAGUGCCUUGGUUUUUCUUUUUUUUUUUAAAUUUUUGAUAGAACGGUGGCAAACUACCUGCUUCGUUCAUUUUUUUUUUAAAAAAAAUGAGCUCAAAUAGAAAUGUGAAGUAAUUAGGUUUCGAACUUGGGAUCUUAGAUACAGACCAUUAAGCCCUUAGCUUGAAUUAUUGUAUGCAUAAAAACCAAUCAAAGUCUACAAUAUCAGAUAUAACAAUCUAUCCAUACAUGGCCUGUAAGGAUUAAUGUAUUGUGCCCAUUAGCAUUUACCAGUCCUCAAAUUUCCAGCUAAGUUUCCAUUCUAGUUCUUAAAACUUCUGAGUUCGAUGCUCUUGACCUAACUUUUUUCCUUAAUUUUAUAAAUAUUCUGUUCUUCUCCAAAGUUCGUUUGUUUAAUAUCUAAAUAAAGAAAAGAUUGUAGUUUGUGAGAUGAUAAGGUUAUUAAAAUAUAAGAUAUCAUCAGGGGUUAAUAAAGACAGUGCAUAUAUAAAUGCAUAGAUCCAUACACUGGGUGUAGGCUAUAAGUUUUUCACUAAUUUAAUAAGGACACAAUGGUUAAAAAUAAUAUAAAAAAAAUCUAUAUUUUAUCCAUACAUUAAUUUUCACAAUCGUGUUCUUGGAGCAAAGUAGUGAACUUGAGAAAUCAUGUUAUCUGUGCCACUAUAUUUUAUCCAUACAUUAAUUUUCACAAUCAAUAGAUAUAUAUGUUUCAAGUAGUUGGCAUAGGUGCAAAAUGUUCUUGUUUUACAUGAACUUACGUACAAAUUAAGAACUCAGUGGAGUAAAACAUUUCAAAUUCGAGCUGCUUCUUAAGUCUCUUUCAAGAUAAUUAAUGUUGAAUGGUAGUGGGUUUCACAACCAGGCUAAAACAGUGUCAUUUUAGUUGAUGCCAAAAUAUUGUUGUUUGUAGCAUAUUGUUUCAUGGACCCCAGCUGCCUCAUUUGAUUGUGGGGGAUGUUGUUGGAAACUGCAUGUGCGCGAGAUGUGUACAAAAAAGCGUAUUGAGUAACAAAUUUGAAAGAGUAUGAGUGAUGAAUUCAAAAAAGAGUGUGUGAGCAAUGAAUUGAGAUGAGUAAUAGGCGGUCCUUAGUUAUGGCUUAUUUUGUUUCGAUUGCAAGUUCUGCAUAUUGAUGAAAACAUUUUUUUUUUCUGGAAAUAAAUAUGUAGGGAAGAUCCUUGAAAAGUAGGUUGUCGACGUCCCCACAUAUUUCAAGCAAAUACUUAUGAUGCACUGCUCGUUAGCUUCAACGUACUAAAAGUACGUGAAGGUGUACAUAAAUAGCGAAGAAUACAUACGGAAAGGACUUUAUGCAUGACGAGAUCAUUGGACUUGCGUGUCGACUCUACACAAUUAAGCUCUAGACAAUAUAUAGUAGCAGAGAUUUCGAAAACAAUGUUGCUCAUUUCACUGCGUUUGUAAUUUGAAAAUGAAGUAUAAAUUAAGGGAGGAUAAUAUUGGAAAUUCUAAUCCGAACUUCCUCCAAGAUAUAGAAAGAGAUAACGUUUAUCCUUGAAAAUUAGGUAUAUGAGAAAUAGAUAUAUGUUCAUCCUUGGAAAAUAGCUACCAAAUUUGCUAGGUAAUUGAGAGACAAUUUGUUCGGUUUAUAUGAUUAUAUACUCCAUAGCAUUACUAUAUAUCGUCGUAUGACAACAUGUCAAUAAUCAUAUUCUUUAGUUUUAAGCCUAUUUGAUAUAAUGGUAAGGUGCAAGGAAAAAGUUAAAUGAAACAAUAUAUGUUUCAUAUAUGUGGUUCUCGAUCUUGGUGCUUUUUUCUAAUGAUUUUCCACAUAAUUUUUAAUGUUUAUUUAUCCAGUGGUCUGAUUUAGCUUUUUUCUUUCACCUUGAUCUUUUCAUAUUGCAAUUGCUAGCCCAGAUUGGCCCUAAACUUUUCCAAACCCAUAGUCACCUCCUCGGACUUACAUAGUUCGCAUUCCCCCCAUGAAAUUAUUAACAUGGUCCCUUACCACAUCUACUUAUAUAUUUUAAUUCAAACAUGAUCUAUAAAGUGGUGCAAGCAACUUAUCUAAACAAAAGGUUCAGAGAUAAUGGUCCCUUCCAUGUAUUCGAAAGCACCAAAACAAGUUAUUUAAUAAAAGCUUUGAUACCUUACUAAUAUUUCUUUCGAAUCUUGGACCACUCUACAUGGCUAUACAUAUAUGCUUUAACUAGAAAGAAGGUGAUGCAUCAAUUAAUAUACGAUUCUCCUUACAUUUAAGAUAAUUUAAUCAUUAUAAUGAGCUGCAAAACCACUUUUGGAAUCCCAUGAACGUGUCGUGUUAUAUAUGCUCCCAACAUACAUAAGAUGAGAUUGUAACUGGGGUACCGAGAGGCUAUGCAAGGAGGGGACGGGGACUUCGAGAAAAUGGGAAAGCAUGCAUCCUUUUCUGAUGCAAUCAUCUGCUUUCAUGAUAAAGUGAUGUCCCCCAGUGCAGGAUCCACUUGUGGAAAAGAAAGAUGAAAUAAACCGUGCAUGCUCUUCGAUGAACGAAAACAAACUCCUUACAUAGGGAGCUCCCUAUAGAAGUUUUUAUGCGGAGGGACUCGAUGGAUGGAUCAAUCAUCCACUAACUAAGCUUUCCAGCUCGAUUAUUAAACCUGCAACUGGUAUAUUUCUAAUUAGAAAAAAAAUUACUUAUUUAAAGAAUUUAAAUUAUUAGUUUGAUUGUUGGAAUUAGAAGUAUCGGUAGGAUAUAUAUAUAUGAACGGCAUCCAAAUCUUCGAUAAAAUAUCCUUGAUAAUUAAAGAGUUCGGUCUUAAACUUUAUCCCGCUUUAUUGGGGUCUGAGCUGCGCAUGCGUGGUUGCUUUCCGAUAACAAAAGAGAUGCGAACCAUACUGCUUUACACGUAAAAGUAAAUAGAAAAAAAAGUUAAAGUGCAUGUAAAUUACUAAAAUACAGACCAUUUGCAAAAUUCAAAUGUUUUCAUUGUGGUACCUGAACUUUCUAAAAUUCUCAUUUUAGUAGCUACAUAUUAAUUAUUCGAGAAAAUUUUGCCAACACAUAUCCAUGGGUUUACAUAUUUAUGCACUAUCCCACUCUCCAAUAAAGAAAGUUUACAGUUAGAUUAAUGAUAAGAAGAGAAGUAUGAGACGCAAUAAAGAGCAGUUAGGAGAGCAGCGUAUAAAUGGGCAAAUGCAUGUACGUGAUGCAGAAAAUAAUUUCUACAGCUAUAUAUUAUAGACAGGGGGAUGUACUAAAAUGGUAAUUUCAAAAAGAUUAAGCAUUAAAAAUAAAAUUUAUAAACUUUGGACGCCUAUUUGAAAUGACGAGUUGCCUGUAGGGUAAUUUGACUAAGAAACAGUUAAUGUAUAGUAAAUUUAUCCACCAAAAGAUAAGAAUAAUAAUUAGUUUCAACAUGGAAUUUAGCAAUCUUUUCGGAGCUUGAUAUGAUAUUAUAUGUUCUUCUAAUAUAUAAUUAGUGAUUAAGAUAGAUGUGACAAAAAAUUGACAAGAAACCUCAAGGAGAGUAAUGUUGUUCAGACCAGAAGGUCAGUUGAAAUGUCACACAAAAAUGAAGGAAGGAAUUUUAAAAAUUAAAAAUUUUAGAUUUUUUUUUUUUUUUUUUUUGGUUGCAAAAGCAGAAGUUUUAGUUUGAUACUUUGAUUUUGCUAUACAAAGAUGAUAUUUAGGAAACACGGAGAACUUUGGUUAGAUAUUGUAAUUGUAAAUAUAGUGUAGUGGAUAUGUAUGUAAUAUUUUCGUUUUUUUUAAAAAAAAAAUUAUUAGAUGACUAACCGUUGACUCAUUUCAAAGAUAGGGCAUUCAAUUCAACAAUCGACACCAUCAAGUAAUCACAUCAAAAGCAUUUGAAGUUCUAGGAACUAAAUUUUACGUUUCUCCAUAUAUAACUGUUCUCAUGUGUAUUGAAUGAGCACAAAAUAAAAUGCUAAAAUUGAAUACACUUAGAAAAAAGAAAAGUCAGAUCAAGAGUGUUGAUGUUGAUUUAAGUAUUAAUUUCAAAAAAAUUUCUGACAAAAAUUUAACUUGUUUUGAUUUUUCCUAUACUAUGAACUUGGCAAAUGUCUCAUAACGACAACUAAGAACUGUUGAUUUUGAUAUUAUUAAAUCUUUAGCUAGAAACUUUGAAUACUCUAAAGCAUAUGUCUGUCAGUGUCAAUCGUCAGCUAAAAUAUCUAAUUUUCUAUUUUCUAUUAUUAGAUAAUCCACAUCAUAUACUAUUUGCUAAUUUACAAGCAAAAGAUUCCACAAAAUUUGACUAAUAAUCCAUAUUUGACUACACCCUCCAUUAUUGCAAUUUGGCACCUGUGUAUUUUUCAUCUUCAACGCGUGACUUUUCUCGAACCAUCUUUCCACUGAAACUUUCACAUCUUAGCAGUAACCUCACUCAACUUGAAAUUGACAAUUGACUUCAAGGUCAAUAACAACAAAAUCGUGGGUCCUUGUCUCCUAUCACUAGUGCAGGAGAAUCUCUUCCAAUUAAAUCUCCUCCAUCUGCCACCUAAUUAGUAUAUAUCUUGUUAAUUAACCAACAAAUGCCCCCUACAUAUAUUUUUUCUGUAUAAAUCCUAUCAAAGUUCUUAGAUCUGUUUUCUAGACCCACUUUUGCCUGUAGUUCAUCAUUUCUCAACAACAUUCUCACAUGUCCACUGCUAGAUUUUGACUUUUCAUGAAAUUGAUCAGGUAGCUAGGGUUGUAGGUUACUUCCCUAAAUUCCCAAUCUAUAGCUCGGAGUCUUUGACUCGAUUGUCUAGGGCUGUAGGUAACUUCCCUAAAUUUCCAAUCUAAAGCUUGGAGUCUUUGACUCAACUGUGUAGGAUCGUUGGCGCUGACCAUUAAUCCCAAAAGCUCGAACUGUUAGAAACUCGGCUCAAUCUAGCCUCUUGCCCUCCCGCCACAUAGCAGGAUACUAGUCCCUUUAAGCUAACAAUCCCCUCUCACCCUAGCACCCUUUUAAGCCAGCAAUUCCCCACACCCCUCCUGCAACUGCACAAAUUUGCAGCAUGCAAAAAUCGAAUCUGUAACCUAUGGCUCUGAUACUACUUGUUUGGCCUCUCGUCAAAGGGCAAAAUACUGAUACUACGAGUCUCGAUUGUGACUCGGUUCAACCAAUUUCACACCACUUCGAAUAUGAUUCGGUCCAACUCGCUCUUUCACCAUUUUGAACAUGCAUAUGACUCGGCCCAAUCUGAUCUCCCGCCUCAAGGCAGGAUGCUAGUCCCUUUAGACUGUAAAUUAGGUGCUAAAACAAAAUAGUUAGUCUUUAUAUUCGCCCUACUCCAAAUCAGAUUUGAUGAACAUCGGCCAAGUGUCAGAAAUAUAUUUUAUCAAAACUAAACUUGAAUUAGUUACAUAAGCAUCAUGGUUGGAUAUCAAUUAAGUAUAUAGUAUACAAGUACUUUUGGUUUGUAAGGAGAAUCUAUAUCAGAGUGGACCUCACGCACUGGGACACAAGAUGCAUAAAUCUCAUGAUAUGUUUUGUUGGCUGCGAGAAUCUGAGUCGAAAUGUUUGAUUCCUAUUCUCGUUGAUUAGUUUAUUCAAUCAAGUUGGGAAUUUAAAAUAAAUCACAACAAGAUGGCACAGGCUAUGAAGGUAAUGGUGGUGGUGUCGGUCAUGGCGACGAUUGAGUCGAUGAAAAUAAAACUUAACCGCGAUUUUGAUUACUGAAAUCAAAAUGACAAUCGCUAAUUUUUGUUUCCAUUUUUCGGCCAAAAUGUUUCGACUCAAAAGACACCAUUAACUUGCUUUAAUCAGAAAAAUGUAAUAUGAACUAGCUAGUUCAGAGCUCAAUUGCUCUUGCCAUGCAUGUGUCCUUCAAAUGUAAAUAAUGAACCUGCCACAAAGGAUUCUAAUAAGUUUACUAUUUUUCAUUAUAUUAAUAAAUACUUCUGUUUUUUUUUUAUGUCAGGAAUCAUAUAGAACAAAAGCCAGUGGAAUUAGUUACCUGGACCACUUAAAUUCCCGAAAAAGUAGGAAGAACCAAUAAUUCAAAGUGAUAAUGAAAACAAGUUGUAAUGGGUGGUAGUUAGGGUUUUAAAAGGCCUGAAUACAUACUAGCAGCUAAGCUAAAAUAUCGAUCAAGCUCGGUUCAUAUUCGAGCCAGCUCAUUUAUUUGGAGUUGAACUUGAGCAAUUUACAAAUAUAUUAUAUAAAAUGUAAAAAAGCUCCCCUCAAAAAUACAAAAAAACAAACAGAUCUUAGAAUACUAAGGAGCAUAAAAUUAUUAUGUUUGGUUUAGAUCACUAGAUUUCCUAUAAUAUAAAGGAAAUGCUUCUUGUACACCCAAAAAGGGGUGUAGAUCUUACACUCCCCCUUCUAGAGUUGAUAAAAAUUCGAACUUAAAUUCAUUAUAUGUGUUGUUGGCUCAAAAUUUUAAUUUGUAUUUGAUUCAAAUUUUUUAAUUCGAAUUAUAAAUCUAGUAAAAAAUGUUUAUUUAAAUUUGUAUUCUAAAUUAAAAUUUUACAAACAAAUUGCCAAAUUUGUGUUUAAUUUUUAAGAGGCAUUCCCCUUCUUUCACUCACAUGAUAUUGUGGGAGUCACCUAAAGACUUUCAAUGACAUAAUUAAGUCAUCUAUUUAAAUUAAAAUAAAAAAUAAACUUAAAUUUAAAUUUUGUGUAUUAAAUUUAAAUUAUAUAUUUAAUUAUUGAACUCAAAAUUUCUAUUGGUCAUCUAAAAUGCUGCACUUAUAAGCUACGAAUGUAUUAACAUUAACCACGUGAAAAAAUUUGAAUGGUUUACGACAUGCAAUUUAGCAACCUACGUAAGCUUAAGCUUGCCAAUACAUUAAUAAUCCUUAUCAAAUCCUUAGUGGGAAUCUAAGGCAUUUUCUUUACUUGCUUGUGGGGGAUUGUUUGUGAGAAUCCAAGGCAUUUUUUCUGUGAUAGAUCCUUUGUGAGGACACGUUUGUUGCGGGGUUCAAGGGCGGAAAUUGUUAUUUUUAUAAACUUUUACUCGUAUUAAUUUCAUUUGGUACAAGAUUAAUUAAUUCACCUCUCUUUAAUCUCCAAUAAUACAAAAUUGUUAAUCUAGAUGACACUAAAUUAAAAGGAGGUGGAAGAGAAAAUAUAUGAAAAAUGAUAAAAUUUUGAUUCAUCUUAUAUCAUUCUCUUCCCUUUCUCUGCUUAGUUUCUCUUUCUUAAUUUCUCUUUCCUUAUUUUCUCCCUUUUUUACUUUCUCUCUCCUCAAUUUCUCUCUCCUUAAUUUCUCUUUCUUCACUAUCUGUUCUCUAUAUUUCUCUUUUCACUCUCUCUUUGCAUAAUUUCUCUCUUCACUUUCUCUCUCCUAACUUUGUCUUUCUUUACUUUCUCUCUUCUUAUUUUCUCUAUCCUUAUUUUCUCUCUCUUCACUUUUUUCUCUCAUCUCUCUUUUGUUGCUUUAUUUUGCUUCACUUUCUCUCCUCUCAUCCUUUUAUCUCUUCUUGCUUUCUCUCUCAUUAUCUUCUCUCUUCUAAUUUCUCUUUCUUCACUGCUCUCUCAUCCUUCUCUCAUUGUCGUAUUUGUCUUCAAUUUUUCUCUCCUCAUUCAUCUCUCUUUACUUCUUCUCUCCUUAUUUUCUCUCUUCAAUCUCUCUCAUCCCUCACUUUCUCUUUUCUCACUUUCUCUCUCAUCAUCUUCUCUCACUUUCUCUCCUUGUUGUAUUCGUCUUCAGUUUCUCUUCUCCUUAUUUCCUCUUUCUUACUCUAACUCUCCAUUUUCUCUCACCUUAUUUUCUCCCUUUUUUCUCUAUUCGCUUUCUCUCUCAUCCCUCUAUCCUUUUCUUCUCUAUCCUUCCAUUGUCUCUUUUCUUCUCACUUUCUCUCUCUUGCUUCACUUUCUUUGUCUAAGGCUCCAUUUGGAAUUGUGAAGAAAUUGUAUUACAUGUGGUGAGAAAGUACGAUAAAAAAAUAUUCUAUUUAUUCUCGUAUAUAAUAUCGCAUUCCGAAUAUCGUAAGAGUUAGUUAUGGUAUACUUUAUGCGGUCCAACAAAAAAAUGCAGAAGUAUAUCUUUAUAUGAUUUCGUUCCAACUUUAUUUCAUUUAUUAGCAUUAGAUAUGCUUCAAUAUCGAAUGGGCCCCUAGGUGUCAUAAAUUAAAUUAGAAGUUAAAAAGUAUAUGAUAGUCAACUAUUGUGAGAGUUAAACAGGUCAUUUUGUAAUUUAAUUAAAGAAAAAUUGACAGAAAGAGCAUCUCCGAUAUGAUUUAUAUAUCUACAGAGAUAGUAUUAAUAUUAAAUUUUUGAAGUGGUGUCUGUAAUAGUUUAUAAAUUUUAAUAGAUACAUAUAAAUAUUAAAAUACCAUCCUGUUAUAACUUAAUCUUUUGAAAACAAACAAUUACUUUAUUACAUUAUUUAAUAACAAAUAAGACAAGAUUAAAUGAAUCGAUUUAAUACAAGAAUUGUUAAAAGCGGUUGUUCCAUAUUAUUUAACAUCAAGCAAAACCACACUCACUGAAACCAUGAGUUAAUCAGAAAAUUAUUAAAAAUAAUUAUUUUACAUGAGUACAGUUUGUGUGCUUUUGGAAGCACACAAAGGUUUCCAUACUUUCAAGUUGUUUUUGAUGAUUAACAUCUGAUUCGAAAAGAUCGACUUCAUUAGAUAUAAUCUACACUAUUGAAACUAUUUAGAAAUUGAAUUUUAUAAUUUUUCUACAUCAUUUGUCAAGUGAUCAAAAUAUCUCAAAAUUGACUAUUUUAAUGAUCGAUGUGGUAUAGUUUACCAUCAAGAACAAGAUAAAUAUUUUCGAUUUAAAAUUUAAGCCUUCUACCACUCUUUCUAAUGAGCAUUUUAUUUUCAGUCGCUCAUUUUGAGACAACUCGUUCACUAGGCAAAUAAAGUCAAAACAAAUUAUGGAAUUUAAUUUUUAAAUAGUUUCAAUAAUAUAGUUCAUAUUUGGAUCAGAUUUCGCAUAAGUCUUGAUUCAUUUUACAUUAUUCAACAAUAAAUGAGAUCAGAUUCAAUGAACCAAUAUAGUUAAUGUCAAAGAAAUUAUAAAUUUAUACUUAGUUUUUGAACAAAUGACAGCGCGCGGGUCGGAUUCGGGGCGGAUUUUCAAAAAUCCAAACCCGAACUCGACUCCAAACCUGAAACCCAUAUCCGAACCCAAACCCAAUAGAUUUUAAAAAUCCAUAUUCAAACCUGAACCCGACCAAAAAUUUGAAAUGCGAACCCGAAUCCGAACCAAAAAAUCCGACUUGAAAUAAUUAUUUCUCUUUCCAAUAUUUCAAAAUAUAUUAUAUUAAGUCUAAAUUUUUAAAAUACAAAUUAAAAUAUAACAUCAAAUUUUUAUAUACAUAUUAUAUAUAAUGUAAAACAAAUUCGGGUUUGGUCGGAUUCGUGUCAGGUUUAGAUUCGAAUCGGGUACAGUCAAAAUAUAUAUAUCCAUAUUUAUAGACUUUUUUUUUAAUAUUUAUAUAUAAAAAUAUAUUCAUUUCGUUCUAAUUCAAAUUUUGAUAAAAUUUUGAGUAUGAAUAACCAUUGAUAUCCCUAGGGACAGUCCCCAAUGAGGAGUCCCACACCCCCACUUGCUCUCCAAAUGAAGACACAGCCACCUAGAUGGGCGGCUCAAAACACCAUUUACAGUGCCAAUAAUAAUUGCCUCCCCCUUUUUUUUUGCUGUGGUCCGGCGCUAAAGCUUUGCACUAAACUACCCCAGUAACUCCCCCAACAUCUUCACGCUAAAAGCCCCAUGCCGUUUUUGGUACUAUGGGGGAGAAAGCGGUGUACGAAUAUCUGGUGUACGGGGGGUGCGAUGAGUGGGUGCGGUGAGCGUACCGCCUCGGUCCCUCCGCCGGCCCCGCGCGCGGUGGAGGAUGUCGCAAUCGGAGGUCCCACUUCGCACGCAAACUUGUGGCUGCACCCGGUGUGUGACCACACUCUAUACGCCACACUUUAGGCUAAAUUCACCUGCGGUCCUUUAAUUAUGAAACUUUUGACAUUUUGGUCCUCAAAAUUAACGUGUUAUAAUUUUUUACUCAAUUUUUUUAGAUUAGAUGAAUCAAGUCGUAGAGAUGAUGAGCUAUUAUUUGGCGUUAUUUUGGCAUCUUACUAAUUGCUACACUAUUAACUAUAACACUACCAUAUUUAGGAUUGUUAAUGGGCAUGAUGUUUAAAUUUUUAUCCAAAUUUAAGUCCGAAUGGGACUGGUUGCUCGACUAGACGAUUUUUAAUGGAUAUGGCUACAGUUACUGUAUAAUAACUGAAAACUCGAUGAAUUUGGAUUCGAGUAUGAAUUUUGUCUAUACCAGACCCAAACUCGAACCUGAAUGCAAACCCGAAUAAAUUUUACCUUAUAUAAUUUGUAUGAAUCUUUUAUGUCAUCAGGUUCGGAUUUCAGGUUUUUAGUCGGAUUUGGUUUUAGACAUGGAUUUUCAUCACCUGCUGAGUUAGGAUUCAAAUUCAAGUUUUGGUUUUGACUGUCAUAUUCGGAUUCAAAUUUUUCAAAAGUCUUCCCAACUUGGUACAUUAAACGAAGCGGGUAGCGUGCUACUUAUCUCUAAAAAAAAAAGAAAAAAGAAAAAAGAUAUUGCUCAUCACACCACUGUCAGGGUGCGUUUGGUUCGCAUUAUGAAAGAUUACUAGGAAUAAAAGAUAUCCGAGAAUCUUAUUCCUAUUCAUCCUAUUACUAAAAAUGUGAAAUUUCUGUGUUUGGUUCGCACGGUAAUAUUAAUUAGCCAUGUUAUUUAAUAUUACAAAAAAUACCAUUAAUUAAUUAAUUUAUUUAAUUUUAGAUAAUGUUACCAAAAGUUUUAACAUCUUUUUCUAAAAAGGGUGAGAAGUAUAAGUUAGAGAGAGAGAGAGCAUAAUUAAAAAAUAGGAAAAAAAAUAUAGUCAAAAUUAGAGGGAGUGAGAGAGUUGAAAUUUUAGAAAGAGAGAGAGAGAAAACUUAAUUUAGAGAGAGAAAAAAAGUUAAAUUUUAGAGAGAAAAAUAAGUUUAGAAAGAGAUAUAAGGUUAGAGUGUAAAGAAAAAUGAUAUCAAUUAGCUGGCUAGUAGGAAGAAAGAAAGAAAUUAGACAUAUUAUGAUUAUCCCAAUUCAUUAAUAUGAGGAUACCCACCAUCCCUCAAGGGAAUGAGAUUAGUACUUUGGAUGAACCUUAUUCCCAAGUGAAUCCAAUAUUACCAAAUAGAUUACUUAGUGCGUUUAGCCAAACACCGUCAUAUUUUUUUAUUUCUAUUGGAUUACUAAAAAUUUUUAAAAAAUAGCGCGAACCAAACGCACCCUCAUAUCAGCCACGCAUUACUAACUAGCUAAUUAAAUUAUAUUAUAGAACUUUAUUGUAAUAAUCUAUAAAAUUUGAUUCAUAUAUGAUUUAGUUUUGAUGCUUAAUAUCAAAUCAGUAGUGGAUUAAAAAAAGAAAUUAUUAUUUGAUUUGCUAUAAACUAUAAUGGAAAAUUUAUGACUUUUGUGGUACGUUAACUUUUUUAGAUGUCGUUAAAAAGGACAUCCGGUGCAUGCCGUAACAUCUUCCUGCUGGUGGGCCCACGCGCUUCCCGAGAAGAUGAUCAAACGGCCAGGACGCUCCGGACGCAGUCAAAUCGCGCGGUGCACCGUAACGCACCCCCGUACUAAAACGGCCACAUCUUAUUCUGCGGACGUCCGCGCUACCAUUUUUAUGCGGUUAUUGACCCAACCGCUCGAUAUGCGCCAAUCCAAGGAAAUUUGCUCUCGCAUGGAGUUUUGUAUGCGCACAAGUGGGUAGCCAAUCGGGAGCGGACAGCGUGUUCCUCAUCCUCUAUCCUCCCGCGUCCGCAUAUAUUACUUUACAUUGGGGGUGUUCGGGCCCACAUUAACGGCCUAAUUGCGUUGAUUACGCUAAACAAAGAUUCUCACCAUUAAUUAAUAACUUAUUAUAUAUAUUAUUAUUUUGUUAUUAAGGUUCGUAGAUUAAUCAGUCGGAGCGAAUACGUGCGAGCGUGCGGUCCACCACGCUGGCGCGCAGAGAUUCGUGCGCGCGCGGAUCUCGAAGCAUCCGUGCGUGCGCGGCCGCAUAGUCUCUGAUAUGAGUGCGCAGCGCGCGGCCGCUUAUAGAGACCUUUCUACCAUUUGACACGUGACACCGCGCGUAAUAAUGGGCUCAUAUAUAUGUACACGAGUGAGAUCUCAAUAUCAAUAUUGUAUGCAAUAAUAAUUAAAGGGCCUAUUUAAGGAUAGCUGGGUAGGAAAUGUAAAAUACGGACCGACCCAAAAUUGGUUCUUUACUAUUUACGAAGACCAAAUUCUAUUUGGGAAAAUUAUCAUAUAUUUAUUUAUAUAUUUUUAUAUUUAUUUAUGGGUAAAUUUGGAAAAAAAAAAUUUUGUCCGCGACCGACAUAGAAACGGAAAAACCCUAAUUCGGAGAGGCUCCGGUUUCUAUAAAAGGGAGCGGAGGGGCGAGCGGAAGAGGGGAGAAACAGCAAUAUCGGCGCUCUCAUUAUUUUGAUUUUUGGUUUUUGGUUUCGAUUUUGAUUUUGAGGUCGGAGCGGGCGGCGGCGGCGGCGGUGUGGGGGGAGGGGGUGGUGUGCGGCCGCUGACAGAAGAGAGUGAGCACAUAGCAGGUGCUGCCGGCACCGGAGGGCGGAGGGUGCCGGCGCUGUUGCGUGCUCACUUCUCUCUCUGUCAGCCCUCGUUUCUUGGAACUCGACCACCGACGCCCGACCCACCCACCCGCCUGCCUGCGUGCCUGCCUGCCUGCUGCACUUUUUGUUAUUCUUUCUUUUCUCUUCCCUUCGAAUUUAAACGGUGCUUUGGGUUUUUUUAUUUUUAUUUUUUUGUGGUGUUUCUCGAUUCUUUCUCUGUCUGGAAACUGUGUGAUUUGAUUGAUGAGUGUACGCCCGCCCUUAUCUUUUCUAGUUCGUCUGUCAGCUCGCGCAUCGAAGGAAGGGAUGUGUGUCGCCAUGACGACUGCUACUUUUUUUUUUUUUUGUGUUUUGUUAUAUUAAUUUUUCCCUUUCCCUUUUCCCUUUUUUUCCUUUUCUCUUUUUUGUUGUGGAUUUUGUGAUGUGCAGGAGGAGGAAGUAGAAAAUAAAAUCAUCGGAAAAUGGAGAGAGAGGAAGGGAGAGAGAGAGAAAUUUGGGGAAAGGCCCGAAGCGUGGAAGCGCGAGAAAUCACGAAGGGACGGAUCAGACGGGGUGCGUACAACUCGUACUCUUCACAAAAAAAAAACCCCCACUGUUUGACUCAGUCCUCGCUCUCCUCUCUUUCUCUCUCUCUCUCUAGCCUUUUCUUCUUCUUCACUUUCAUUUUUGUGGAAAGCUAUUCUUUUUCCUUUUAUUUUUUGGUUUUUUCUUUUGGGGUAUGAAUCCGCCAUUGUUGAUGUGCUGUUUACAACCAUCAUCCAUCCUGAUCUGUUCUCCUUUACGUAGGAUAAGUUUUUUUUUUUUUUUUGACGGAAAAGAGUAUGAAAUGGUAGAAAAAUAAUUGUCAUCAUAUGGGUAUAUAUACUUUUCAUGGAUCUAUAUAUGGAUGGAUCUUGAGUUUUUCUAGUAUAUGUAGAUUUAUAUGUAGAUUUAGUUGAAAAAGAGAGGGAUGAGGGUAGAGUUGAUAGAAGAGUUGUUAGAGAUAAGAGAGUUUUUAGAUCUGGUCGCAACCUGAGGUUAAUUAGUAAGCAUCAGCAGCAACUUAUAAGCUAAGAUCCUUAUUUUAUGGUCUCCUCUAUCUAAAUCUGGCAAUAAUAUUUUGUUGUUUGAUUAUUUAUAGUGACUGAUGAUUAGGUUCUGGGUAACUCCUGGCUUGUUACUGUUGUAUUGUUCUUUAGACAUAUGUUGUACUAAUAAGAACUAAUCCAUUCUGAUAGAACACUUCUCUGUUUGCAGAUGCUAAAGACUUUUUACUGUUUCAUUGCUGCUGCUUUACAUUAUCAUAGAGAGGAGCAUCAUCUGCUGUUGCUUUAUGGUAUGUCCUUUAUGUUAUUAUUCUUUAAUAUCAAAUAUAUGUUGAGUUAAUUCGAUCGUGAUACGAAGUUUACAUUUUCCUUCUCUUCCUCCUUGUUCCACUAUAAGGUACGUAGUAGUUUUCAAUAAUAACUGUCACUGGGUGGUGAUUAUUAGGUGUUCUCCUCCUGAGUUCUUAUGAAUCUGUAAGAUAUAAAUAGAUCGUCUAAGGUUGGUAUGUUGUAUGGUUAGAGACAUUUUUGCUUAAUAAUCCAGUAGGAAUCAAGGAGCUUGAAUAGUGAUGGAGAUAGCAAGAGUUCACCAUUAAAAUUUUCUAAUUCCACAUUUUUCUUACAAGAUUCCAAGACAUGUAUCUAGUGGCUGCUGUAUCUGCUAAACUGAUGUUUUCAAUCUCUAUGGCCAUUUGCAAUUAUUAUUACAUGUCCUAGCUUAUCUGGAUGAGAACAUUUUGAUCUAGUUGCUUGUGCGCUUGUUUGAUAUGAUUAUCUUUUCUGCUGCAAGAUUGUGCUUUUUUGAAAGGUUAUAUCUAUCUCUUACAUUGCAAAAUUAUGUGUGCAGCAAAGAGGCAUAUAGAAUUUGUCGGAUUUAAUCGUAGAAUUGUGUAUCAAGUUGGUUAUAUGCAUUAUCUCUCAUUUUCACUUGCACGAAGAACCACUAGCUUGUUUUGAGAUCAUGGGUAUACUAAUUUUUUUUUUUACUCAAUUCCUGUAGGAUCGUGUGUCAUUUAUACUACUUCUUGAGCAAAGUGUUUAUAUGCAUGACCAUUUUCACUUGCAGGAAGAACUCCUAGCUUUGUUAGUCUCUUAUUGUUCAGGUCAUGGGCAUAAUUUUUUUUUUUACCCAAUAUAAUAGUAAUCUGAAAGUCCAGUUGGACCUUGUUUCAUUGGUACUAUGUUGAGCAAGUUGGUUACAUGCAUCAUCUCCCAAUUUCGCAUGCAGGAAGUAAUCCUAGCUUGUUUGUCUCUUAAUGCUCAGAUCAUGGCCAUACUUUGUUUUGUUUUGUUUUUUACCCAGUAAUAGUAAUCUGAAAGUCUAGUAGGAUCUUGUUUCAUUGAUAUUACUUUAUUGAGCAACCAUAUAGCAUAGCAUCCAUAUAGCAUGUCCUAGCAUCUCCUCUAAGUGCUUACGGUAGAUUUCAUAUUCCGAAAUUCAAUCUUCAUAAAUUGAAAAUAAUUCAAGACCUUUUCAUUUUGUAGAAGCCAACUGUAGCGAAUGCGNAAGUGCUUACGGUAGAUUUCAUAUUCCGAAAUUCAAUCUUCAUAAAUUGAAAAUAAUUCAAGACCUUUUCAUUUUGUAGAAGCCAACUGUAGCGAGGGGGGGGGGUGGUUGGGGCUCUCACUUGAUAUGGCCUUUAAGAGAAAGAUACCGGAAUGCCAAGGCCUUUUCAAGAUUUCUAUUGGUCUUAAUUAUGAAUCUAAUUCAGCAGCAUGUGUGAUGGAUUUGAAAGAAGUUGAUUGUCAGCUUUUGCUUGGAAUUCAUUACUUCUUUGAAAAGCAAAAUAAGCAAUGCAAUAUUGGAAGGAAACCUAGUCGCUAUUUAUAGUGAGGAAUAUCUGUUUGCAGAAUGCAGAAACAAAUUUUUCAAGAGAAACACUAAGUCUACAACCCAAAAAGGUUGUGGGAUUGGCACCCCUAAUCCAAGGGUUGAAAUCAAAAUUCUUUGUAGAUUUUAGUAAUAAAAAAGGGGUGAUAAGACUAGUGAAAAAAUAUGGGCCCUUGGAUAAUAGAGUUGUACUAUUACAAUAGGUGAAGAAACUAGCAAAGUUUAAUGUAAAUAGGCAGAACUAAUACAGCGAAAGGUAGUUAGAGGCCUUUUUAUGCAAUAUUUUAAAAAGUAGAAAUAGUUUGUAGGCAAUAUAAAGCACCGUUUGUUUGUAGGCAGCAGAUAUGUAGGUGCAUAUGCAUCAUGUAUGAAUAAAAAUUAUCAAACAUAUGAUAAACAAUUAGAUGAUAAACAGAAAUAUUAGGAAGAAGGUCUUACCUACUGAAACAACAAAUAUAAGAGCAUUGCUAGGUCUACAACCCAUAUUGGGUUGUAAUCCUACAAUCACUCCAUCCAAAGCCCACUUUUCCUUUACAAAUCUUAUCACUCAGGACCCUUGGAUAAGGGAUUGUAGAGAUUACAACCCCUCUUUGGUUGUAGACUUAGCAUUUCUCUAGAUUUAAUGUAGGACACUGAAUAUUAUACAUGUGAACAUUUUACAUUACUUAUGAAAUAGAAAUACUACAAAUACAAGUAUGAAAUAAUAAUUAUUAAAAAAUAAUAAAUUUUUAAUAUCAAUUUUGAUUUUUGAGUGUUUGAGUUGCUAAUCAUAAACAUGUGCUCAACCUACUUGCGUUGCUUAAAAUGCAAGCUAGGAAGCAGCUAUCCAAUGUGCAUAUUAUGCAGUGCCUAUGCCGUUGGUGGUUGCUGCUAUGCAGAAGAGUUAAGCAACGUAUCCAUAUGUGCUGGUGCUUUUUAUAAGUAUCAUUUAGCAUAAUGUGAGCAUACACUUCUUUUUAUCUUCCUUCAUUUGAUAACAAGAGCAUAUGCUAGUUAGUUUUAGACUCUACUGCAUUACCUACUCUCAAAUUGCUGUAUUUAGUGGGUAUUAUGGUAUUUAACAAACAGAUUCUUUCAUUUCGAGAGGGAAAUGUAAAUCAUCAAACAUAUGAACUUUGGAUGACAUGGUUUGCAAGAUUAAUUUUGCUUGAUUCACAUGAUGCAACCUAGAAAAGUUUAAAAAUCGUAUAGCGUCUUGAAACGUGUUAAAUUUUGUCCUUAAUCUCUCUUGUUCUUACCACAUGGUAAGAUCCUGGGUUGAUCAGCCUACAGAUUUUCAUUCACCGAGGCAGCCUGUUGCUAGUUAAGUUGCCAACUGUUAAGAACCUGGCAUCCUUAAUUGUUGGCAUAUAGAGUUAACAUUGUAGUUAGCUUCUUUGUCAAGUUGGAUGGUCCAUUUUUUUGUAUGAAAAACAUUAUUUUUUUUUUCUUGCUAACUGAUAUUGAUGCAAUUUGGAAAGGAGAAUUUAUGUUGGAAGUGUAACAUGAUGAUUGUAUAAAGGAUGUAGAAAUAAAAUUACACGGUCUGGAUUUUUGUAGAGUUGUACUUGGGAUAAGAGUUCCUAGCUAGGUAUUGUGAAAAUAAGCUUUUAUUGUAACCUAGCUAACAGUUGCAGCAUAUAUUAUAAUUUAGUUUUUUGAGUAUUAUUUUUAGACUGUUGACUUGAUGAAGCAAUUUAACUUGAGCGAUAAAACUAUCAAAAUAUUGUAGAUUCUUCCGUAAAGUUGAAAAUCUAAAAAAUGCCCAAUAAUUCUAUUUUUUCCAUAAUAGAUGCUUAUGUUGUUAGCUAUUCUUAGCAAGCAUAUCAACAAUCCUUGGGUCCGGUGCUUGUCAAUUAAGAGUUGAAUAUCACAAUAGCUCAAACUGUUUUCUUCUUCAUAAUCUCUGUCAUCCCUUUUUACUCCCAAUCCUUUCCAUUAAACAUAUUCAGUGGCAGUUCUGUGAGCUAUUAAUUCUUGUAACAAGCCUAGCAGGCUUUACCUCCUCCCGAAAGCUGCCACAGGUACUGAUUGUAAGCUGCCAUCAUCUAGGCUUGUUCCUCCCUCCGUGGCGGAGGAAUGAACUGCCUGGGAGAAACAGUUGCUACCCUUGAUUGUGUUAGCAUCUUCUCCUAUCAAGGGUGAAUUAAAAUUUCUUUGCUCAUGCAUCUUCCCUGCAAUCUCUAGACAAUGACCUAUCCACCCACGUUAUAUAUCUUGUGACCCAACAUACUCUAGUCUGCUUUGUUCAAAAUAUGUGGAGGCACUUAUUAAGUAUUGGAUUUUCGGAAGUUAAGGGCAUUCAAAAAGCAUAAGAGUAGACCAUUGGGAAUUUCAAGUACAUUUGUAGCAGCAUCUUCCUCGGGGUCAAUAGGAUUUAAAUUUUGUUUUUCUACAUAUGGUUGGACUAUAUCUAUAAAAGGUAUUGAUGAUGAUCCGUUUUGCUACAUAUGGAUAUAAUAAUAACUGUAGGUUAUUUAUGAUAUUUAAUUUCAGGACUUGUCAUAAUGGUUUGCUUCUGAGCACCAAUCAUUUCUUACAAGUAGAGAAAUUUAUCCUUUCCCUAUGUUUUGUUGAGGUCUUCGCAUAUUUGAUUUGAUCUGCUUUGUUGUUUCCUAUUCCCUCUCUUAUGAAGUGAUGCUUGAUUGUAAUAUACUUUGUUUGGCUGUCACUGAUAGUGUUUUUGGUCAUUGAAUUGUCACGAAAGGUUAUAUCAGCUUCCUCGUGUUUUCUCUAUUAUCUUUCAAAAUUCUUCAAAAUCAUUAGGCUUGAGAAGUUACAUUGCUGGUACAAACAUAUUUAGUGUUAGGCCAACGUAAUGGUACCCUUUUUUAUUCUUGUUUAAUGUGUAAAAUGUAAACCAGAUCCAGGAGAAUUUCCAUAUUUGAAGGUGCUUCUCAUACUAUUUAUGUUUUUGGCCCAACCACCAUCACAAUUACAAAGCAACAUAAUUUUUGUAAGUUUUUCCAUGCAUGCUUCUGUUGUUACCAGUCUAUUUAAUGUAUCUUUAACCUUUUUUUCUCAAUAAGAAAAUGAAUUUAUGCUGCUUUUUGCAUGAAGUAGGAAGAUAAGCAAGUUGUGGCAUAAUAUUCGAUUUGCGAACAGGAUGCAUAGCUUCCUAUUCUAAGUUGUCUUGUAAGUUUUUCAAUGACAACCAAAGUUGCCGGCAUUGUCUUGUAAGUUUUUCAAUCACAACCAAAGUUGACGACGUCAUCUUGUAAGUUUUUCAAUCACAACCAAAGUUGCUGACAUCGUCUUGUAGUUAUUCACUCAGAGCCUUUUAAGAUGCUCUUCACAUAGUUGUUAUGCCGAAUGAAAGAGAUUUUUAUUUGGGAAAAGUAUAUAAAAGAGCCUUUUUGGUGAGCAUAAUAAAUAUUUGGUCUCCAAAAGUCGUAAGCAUCAAAAAUGCCCUUCUAAUUAUGAUCCUUUUAAGUAUUAGUAUAUCAAGUUCUUCAUUGAAAUACCCAUUGUGCUGUUUUUUUUAUUCGUCGGUCCUCCCAACCAUAGGUGCACCCUAUCUACCGUCUUCAAACGUCUCCUCUCUCCCUUUGGUAGUGUUUGUUUGGUAGUAGAAUAAGGAGAGAAUAAUUAAACAUCUCUUUGACAAUUGAAAAUAGGAAGAAGAUCCAGAGCAAGAACAUAUAUAAUGAAAAACAUACAUUUGUAAGCUAAAAUAGUGAAUACAUAAAUUUGUAAGCUAGGAUGAUAAAAACGUAAAUCUCUAAGUAAAUAUUAAACUAAUAUUUAAACCAUGGUUAAAGAUAUGUUUGCUGAUGGAUUAUAAUGGCUAGGGCAUUUGUGCUGGAGCAUCCAAGAUAUUUUAAACUCCUUAGGGGAAUUAAUGAUAGCUUCAUACUUUUGACCAGCAUGAGUGAAAUUGACCAUUUCCAUUUUAAUGUAAUCGACUAAGAAAUAGUGAGGCCUAAAUUACUCGUUUGUAUUUUGCAUUGUUUCAUUUAAAUUCUAGAAUCAUUUCUUGUUCUUUUCUUGAAAAGCAUCAAAUCAUUAUUAUGAAAGCAAUAAGCUUAAAAAUUGUUUAAAUUAUUUGAAGUUAUUUUGGGAGAUUGUGCAUUUAUUGUUUACCCCACCACCAGCACCACUCCAAAAGGAGCCUCUUUUGCCCACCAUCGGGCACCGGGCUGCAGUGGAUCUUCUUCUGUAUGAACGAGAUCACCCAAAGCUACAUGAGAAAUUCAUCGGCCAUUUUGAUGUGGCAUUACAAAAAGCAUAUAAGUUUGAGAGUGUAGAAUUUAAUUACUUUGUUUCUCGUUGUCCCAAUGAAGACUUUACUAGUGUUAUUUGGUAGCGACAAAAGUAGAGAGUAGUUUGAAGUGCAAAUUGAUCUACCAGUAUUGCGAACUAAUUUUAGAUUAGGAUAUAAAGGAGUGGAUACUGGAGUACAAUCAAAAUAACCAAAUUUUCUAAGAAUCUUUUCGAUAUAAUGAGACUGGAUUAAAAAUAAACCAUUAUUUUCACGAAUAAUUUUAAUUCCCAAAAUAAUAUCAGCCUCCCCCAUAUCUUUCAUAUCAAAAUUGCAAGAUAAAAAAUUCUUAGUGUUUUCUACUUGUUGAAUAUCGGUAAAUUAACAUGUCAUCAACAUACAGACAUAUAAUAACACCUUUACCAUUUGAAAAUUUACUAUAGACACAUUUAUCAGAUUGAUUAAUUUUAUAACCAUUGGAAAGAACAAUCUAAUCAAACUUUUGAUGCCAUUGUUUAGGUGCUUGUUUAAGCCCAUACAACGACUUAACAAGUUUACACAUUUUAUACUCUUGUCCAGGAACAACAAAGCCCUCGGGUUGUUCCAUAUAAACUUCUUUAUCUAAUUCUCUAUUUAAGAAUGCAGUUUUGACAUCCAUUUGAUGAAUAAUCAAACUAUACAUAGAAGCAAGAGCAAUCAAAGUUCUAAUAGUCGCUAAUCUGGCAACAGGUGCAUAAGUAUCAAAAUAAUCAAUGCCUUCUUUUUGUGUAAACCCUUUGGCAACAAGUCUUGCCUUGAAUUUAUCUAUGGUGCCAUUUACUUUGAUAUUCUUUUUGAAAAUCCAUUUACACCUAAUAGGUUUACAUCCAGGAGGAAGAUCAACUAAUUUCCAUAUUUGGUUGACCAUAAUUGAGUCCAUUUCAUUAUUUAUCGCUUCUUUCCAAAAAGCGACAUCAGCAGAUUCCAUUGCCUCCUCAAAUAUUGUGGGGGUCUGAGUCAAUGUUUAAACAAAAUUGAAAACUUUCUGUAAUCAUUUCUCUACUACCCUCAACAAGAAAAGUAUAAAAAUUUGGUCCAAAUAUUUUAGCAAUUCUAACUCUUUUACUUCUUCUAAGUUCUGGGGUUUCAAUUGCAACAUCAUUUUUCUCAUUGGAGUGUUCUUUACUCAAAAUAAGUUCUUUGGGUCUAGGAAUUGAAACAAAUCUGUUUUCAUCAAAUAUAACAUCUCUAGAUUCAAAAACUGUGUUGAUCUCAAUGAAGUCAUUAGAUUCAAUCACGUAAAAUCUGUAUGCUUUACUAUGUUGUGCAUACCCAAUAAAUAUGCACUCAAUUCCUCUUUCACCCAGUUUCUUUCUUUUCGGUUCUGGAACCCUCACAAUAGCUCUACAACCCCAAACUUUUAAAUAAUUUAAAUUGGCGUUUCUUCCCUUAAAUAAUUCAUAAGGAGUUUUAUCAUUCUUCUUUGUUGGGAUUCUAUUUAGUAGAUGGCAGGCUGUUAAUAAAGCUUCACCCAAAAAUUCAUAACUUAACCCAAAGUUAGAAAGCAUAGCAUUGACCAUUUCCAUCAAUGUUCUAUUUUUUCUUUCUACAACUCCGUUUUGUUGUAGAGUAUAAGGUGCAGAGGUUUCAUGUAUAAUACCAAUGGACCCAAAAAAUAAAGGAUCAUAAUAUUUUCCUUUGUCUGAUCUUAGGUAUUUGACCAUUUUCUCACAUUUCACCUCAACUUCAGAUUUAUAAAUUCUAAAUUUAUCUAGCGCUUCGUUUUUAGAAUGCAAAAGAUAAACAUAACUAUUUCUAGAAAAAUUAUCAAUAAAUGUAACAAAAUAUUUCUUUCCACCAAUAGUAGGAGAAGCAUGCAAGUCACAAAUAUCACUAUGUACCAAUUCAAGUAGAGUAAAACAUCUAUCAAUUUUAGAAAAAGACUUUCUAGUAAUUUUAGUGAGCAUGUAAGUAUUAAUUUUUCUAAUUUAUUAUCAAAAUUAGGAAUUAAAUCUAACGUAGUCAUAUCAUGUAAUCUUCUAUAAUUAACAUGUCCUAAACGAUUAUGCCAUAAAGAAGACGAGUCAGUAAUAUAGGAUGAAAUAUUCAUUUUAUUAAUAAGAUUGAGUUUGAACAUGCCCUUGAACAAAUAUCCUUUUCCUACAAAGAUUCCACUCUUCGACAAAAUAAAUUUGUCGGCCUCAAAUACAAGUUUGAACCCAAAUUUGUUAAGAAGACUUCUUGAAACAAGAUUCUUUCUAACUUCGGGUAUAUGAUACAAAUCGGUGAGAGUGAGAGUUUUUCCUGAUGUGAACUCGAGUUCCACGUUGCCCUUUCCUUUGAUUUGUGCUAUUGAGGAAUUGCCCAUAUAGAGAAUGUUUCCAUCCUCCAAUGCAUCAUAAGUUCUAAAUAAACUUCUCUCCUUGCACACAUGCCUUGUGGAACCUGAAUCAAUCCACCAAGCUCCGUCAUCUUCGAGUAUGUUAGCCUCAGAUAUCAUAGCCACAAAAUUUCCUUUGGAAUCCGGUGCACUUUCCCUGUUGAGGAACUGACAUUCUUUCUUGUAGUGACCCGGUUUACCACAAUGAAAGCAUGCAGCUUUCUUUUUCUUAUUUGUCAUGUUGUGGUUGAUCGGAUGCUUGGCUCUCUUUCGAUUUUCUUUUGUGGGUUGACGAGUUUUAUUAUACUCAUCUUCCGUCACAUACACUUUGGCACUCUGAGCAUCUUGCUCCUUUUUGCUAUAUUUCAAACGAUAUUUUUCUUCCAUGCGAAGAUGAUUAGCCAAAUCUUUAAGAGUAAUAUCUUUCUUUUUAUGCUUAAGAUUUUUCUUAAAGUCUUUCCAUGAUAGAGAAAGUUUAUUGAUAAUAGAGGCCACAAUUAUAAAUUCAUCCAUAUUCAUAUUAUGUUGAGUAAAUUGAUUGAGAAUAUGUUGAAUUUCAUGUAACUGAUCUAGAACAGAUCUACUAUCAACCAUUUUAUAGUUAUUAAAUUUGCAAACAAGAAACUUCUUACUUGUGCAUCCUUAGAUUUGUAUUUUACUUCAAGACCUUCCACAGUUCUUUAGCCGUUAUUACAUUCUGUUAGACGUCGAAAAGCGCAUCCGACAUAGCAUUUAGAAUGUUGCCUCGGCAUAUAUUGUCAUCUUCAACCUAUUUUUGUCUUCUACGAGUUUGUACAAUAGGUUCAUCAUCGUUUUCUUCUGGUCUUGGAGUAGUGAGGACAUAAGCAACUUCGAGAGUCGACAGAAGGAAAUAUAAUUUCUUUUGCCAGCGCCUGAAGUCCAUGCCAUCAAAUCUUUCUAGUUUGAUAAAGUUUGUUGCCAUCUCUUGUAGAGUAGCAGUCGACAUUAUCGGAUUUAAGCCUUAAGAUUGUUGGAACAGAUAGUGAAAAAGGUAUGAAAUAGAAAGAUGAAAAAGGCUUCAAGGCAUGUAGCAAUGCCACUUCUUAAGGCUUAAUUCGUCCCCACCGUUCAAUCAAUUUGGUGUGCACCGGGUCAACGAACACCCUCCCAAGAUACAAUGAAGCAUAAACCUCAACUACGUUUGCACACACGAAGUCAAGCCUUUGAGCACUCACUCGAUUAAGUUGUCAAAAAAAAAGAAAUAAGAAUGGAAUUAUUAUGAAUGGAGAGUUAAACUCUUCAACUAUUUCGUCUUAUGUUUCUGCAACCAACGCUGUGGACUUAUAUAGACCACGAACGGGUGCUUCAUGAAGUGACUAUUCAUGAACGGGUGUUUCAUGAAGUGGCCAUUCAAUUGUGACUUUUUAUUUGAUCAUAACUACCAAUUAGUUUUAUGAGUCAAAUUUAAUGAAUGUAAGAAUUAAUUUCAACGGACAUAUACUCGAAGAGACACACUAUAAAGAUGUGUCUUUUCAUGUCAUAUCCUUACACUAAAAGUCACAUCCUUUCACUCUAAGAGUCACACCCUUUGAUUAGAGUUGCAUCCACUCACUAAGGGUUGCAUCCACUCACUAAAGGUUGCAUCGAUUCACUAAGGAUCGCAUUCAUUCACUAAAAAUCAAUAAACAAAAUAUAUUAUUUUAAAAUUUUUCUUACACUUUACAACCUUCAUUAGCUAAUAGAAAAGCAUCCAAGAUGACCUCUUCUUCAGAAAUGUCGAUUAGGAUGUAGAAAUAAUUCCGUGCAAAGCUUUUUUAAGUCUUUUUUUUUAGGACCUUCGAAACUAUUUUGUGUAUUCCUCUUUAGUUUGCUUAUAAGCCCAAAAUUGUUAGCUUGCACAACUCCCUCAGUUUUGUGCAAUAGGUAAAUGUAAGAGUAGUCAAUAGGACAUGUGAGGGAUCUCCCCUCAUGAAUCUCUAAAGAUAAUAUAAUUAGGGAGGAAGAUAAUUAGUAAAAUUUAGACUACAAACACCACAAACCCUUUGUAAAUACAUUUUUUUUACUUUUUUUCCCUUGACUUUUGAAAACUUUUACAUUUUGCUCUCUUAAAAUUUUAGAAAUAUUUUGACAAGUUUACGGUGUUAAUGGAGAGGCUAAAAUGAUCAAAUUACCCUUGCUUGUUCUAGAAGAAAAAAUAAUUUUUAAAUAUAUACUACAUUUUAAAGAGCAUUUUUUGUAUAAAUGUAUGAAAUAAGAUGAAACAGUGAUGGAAUCCUGACGAAGAUGGGUCUACAAAAUGCAUCAACUUGAAAUUUUAAGUAAGUAAAAUAUAGGUUUUUGAAAGUUAAGAGAAAAACCAAAAAAAAAUGCUUAUGUAAGGAUUUUCAAUAUUUUAGCCUAAAAUUUACUGUACAGAAAUUUUAGUGAACCUUUUACUACUAUUAAUUAUUCAAACAUGCUAUGAAGGUUAAUAGUAUUGAGACAUUAGUGAAGGAUCAAAUGGCAACUAAGAGGGAAGGGAGUGAAUUAGUAGGAAAACAAAACCCAAGUAGAUUUUAUUGAAGAUAGUAAUUGUACAGCAAAAUAAAAGAAAAAAAAAGAGAAACAAACUUAGAUGACACAAAUAAAUUAUCCUAGUUCGGCCAUUUUGCCUACUCUAGUCCGAUCCUUCUACUCUUCAAGGUACUCAUUUAAUCACUAUCAUUUUGUCUUUGAAACAGGGCAAGACCGAAACCGCUUACAAUUACACUUUACAAGACUUCUAUUACAAUCUUUCAAUAAAGCUCAUAAUUAUAAAAUAAAGAACAAAAGAACAAUUAAUUAUAACUUACAAAUUUUUUUCCAAUUUGAAGGUUUGGCUUAAACAUUAUCCAAACCCCCUCUUUAAAUAUGUUACUCAUCAUUUCAAAUUUAUAAAAGAAGUAUGAUAUAAGGUUAAUUGAUUUUCAUUUGAAUUUCAACCAUAUUUGUAAAUGCAUUUUAAUUAAUACCAUAUUCCAAAUUUUUUUAAAGUCACACCUCAUUUGCAAAGCAUAUUUGAAAUUAUACUACAUUUGAAAAGCCAUUUGAAAUGAUAGCACAUUUGUAAAACUCUUUUGAAUUAUUACCACAAAUGCUAAGCUCUUUUAAAUUCAUUUGUAAAAUGCUUUUGAAUUAAUACUACAUUUAUAGAACUCUUUUGAGUUAAUACCACAUUUGUAAAACACUUCGAUCUUUUUGAAAUCAUCCCAUAAUGAAAUCACUUUUGAAUUUAAACUAUAUAUCAGACCUCUUUUAAUUCCAUACUACAUUAAAAAUAAUGGUUAAUUUUUUAUUAAGUUUAAAUCAAACCUAUGUGGUAGCUAGAUUUGUUAACUUCGUUAAGUUUACGGGCUCAAAUUCGAUAAAAGUACAAAGAAGCCCGCCAUAAUAUUGUUGUGGUACUUGCAUCCAAUUUGAUACAAUUUGAUUUUGUCCGGGCUAUUUUGAAAUUUUUGAUUGAACGACUAUCUUUGAUCAAUUUUGGUUCGGCUUGUGUCAUUUCAAAUCCAACUAAAACCUGAAAUUACUAUGCAAAAAAGUAAAUCCAAAAUUUAUUUGUAAUCAUCAAAAUUAUCAUUGCAUAAAAUCCAACACGUGGUGCUAUAGAGUCAUUUUCGAUGAUAUAGUAUCCAAAUUGAUAAUUGACACUGUUGAAGAUUGACGUCCUAGGACUACUCCCAUCCUAUCAUACUUAACUCUUUUAAUCUUUUGGACCUAGUCACCACCCAAAAUGAUUAAGAUGGAUUGAGAGUUUUAACCCUAUUAUAUCUUAUAUAUAGAACUACCUGGGGUCUCACAUUCUCCUUGCCUUAAGCCCUGACGUCCUCGUCAGGCUGAGACUCACAAGUACGAGGCGAUGUAAGACUCGUCUCGCUAACCUAAACCGACCUUAUGGUGAGUUGCGCUCCACCCAUAACAGUCAACAGCAUGAGAGCCUCGCUCUCCCCGUUGUACAAUCUUUGCUCAACCGAGACUAAUCUCAUACUUCCAGCUGGUAAUUAGCUCUGAUUCCAACUGUGACGCCCCACUUUCCAAAGCGUCACCCAUCCUAGGAUUACUCUAGUCCUAGCACGCUUAACUCUCUUAACCUCUUAGACCUAACUACCGCCCAAAAUGCUAUAGCGGGGUUAAGAGGUUUUAGCCCUAUUAUAUCUUACAUAUAGGACUACUUAGGGUUUCACAUUCUCUCAUUCUUUAAGCCUUGAUGUCCUCGUCAAGCUCAGACUCACAAGUAUCAGUCAAUGUAAGAUUCUGUCUCUGAAGCCUAAACCAACUAUGUGGUGAGCUGCGCUUCACCCAGAAUAGUCAUCAGCAUAAGAGCCUCGCUCUCGCCGCUGUAUAACCUGGCUCAGCCGAGACUUAUCUCACAUUUUCGGCUGGUAAUUGGCUCUAAUACCAACUAUGACGCCCCACUUCCUAAGGGGUCACCCCUAAUCCUAGCACGCUUAACUCUCUUAACCUCUUGGGCUGCACCUACUGCCCAAAAUGCUAUAUCCGGGCUAAAAGGAGAAUGAAACUGUUUUAACGGGAGAAGAAACUAUAACGCCCCAAAAUUUGACUAUAAAUGUUUAAAAAGAUUUCAAAAUAAUUUUAGAGGAUGAUGGCCAGUUUUAUAUGAUUUUGAACUCAAAUUGAGUCAAAAUGAAUUGUUUGAGGACGAAAAUUUCAAAACAGUUGAGUCUAAUCUGCCAUUGCACAAAUAGCCAUUUUGGAAAAACUUUUAACUAGGUUAUUGACAUCAGAUUUGGGCAAAAUUGGUCUCAUUGGAAAGAUCGUUGAGUUAUCUUUCUAACGCAACGUGAAUCUCCUUAAACGGAUAUCGGACGAAAGAGUUAUUUCAAUUUUUCUGACAGUCGUCGAUGCAGUCCUGAGCUUUGAGCUAGUUUGGGACUUUACCAUUUGUUAUGGGCUGUUUGGUAAAUUUGCUAAUUAAAAUUAUAACAUAUCAACUUAGGUGGUUAACUAUUAGUCCAACCAUAAUUUUUUCCAAGAAAAUGUUGAGUAAAAUGACUGAAACUCUUUUAAAUGGGCUGGUUUGAAUGGGAGAAGAGAAAAACUGUUUUAUUCCUAUUCUCAUCUUCUUUUUCCUAUUUUCCCUUCCUCUCAAUACCCUAGUUCUUCUCUCUUUUAUUCAGCAAUGAGAAGAAGGAUUUCUCCUUCAAAUUGAAGGAAUUUAGAAGGAGACUUUUGGAGAAGGAAACCCAUUUUCAAGUUAAAACUCUAGCUAGAGAACAAAGUAAGUAGAUUUUCGAUUUUGUACUUUGUAAAUAUCAAAGAGUGAAUAUUUUACGUUGCAUGCAUGUUUUUCUAUUCUCUUUGAAGGUCCCAAUCUAUCUUUUAUGAAUUGACUAUAGUUUUUGAAGAUUUUAUGACACUAUAUUCAAAUAUUGAAGCCCUAAAUUAGGGGUUUAUGCCCUAUUACGAGAUUUCCUUGUAAUUUUAGGGUUGGGACCCUAAGAGCCCAAGAUGAGAUCUUGAUCGUUAACUUUUAGUUCUUUCAACUUGAAUUUGGAGGCCAAUAUAUAGUUAUAUGAAUUGCCUUUGUUUUUAAGAGUUUUUGAUGAGUUACUUGUGUUUUAUGAGGCUUCAAAAUUGGGAUUUUGAUCAACUAGGAGAUUAAACUUUUAUAGUUGAUUUUAAGAGUUUAAAAUACUUAAAUUGAGAUGUCAAUCUUGUUCAAAUGUAUUGGAAAUGAAUGUAUGAUUGAGCUAAGUUGUUUGAUCAAAUUUGAACUUAGUUUGUUAAUAUUUCGUCCAAUUUAUGCUAUUUUCAAGUUGGACUUUUCCGAUUAGUUUUCGGAGGGUAAAAACAUCUUGUUAAGGUGUCGUUUGUUAAAAUUAAGUAUUCCAAACCCUUCUAUAGGAUUUAAAUGAGUUAUUUUAAGGUUGUUAUCUAUUUUGAGAGAGUUAAGCAUGCUAGGACUAGAGUAGUCCUAGAAUAAGUGAUUUCCUGGAAAAUGGGGCGUCAUAGUUGGUAUCAGAGUUAAUUACCAGCUGGAAGUGUGAGAUUAGUCUUGGUUGAGCCAGGAUUAUAUAGCGGGGGGAGUGAGGCUUUCAUGCUGUUGACUGUUGUGUGUUGAGCCCAGCUCACCACAAAGUCGGUUUAGGCUAGCAAGACUAGUCUCACAUCGCCUGAUAUUUGUGAGUUUAAGCCUGACGAGAACGUCAGGACUUAAAGAGGGAAAGAAUGUGAGACCUCAAGUGGUCCUAUAUGUAAGAUAUAAUAGGGCUAAAAUCUUUUAACCCGUCUAUAGCAUUUUGGGCGGUGGCUAAGUCCAAGAGGUUAAGAGAGUUAAGCGUGUGAGGACUAGAGUAGUCCUAGAAUGGGUGACCUCCAGGGAAUUGCGGCGUCACAAAAAUGAUCUCAUAAAUUGAACGCCUUAGGUAUCAAUUUCAUGACUUCUCAAUGUCAUCUAUAUAGUGACCAAGCAAUCAUAAAGUGACAAUUUUAAUGGCCCACAUUAGACCUUUUCUAAUUUAACGGUAUUGAAGAAUGCAAAUCGGUAUUCUUUUAACCGAAUUGAUCAAAAUCUACAGCCCUGAUCUUGAAUUUAAUAAUUCUAUCAUCUAUUCUAAAUAAUUGUUUGAUUAUGACUGUUUAUUUUGUGGUUGCUUGAAGUAGAAAAUGAUUCUAAAAAAUUGUGAUCGAACUUGAUUCUUACAAAGUUCAAAUGUCUUAGAUAAUGUUUUCGAUCGUCAAUUCAGAUGCCUCAUCUUUGAAAACGAGUGUAUAGAAAAAAAACGAAGGCCUUGGUGCAAUUAAUAGAACCCUAAUUCGAUUCAUUCAAGCCUUUCUAGCACGCCUCUUCUGUUAAUUGGUUUUUACCGUGUUCCUUGAAUCUUUGGUGGCUUUCAGAGUCUGAUCUGCAUAGACAUAUAUGAAAAACAACAAAUUUUCUCUAGUUAAGGAUGUCAAUUAGAUUUCUCUCAGCUGAAUUAUGGCUACUACCACAAUUUUGAUCUCACCAGUACUUUUUUUUUUUGGGCAGCAGGGCCCCAUGCAGGUAAACAAAGCUUUAUGAAGGGACUUCACUUCCUGAUUUUGGAUGAACUGUUUCCACAAGUCUUAUGAGAUGAUUAUUUGUACUUCAGUGUAUGCUUCCGAUUAUGCUUCCGAUUUUUCCUGUUAUGUUUCCUAAUCCAUUAGCGUGCGUAGCACUGUUUAAAUCAACAAGGAAACUGUGGAUAGAGAUGAAUUAUCCAAUGUUACAUAUAAUACACUCGAAGAUGGUAAAAGGGAACUAGAAUCUGAAGGAAGCUAGCUAUAACAUAAUUGAUAUUAUCGAAACUACUUGUCGAUUAAUCAACAAAAAAUAUGUUUUGAUUGUACCAUUUAAUAUGUUAGUACUCGAUCAGAAUGUCUUUCUGGACCAAAGGGUCCAAUAUAUGUUAGAUCAGAAGUUGAACUGAUAUAAGUUGGUUCUAAUGUAUCAAUGGAAAUACAUGAUGAACAUUCAUUAAUUGAAGAAUUUUGUGAGAAAAUAUGCCUAUUUAAGCCAUGUAGCAUUUAAGAUUUACUUAUCGAUGAGUCUAAACCCAUUUGCAAGGUAUGUUGUCAUGUUGUUGUAUAAUUAGAUUCUAUUAUUUGUAGGAUGAUUUUUAGACCUUUAUACAUCCAUUGAGGCAUUACAUCAGCUAUUUCAUCACUAAACCGAUAUGAUCGAGAGGUGUUAUGUAUUAAUUCGUUACUUGGCAAUUUUAAAAUAAGGUUAUUUAUUUUGCUAAGUUUGGAAGUGUAUUUAUAAUCAUGCAAUGUUUCGAACACAAUUGAUGGGAAGAAGGAUAGUUAAUAUCGCUGUAAAAGAACAAACUUCCAUCAAAAGUGAAUGAAGCGCGCCAGUUCAAAGUGAAUGAUUUUACUUAGUAAGACCAGCAGAAGAGGAGAAUCACGAGAGGUAUGCAUGAGAGUUAUCAAAAUCUUUGAUGCAUUCAGUAAAUAAAGUGUGUGUGUCAAACAAAGAUUUACACAGAGAAAUCCAUCAUUUUGCACGAAAAAUAGUGCGAAUCACCAAAAUUUCACUUGUUUAACAUCAAAAUAUUUUGCUGUUAGUGCCAAAAACUUCAAAACCAUGCCCAUAGUUGUUGUUUUGGUGUUGUUUUUCCUAUUAGAAUCAAUCUGCAUAAACAACGAUUUCAAGUUCUGUUUUGAUCUGUUGCAUCUUUUAAGAACACUUUCUCUAAAUAUUUUGUGUUUUCUAAGUUCAAGCCCUUCAUUCUUUGUUUCAUUAAUUGAUGUGUUAUUAUCUACUUAUCUCUUGGUAUUGCCAUUCUGGUUUCUGAAAAGCUUUAGUUUCUGUAAUUUUUGUGACCAUGCUAAUUCACUCCCAUGAUUUCCAUCAGGAGGGUUGAAGUGUAUAAGUAUUGUCAUCCAUUGAUACUCGACUGAUCUCAGUGUCGAAGCUCAGGACCUUAUGCUCUGAUAUUCAUUGCUCUGAUAUUCAUUGAUAUGACCAUGUUCGCAUGCAGCGUGUGUUGAUAAAUUUUUUGUAACAAAUUAGAUUAGCAAUAUAUCGUGGGAAAAAUUUUUGCUCCGACUGUGUAUUUCUUGUGGCGUGCAAGUGAACAAUACCUGACGUGACUAUGAAAAAGUUGUAAUGGAUUAUGAGAAUUGUAUUUUCCCUUUCCGGAAAGAGUACGUACAGUGAAAGCAAAAUUGUUUCUCUUUAAUUAAUUAGAUACAUGUUGUAUAAGUUUUGCGAAUUAUGAAUCUGAAUUUUGGUGUGUUUGUUCUCGCUACUGUGUUUUGUUUUAUUUUAUUAAGUGAAAUCUGUUUUCUUGCUUAGUCAAAUUAAAUGUUUGGCUUUGACAAUUCAAAAUGUUUUAUUUUAUCGUAAAGGGGUGUUUGGUUCCUCUGAAAAAAUAUUCUAGAAAAUAGUUUUAUAGCCGAAAAGGUGAACAAUAUGUGCUAGGGCUUUUUUUGCAUUUAGACCCCUGACAAAUUUUUAUUUUAAAAAUAGCCCUGUCAAAAUUUAAUUUGCAAAAAUGGCCCUCGACCUGCCACGCAGGCGCCACGUCAGCGCCACGCGGGCAGGGCUGUGCCCGUGUGUUAAGUUGAACACGGUGAACCAUUCACCGUGUUCAAACACGGUGAAUGGUUCACCGUGUUUAGUACGUAUUUUUUGUUACGUAUUUUUUGUAUAUUGAAAAGUGGAAUAAGGAGUAGGGAUGUCAAUAGAUAUGGAUAUCCGAAAUAUUAUNNNNNNNNNNUGAAAGAAGUAACAGAUAUGAAAACUGUAAAUAUGCAUGCAUGCUUUUCAUUAACUUUACCCAAUCUUUUGGUUAACCCUCUGGUUAACAGCUGGACAAGUACGUUAGUCCAUAAAUUUACCGAAUGCAGUGGUUAACCCUUUGGUUAACAAUAACUCACCAACGAAAUCCCUCACGGGCCCUAAGCUGCCUCCCGAUGGGACCGUCUGUCAGACAAGUACGUUAGUCCUGGGGCAAGUACGUUAGCCCAACAAGUGACUACUCCGGAGCUCACUGCCUGGGGGGAGCGACCACCACCAAGCUAAGAAAACAGACUAUGUGAGUAAGAUCUGAUCCCCUUUUAGAGGAUUCAACUGACAACAAUGUCACAAUUUAACUCUAACUAGUUCUUUAUACUAGUUUCCAAAUCUCUAGUCAUGAUGUCACCAAGUUUACUAUUGUCUUGGUCCAUGCAUUCAUAGGGUUCUAUGUCCACAAUCUAAGGUUCACAAAUUCUCAUUGUUGAUAGGAAUUCACAUUUUCACUCGCUCAAUGCCAAACACCCUAUAAUGCAUGACUACAAAUAUAAAUAUGCUCAACAAAGAAUUAUAGACAUAAAAGGUGAUUCAAAGAGUUCGGAUAGCACCACCCACCUGUAGUGGUGUCAAUCAACUAGAAUCCAUGUCUCGGAAAGCGUCGACGACUAUCUCUCGUGACUCCGUGCAAAUAGGACUAGAGCGGUCUCUACCGUAAUUAGCGUGUCGUCGACCUGUCGGAAAGUCAAUUUAGACUCUUGGGCAUGUUUACUUUACACUUAUAAAGGAUUAGAAAAGAUUAAACUAGAGUCAUUACUCAUAUUUUACAAGUUAGCAUUUCAAUGCGAUAUAAAGCGGCAACUAUAGCCGAAAACCUUCUUUUGGCGAUAUCUUUGCGUAGGUUCGUCGGAUUGCCGAACCGACUUCGCCAACGCGUUUCUUUUACCCUCAAUUUGGUUUACACGCCGUCAAUUUCGCAUUAGGACUCUUAUUUUGCAAAAGUGCAUUGCCGGGGUCAGUUUUCUCAAAAACACUAUUUCAAUGCAAUUUCACAAUUCAAUAGAGUAAUUCAACUCUUUAUUAGCCCAGGGACCUCAAAUCAGUUAGUAAAAACUGUCCAAAUACUUCGAUUCAUCUUUUCUCUCUAUUUCAUUUUCUUUCUUUUCUUUCUUCUCUUUCUUUUCUUUCCUUCUUUCUUCCUCUUUUCUUUCUUUUUUUGUUUUCUUUCUUUCUUGCUGGCCCUGUAGGACAGCUGCUGCUGCUGCCACUGUUGCCACUGCUGCUGCUGCUAGCUGCAGCUGCUGCUGCUGCUGUGCUGCUAUGCUGCUGCAGCUACUACAAGCUACUGCUGCUGCUGCUGGCUGAGCUGCUGCUGCUGCAGCAGCUUGCUGCUGCUGCUGCUAAGCUGCAGCUGCUGCUGCUGAUGCUGCUUGCUGCUGCUGCUUACACUGCUGCUGCUGCUGCUGCUGCUGGCGCAGGCUGCUGCUGCUGCUGCUGCAGCUGCUGCUGCUGCUGCAGCAGCUGCUGAGCUGCUGCUGCUCUGCUGCUUGCUGCUGCUGCUACUAGCUGCUGCUGCUAGCUGCAGCUGCUGCUGCUGAUGCUGGCUGCAGCUGCUGAGCAAGCUGCUGCUGUAGCUUGCUGCUACUGCUUGCACUGCUGCUGCUGGCUGCUACUGCUACAACCAGCAGCAGGGAGAGGGGGAGAGGGAGAGAGAUAAUUUACCUUUUUGUUCUCUUUUUUCUUCUUCUCUUUCUCCUUUCUCUUCUUCUUCUCUUCUUUUUCUUCUUCUCCCCUCCCUUUGCUCUUGCUUUCCCUCUCUCUCUAGACGUAUGCUGCAAGAAGAGGUGGCAGGGGAUAAGGAUGGCCCUGGCUGCAGGUUAGUGGAAUUCCACUAAGUCAUAUGCUAAUUACCAAAAUGCCCCUCGACUUACUCCGUUUAGUCGCACGGAUUAUAUACCUUCCGUAAGCCCUUCCGACAGUCCGAUUGAGCUCAAAUUUGGCAGGAAUGAUCGUUUUUACUUAAUAAGUCCACUGAAAUUUUAACAUUUCAGUUUCGACCCCGUUUGGUCACUGCGAACUGUACCGAACUGAAAUCUUUAUCCGAUAGCUUUCGGAUUCAAUUUCUCUCUCUACGGGUGUCAGAAAAAUCUGAAACUUCAAAUCUAGCCUCAUAAUAAUGUUCCUGACAUCUUUGCCAAUUUUCAUAAUUUUCUGACACUGUGCAUUUUCUGCUAAUUUUCUCAGCCCCGUUCCUUACAAAAAAUUCUAAAUUUUUCGUUUUCGCUCCGAUUUCACCCAAACACUUCCAAAAUACACCAAGGGACCUUCCCAAGCUACCAAUUUAAUUUGGAAGCAAUUCCUUUUCAUUUUGACAUUAUUUGAGCCGAAUUAGAAAUAGAAUCGGCUCCAAUUCCAUUACAUGGCCUUUUUGCACUACCACUUCGCACUGAGCUCUUUAAAACCUUGUGAAAACACACCCUUGGCUUUACCAAAACUUCACAAUUGAUUCGGAGAUACCACAAUUUAUCCUUAGGCCUUACUUUAAUUCUUUUAAUCAAAGUUAGCGUCGGAAUUGCGAAAAUUCUCUUUACUCUCUUUAUAUUUCGUUUCGCGCCCAAUUUGCGCCGACACACUUAUUUCUCUUUGGAACUCAUUCCAACGCAUCACAAAUCCCUCGGGGAUGAUGUACAACUAGCUCAAUCCUCACUUUGACCCUCUAGGUCAAAGUUGACAUCGCGACUCCAAGUUUCCAUAUGUUACAUUCUCCUCCCGUUAACAAAAGUUUCGGCCGCGAAACUUAGAUCCAUAUUACCCCUUAUUGCUUAACGGAUGGAGAUAACUUUCCAAAUGCUAUUCCAAAGUUUCUCAAUUUCAUUACAUACUAUACUGAUUUCUCCAAAUCAGUCUCUACGAACACUUUGUUCGCAUUUCCAAUCUCAACUCGUCAUCGAUGCUUAUUUUAGCAAUUCUGACUAAUUCACCCAUAGAACCAAGCUUUUGCUUUCACGGCCUCUACUCAUAAUCUACUUACAUAGGUCCACUACACUCGCUUUCAGUAUGAACGAGUAAACCAGUACCACAAUUCGGUUCCUAAGUUACCGAUCCGAUACAGGCCGAUUGCCUAACCCAACCAUGAUACGACAUAUUGCCUCUCGCUCGCAAGCGCAAACCCAAUCAUCAUCGGGCGAUAUUCUCACUGGAGAAUUCGCACACACUCCAACUAGGAGAAACCAAGACCCCAAACCACGCCAAGUCCUCGGGUUGGGUCGCUACACACCCUGUGUGUUCUCGAUCUCACGAUCUAACACGUGGCAUUCCACGUACUCGGGUCCAAGCUCGGACUACCGUCCUGACCAAAACUCUCUGCCCUACCCGUAGGUACCGGGCCGCUGCCUCUCGCAGCUGACUGCGCCUGCCCAAUAGACCAGGCUCCACAGUCCAAAAAGGGUCCAGGCACGGAUCGUCCCCAAGCACUACCCGCCAACGUAGUCCUACACGACAUGCUCUACAGAGCUACCCACUCUAACGGCUCUUAAGCACCUAGUGCGAGCCAACAGCCUUAAGAGUGACCCAUGGCCCGCUUCACACUUAGCCCUGCUGAAGUGCUACUGCCAAUUCACUCUUCAGGCUGAUCCACAAUCCACAAUCUACGGACAACUAACUCAAGGGUCCAACACGAUCGCGUCUCUCGCUAGAUAGCACUCAUCUAGUGCUCGUUAGGCAACUUAGCCUAUGACUAUCAUACAUAAACACAAUUUCCUCAACUGAUUUGAGGUACAACUCAAUUAACUCGCCAAAACCAGGCGAUCAUCUAACGACCUUCCAACAGUAACGCCAUUACUGUUACGCAAUCCCUCGGAAUAUCAUCCGACUUCUCAAUGUCGUGCGUUCUAGCAAAUGAACUACUAAUGAAUGAAUGCAAUGCACCAGUGUCAAUAAUAUACGCGAUCUAGUAAAACAAUACCUGCCACGACAUCGUCGACUACGGCAGGAUCCUCAACCUGAGCUGCAAAGACACGACCACUCGGUGCAGGUCGGGGUGGCUCGUACUGACGCGGCACAAAAGUAUGUCCAGCUGACAUAGCGGGUGGGGGACCCGCACGCUGCCUCGCAGGCGACUGAACUGAAGCUGUAGGCUGAGCAGAUGAUGCUCCUCUCGGGCAAUCACGACUAAUGUGUCCCGGCUGUCCACACUUAAAACAUUUACCGUCCUUUUGUGAACAAGCUACCGCUUGAUGAUUCCCGCCGCAAAUCACACAUCCCGGGGGUCCCUGAUACGUCUGCUGUGGCUGUGGAUACCGAGGGGGCCGUUUAGAGCUCGACUGUCCCCCGGCGCCACCAGUGGUUCGCUUCUUUCCCUUUUCUCUUUCUCGUUCUCUAUCAAACGACUCGCGUUCCUCACGCGCAAUCGCAUUGCUGCGCUCUACCCAAAGAGCUCGAUCCAGGACUUCCUCAAAUGACUUUAACUUUAGAGCACUAAUUAUCUUAAAUAUUUCAGGCNNNNNNNNNNNNNNNNNNNNNNNNNAAGGAGAGAUGCAUGCUCCAAAAAUUACAAGAAACUAAAGGCCUUUCACAACCAGAAUGCAAUUACCGAGAGAUAAGUAGAUAAAUAACACAUCAGUUAAUGAAACAAAAGAAUGAAGGGCUUGAAGCUUAGAAAAACACAAAUAUUAGAGAAUUGGUUCUUAAAAGAUGUAACUAGAUCAAAAACAAACUGAAAUCAGAAACUUGAAAUCGUUGUUUUAUGCUAGAUUGAUUCUAAUAGGAAAAACAACAAUCAACAACCACUCACUAUGGCAUGGAUUUUUUUUUUUAUUUUUUUUUUUUUGGGUUUUUGAAGUUCUUGCACUAAACGCAAAUAUUUUGAUGUGAAACAAGUGAAAUUUGGUGAUUCGCAUUAUUUGUCGUGCAAAAUGAUGGAUUUCUGUGUGUAUAAUCUUAUGUUUGACUACACACACACUUAUUUACUGAAUCAUCAGGGUCAAAAGAUUUUGAUAACUCUCAAUGCAUAGCUUCGUGAUCCCUCUUCUGCUGGUCUGAUCAAGCAAGUAAAGCCAUUCACUAUUAAUUGGUGGUUUUUUCAUUCACUUUUUGUGAUGGAUUUUGUUUUAAACAGCGAUAGUUAACUAUUCUUCUCCCAUCAAUUGUUGAUUUCGAGAACCGUUGCCAUGCAUUAUAAACAUACCUACUUCUCAUAUCGGUUUGGUUAGUUGAAUAGCAGAUGUAAACCUCAAUGGAUGUAUCGAAGGUCUAAAAAUCAUCCUACAGAUAAUAGAAUCUCAUUUAUACAACAACAAUACAACAUACCUUCAAAAUGGUUUAGAACUCAUCGAUUAAGUAAAGUCUAAAUGCUACAUGGCUUAAAUAGGCAUAUUUUCUCACAAAAUCUUCAAUUAAUGAGAUGUUCAUCAUGUAUUUUCCAUUGAUACAUUAGAACCAACUAUAUAUUCAAGCUUCUGAAUCUAACAUAAAUAUUGAACCCUUUGGUCCAGAAAGACAUUCAUGAUCGAGUACUACAUAUUAAAUGGUACAUCAAAACAUAUUUUUUGUUGAUUUAUCGAACAAGUAGUUUCGAUAAUAUCAUUAUGUUUAAGCUACUUCCUUGCCAGAUUCAAGUUGCGCCUUUUACCAUCUUCGAGUGGAUUAUAUGUACCAUUGAUAAUCCAUCUCUAGUUCGCACAGUCCGUUGUUGCUUAAACAGUGCUACGCACGCUAAUCGGAUAGGAAACAUAACAGAAAAAUCGGAGGCAUAAAUCGGAAGCAUAACACUGAAGUACAAAUAACAUUCCAUAAGAUUGUGGAAAUAGUUCAUCCAAUCAGGAAGUGAAGUCGCCUUCCAAUAAAGCUUUUGUUACCUCAUGGGCCCCUGUGCUGCCCAAAAAAAAAGAAAGUACUGUGAGAUCAAAAUUGUGGUAGUAGCCAUAAUUCAGCUGAGAGAAAUCUAAUUGCACAUCUCUUACUUCGAGAAAAUUGUUGUUUUUCAUAUAUGUCUGAUGGCAGAUCAGACUCUGAAGAGCCACCAAAGAUCAAGGAAAAUCGGUAAAACCAAUUAACCAGAAGAGGCAUGCUAAAAGGCUUGAAUGAACGAGUUAGGUCCUGAUUAAUUGCACCAAGGCUCAUUUUUUUUCUAGUACACCCGUUUCAAAGAUGAGGCAUCUGAUAUUGACGAUCGAAUACAUUAUCAUUAAGAUAUUUGAACUUUGUAAGAACAGUUCGAUCCAAAUUUUUUAGGAAACAUUUUCUACUUCAAAGCAACCACAAAUAAACAGUCAUGAAAUCUAAACAAUUGUUAGAAUAGAUUGAUAGAAUAUUAAAUUCAAGAUCAGGGCUGUAGAUUUUGAUCAUUCGUUAAAAGAAUACCGAUUUGCAUUCUUCAUACCGUAAAUUAGAAAAGGUCUAGAUGUGCCAUAAAAUGUCAACUUUAAUGAUUGUUGGUCACUAUAUAGUAUGACAUUGAUGAAGUCAUGAAAUGAUACCUAAGGCUUCAAUUCUAUGAGCUCAUUUUUAGUGACGCCGCAUCCCCGGAGGCCAUCCCAAUUCUAGGACUACUUCUAGUCCUCACACGCUAAACUCUUCUUAAUCUCUUAGACUACCAUCGCCCAAAAUGUUAUAGACGAAGGUUAAAAGAUUUAGCCCUUAUUAAUCUUUACUAUAGCUGAACUACCUUGAGGUCUGCGACAUUGCUUCGCCUCUUUUAAGUCCUGACGUCUCGUCAGGCUAAAACUCACAAAUGAUCAGGCGAUGUGAAAUCUAGUCUCGCUAGCCUAACCACUUGUUGGUGAGCGGGCUCGCACACCACAACAGUCAACACAUGAAACCUCACUCCGCUGACCCGCGUAUAAUCCUUGGCUCACCAAGACUAAUCUCACAGCUUUCAGCUUAGUAAUUGACUCUGAUACCAACUUAACGCGUAAAGUCAUUUUCUAGGAAAUCACUUAUUCUAAGACAGACUGCUAGUCCUAGCAUGGCUUAACUUAAAAUAAUAUAAACCUAAAAUAAAACUCAUUUAAUAAUCCUAUAUAAGGGUUUGAAUACUACAUUUUAACGAAACCGACACCUUAACACAGAUGUUUUUACCCUCCGAGAAACUAUUCGGAAAAGUCAACUGAAAAUAGCAUAAAUUGGUCGAAAUAUUACAAACUAAGUUCAAUUUGAAUCAAACAACUUAGCUCAAUCAUACAUUCAUUUCCAAACAUUUGCACAGUGAUGACAUCUCAUUUAAGUAUUUUAAACUGCCUAAAAUCACUAUAAAAGUCUAAUAUCGCUAGUGAUCAAAAUCCCACGAUUUGAAGCCUCAUAAAACACAAAGGUAAACUCAUCUAAAAACUCUAAAAACAAAGGCAAUUCAUAUAAGUAUUAUUGCCUCCCAAAUUCAAGUAGAAAGAACUAAAAAGUAAUUAUCAGGAUUCAUUUUGGGCUCUUAGGGCGCGCCACACCCUAAAUUACAAGAAAAAUCUCGUAAUGGGCAGAAACUCCCCAUUUAGGCGCUCAUAUUUGAAUAUAGUGUCAUAAAACUUCAAACUAUAGUCAAUUCAUAAUAAGAUACGCCUUGGACCUUCAAAGAGAAAAGGAAAACAUGCAUGCAGACCUAAAAUAUUCAUACUCUUUGAUAUUUACAAAGUACAAAAUCGAUAAUCUACUUAAUUUGUUCUCUAAGCUAGAGUUUUAACUUGAAAAGUGGGUUUCCUUCUCCAAAAGUCUCCUUCUAAAUUCCUUCAAUUUGUAAGGGAGAAAUCCUUCUUCUCAUGCUGAAUAAAAAAGAGAAGAAUCUAGGACUGAGAGAAGGGAACAUAGGAAAAAGAAGAUGAGAAUAGGGAAUAAAAGAGUUUUUCUCUCUCCGCAUUCAAACCACCCAUUUAAAAGAGUUAGUCAUUUUACUCAACAUUUCUUGGAAAAAUUUUAGGUUGGUACGCAAUAGUUAACUCACUCUAAGUUCGAAUAUGUUACAAUUUUAAUUCAAAUUUACACAAACACCAUAACAAAUGGUUAAAAAUCCCCAAACUACCGCUCAAAGCUGCAGGACUGCAUCGACGACUGUUAGAAAAAUUGCAAUAACCUCUGUCGUCCGAUAUCGUUAAGGAGCAUUCAGGUUCGUUAGAAAAGACAUAAACUCACGAUCUUUCAAAGCAGACCAAUUUUGCCAAUCUGAUGUCAAUAACCUAGUUAAAAGUUUACCAAAUGUCUAUUUGUGCAAUGGCAGAUUAGACUCAACUGUCUUGAAUUUUCGUCCUCGUAAACAAUUCGUUUUGACAUCAAUUGAGUUUCAAACAUCAUUAAAACUGGCCAUCACCCUGCUAAAAUUAUUUUGAAAUCUUUAAACAUUAAUAGUCAAAUUUGGGGCGUUAUAGUUUCUUACAUCCCGUUAAAAACAGCGUUUCGGCCUCCUUUUAGCCGGAUAUAGCAUUUUGGCAGUAGAUGCAGCCCAAAAGUUAAGAGAGUUAAGUGUGGCUAGAAUUACGGGGUGACCCUUGGAAGUAGGCGUUCCAUUGGUAUUAAGCCAAAUUACCAGCCGAAAAUGUGAAGAUAAGUCUUGGCUGAUGGCCAGGUUAUAACAGCGGCGAAGCGAGGCUCUUCAUGCUGAUGACUAUUCCUGGGAUGAAAUGCGCAGCUCACCACAAAGUUGGUUUAGGCUUCAAGAGACAGAUUCUUUACCAUUAAUUGAUACGUUGUGAGUCUGAAACCGACGAGCGACGUCCAAAAAACAAAGGCGCUUUUUAAAGAAUGAGAGAAAUUGAAACCGGCCAAGUAGUCCUAUAUGUAAAGAUAUAAUAGGCUGAAAAGCCUCCUUAACCCCGCUAUAGAAUUGGCGUCACGGUAGGUCUAGAGAGGUUAAGAGAGUUAAGCGUGCUCGACUUAGAGUAAUCCUAGGAUGGGUGACGCUUUGGAAAGUGCGGGCGUCACAGUUGGAAUCAGAGCUAAUUACUAGUUGGAAGUAAUGAGAUUAGUCCUCGAGUGAGCAGAUUGUACAACGGGAGAGGCGAGGCUCAUCAUGCUGUUGACUGUUAGGUGGAGGCGCAACUCACGCAAUAAUGUCGGUUUAUGUUAGCGAGACGAGUCUCACGACACCUCGUACUUGUGGAGUCUCAGCGCUGACAGAGACAAUUAGGGCUUCAAGGUGAGGAAAUUGCGAGACUCCAGGUAGUUCUAUAUAUAAGAAUAAUAGGUUAAAUACUCUUAAAUCCAUCUUAAUCAUUUGGGUGGUGGCUAGGUUCCAAGAGGUUAAAAGAGUUAAGUGUGAUAGAUAGGAGUACGUCCUAGGACGCAAUCUUCAACGUGCAAUUAUCAAUUUGGAUACUAUAUAUAUCAUUCGAUAAAUGAAACCUAAUAGCACCACCGUGUUCGGAUUUUAGAAAUGAUAAUUUUUGAUGAUACAAAAUAGAAAAAUUUUGGAUUUUACUUUUUCAACAUAGUAAUUUCAGGUUUUAGUUGGUAUUUGAAAUGAACAACCGAACAAAAUUGAUCAAAGAUAGUCAUUCAAGUCAAAAAUUUCCAAAAUCAGCUCGGACAAAAUCAAAUGUAUCAAAUUGGAUGCAAGUAGCCCAACAAUAUAUGGAGGGCUUCUUUGACUCUUAUUGUAACAAUAUGGAAACUGGCAGUCGCGAUGUCAACUUGACCUAGAGGGUCAGUGAGGAUUGAGCUAGUUGGACAUCAUCCCGCGGAAGGGAUUUUGUGAUGCCAGUUGGAAUGAGCUUCCAAAAGAGAAAUAGUGUGUCGGGCGCAAAUUGGGCGCGAAACGAAAUAUAAAAGAGUAAAGGAAUUUUCGCGAAUUCCGACGCUAACUUGAUUAAGAAGAUUAAAGUAAGGCCUAAAGGAUAAAUUGUGGUAUCGUCCGAAUACAAUUGUGAAGUUUUGGUAAAGCCAAGGGUGUGUUUCACAGUUGUAUAAAGAGCUCAGUGCGAAGUGUAGUGCAAAAGAGGCAUGUAAUGGAAUUGGAGCGCGAUUCUAUUUCUAAUUCGGCUCAAAUAAGUGUAAAAUGAAAGGAAUUGUUCCACAUUAAAAUUGGUCAGGCUUGGAAGUCCGCUUGGUGUUAUUUUGGAAGUGUUGGGUGAAAUCGGAGCGAAAACGAAAAUUUAGAAUUUUUUUGUAAGGAUACGGGCUGAGAAAAUUAGCGUAAAAUGCAACAGUGUCAGACAAAUUUGAAAAUUGGGCAAAGUGUCAGGAACAUUAUUUAUGAGCUAGAUUGAAGUUUCAAGAUUUUUUCUGACAACCCGUAGAGAAGAAUUGAAUCCGAAAGCUAUCGGAAUAAAAGGAAUUUUUUUUCCAAAGUUUUCGUAAGUUCGCAGUGACACAAACGGGGUGCGAAACUGAGAAUGUUAAAAUUUCAGUGGAUUAUUAAGUAAAAACGAUCAUUCUCCUCUGCCAAAAUUUGAGCUCAAUCGGACCUCGAAAAGGGCUUACGAACGUAUAUAAUCCGUCGACUAAACGAGUAAGUUCCGAGGGCAUUUUGGUAUUAGCAUAUGACCUUAGUGAAUUCACUAACCUGGCAAGCCAGGGCCAUCCUUAUCCCCUGGCACCUCUUAUUGCAGCAUACGUCUAGAGAAGAGAGGAAAGCAAGAGCAAAGGGCAGGGGAGAGAAAAAAAGAGAGAGCAAGAAGAGAAAGGAGAAAGAUAAGAGAACAAAAGGAGAACAAGGUAAAUUAUAAAUCUCUCGACUCUCUCCCCCUCUCCCUGGCUCGGUUGUAAGCAUAGCAGGCCAGACAGCAGGCAGUGCAAGCAGUAGCAGCAAGCUACAGCAGCAGGCUGCUUCAGGGCAUGCUGCAGCCAGCAUCAGCAGCAGCAGGCUGCAGCUAGCAGCAGGCAAGCUAGUAGCCAGCAGCAAGAGCAGAGCACAGGCAGCUCAGCAGCUGCUGCAGAGCAGCAGCAGCUGCAGCAGCAGGGCAGCACAGCCUGCGCCAGCCAGGAGCCAGCAGGCAGCAGUGUAAAGCAGCAGCAGCAAGCAGCUCCAGCAGCAGCAGCUGGCAGCUUAGGCAGCAGCAGCACAAGCUGCUGCAGCAGCAGCAGCUCAGCCAGCAGCAGCAGCAGUAGCUUGUAUAAGCGCAGCAGCAUAUGCAGCCACGCAGCAGCAGCAGCUGCCAGCUUAGCAGCAGCAGGGGCAGUGGCAACAGUGCACAGGCAGCAGCUGUCCCUACAGGGCCAGCAAGAAAGACGAAAACAAAAAAGAAGAAAAGAGGAAGAAAGAAGAAAUAAAAACGAAAGAAAGAGAAGAAGAACAAAAAGAUUAAAUGAAAUAGAGAAGAAAAGAUGAAUCGAAGUAUUGACCAUUUUUUUAAGCUAACUGAUUUGAGGUCCUGGGCUAAUCAAGAGUUGAAAUUACUCUAUUGAUGAAUUGUGAAAUUGCCAUUCGAAAUAGUGUUAUUUUGAGAAAACUGACCCUGGCAAAUGCACUUUUGCAAAAUAAGAGUCCUAAUGCGAAAUUGACGGCGUGUAACCAAAUGAGGAAAAGCAAGAUGCGUUGCUCGAAGUCCGGUUCGGCAAUCGACGAACCUACGCAAAGAUAUGCGCCAAAAGAAGUUUUCGGCUAUAGUUGCCGCUUAUACUCGCAUUGAAAUGCCUAACUUGUAAAAUAUGAGUAAUGACUCUAGUUACAUCUUUUAAUCUCUUAUAAGUUAAAGUAAAAUGCCAAGAGUCUAAAUUGACUUUCCGACAGUCGACGACACCUUAAUUCCGGUAGAGCCGCGCUCUAAUACUAUUUGCACGAGUCACGGAGAUAGUGUCCGACGCUUUCCGAGACCAUGGAUUCUAGUUGAUUGACACCACUUACACAGGUGGUGGUGCUAUCUCGAACUCUUUGAAUCACCUUUUAUAGUCUAAUAUUCUUCGAUGAGAACAUCAUUAUAUUUGUAUGUCAGCAUAUGGGGUUUGGCAUUGAGCGAUGUGAAAAUGUGAAUUCCCAUAUCAAGCAAUAAGAGAAUGUUGUGGAACGCUUAAUUGUGGACAUAGAACCCUAAUGAAUGCAUGGACGCAAACAAUACGUAAACUUGGUGACAUCAUGAUAUAGGAUUUGGAAACUAGUUAAGAACUAGUUAGAGUUAAAUUACAUUGUUGUCAGUUGAUAUCCAUACUAAAAGGGGAUCAGCAUCUUACUCACCAUAGUCUGUUUCUUUAGCUUGGUGUGGUCGCUCCCGACCCAGGCAGUGAGCUCACGGAGUAGUCACUGUUGGGCUAACGUACUUGCCCUAAAAAACAUGCAGGACUAACGUACUGUCUGACAGACGGUCCAUCGUGAGGGGGCACUAGGGGCCGUGAGGGAUUUCGUUGGUGAGUUAUUGUAACACAAAGGUUUUAACCACUGGCAUUGGGUAAAUUAUGGACUAAACGUACUUGUCAGGGCGUUAAACAGAGGUUCACCAAAAGAUUGGGUAAAGUUAAUUGAAAAGCAUGCAUGCAUAUUUACCAGUUUCAAUCUGUACUUCUUUCAGCUUUUACUAGGCAUUGUAGUACAAUUAAUGUUAUAUGUUUGGUUAGCUAUCUGGCUUACUUUUCUGCCUUACAUAUGGCCUGAGUAGACGCUAGGUGGUGAUCGCGAAGUCCGGCAGCCGAACUCCACUGGGAAGCUUUCUUGUAGCUUCUCACACACUAACCAUAACAGCGUUCCAAGUGGCGAAGUUUUGAGGGUGAGACGUGGGCCAAGGGCCCUGCAAGCUUAAGCUAGGCUGACCACAGAGUUUAGCACCAGUUACCAUGUUUGAGUCAUGUAUACAUUCUCAUUUUGAUGUACAGAGACAUGUAAUGAAUGUAUAAAAAGCAUGUAAUAACUAAAUGUUUCAGUUAUGUAAAGUUUUAAAUUACAGUGGAUUUCAUGUUUAGUUAGACUUACUAUCAGCUUGUGUUGUUGCUUGUCUUUGUGCAAGCCAUGUAUAUUGAAAAUGUGAGCCUGGAAAUUGUUUAAUUUCUUUAUACAUGUUCAUUCGUUGUUGUCCGAGCCUUGGCGAACAGAGGGAGGUGCUGUCGUUCGCGUCUGUGUACGGGCCCGUCGACCAAAUUGGCGAUACGGACGUGACAGAUAAAGUGGUAUCUAUAGCAAGUAUAGAAAAGUCCUAAGGAAUGACCUAGGGGACUUAGAUUGGAAACCUAGGAAACCAGGAAAUCGCGAGUGCGUGAAUUUAAUGAUAGCGAAGCCAACAAUUGGGUUAGUUGUUACAAGUCUGCUAAUGUUAAUUAGGGGCUGAUGCGCUGAAGUGCUUAUUUAUAUGGGCAAGCAAAAGAGUUAGUGUUGAAUGCCACAACACAUAAAGCUAAGGUUGAGUAAUAAAUGACUUGAAUUGCUUUCGCCUGUUGUUUGUUUUACUAAUGGAGUUUUGAAAUGUUCGUUCAGGAGAAAUGCCACCGCGACGUGUAACGAGAUCCACUCCGGCAUCACCCUUUGAGGUGAGCCAGAGCAGUCUGUGGUCGGAUGAGGUUCAGGAGCUUGCGUGCUCCAAGGUGAGCGCGUUAGAGGGCUAUGCAGAGGCAGACGGAGAACAUAAGAGGUUGCAGGAAUUGGUGUCGCAACAGGCGGACGAACAGCAGCUUUGGGAAGUCAGGAUGUACCUUAUCGCGGAUCCGCCAGUGUAUUAGCCCCUCCCUCCAGUUGAAUUAUUCUCCGUGGUCUCAUGACGCUUCUAGUUCUGAUUCGGCGCGACAACGCCGAGCACGAGCGAUCCUUAUCAGGUAUGACGCGUUCAUUGCAGGUUUUAAUCCGCCAUGUUGACGGGAAAGAAGCCGCGAUCUUGGGUAUUGGAGACGUGGCUUUCAACAUCGAUGGAAGCCUUGUUUUGAGGAUUUAUAACCCUGGAACAAUGAUAAGGUUAUUUGCAAGCGCACUGUUUGAGCAAGGAUGCCAGAUUUUGUGGCAAAAGGCAAGAAAAGCUCAGGUCUAAACACUUCAUCGCAUUACCUGGGAGGAGUUUAUGAGAGAUUAUUCAUGGAAGUACUUACCCAGAUAGCGACAGAAGAAAGUUUGAAGGAUAGAGUGUAGGAAGUUGAGACAGCGGGAACCGUUCGGUACGGGAGUACGAAGGGGUUUAACUCAUUUGGUGAACCUGUGUACCAGGCAUGGUUCAUACUGAUAGAGAUCGAGCAGAGUACUUCGAGCGGGGUUACCUCUCUCUCUCUCUCUCUCUCUCUCUCUCUCUCUACCUCUAUUCUCUCUCUUUCUCCCCUUUCUCUGUCUGCUCUCUCUCUCUCUCUCUCUCUCUCCCUCUCUCUGCCUGCUCUCUCUCUCUCUCUCUCCCUCUGUUAUCUCUCUCUUUCUCGCACAAGGCCCCCGCAAAACGCGGGGAACGCGCCGUACAAACUCUCGAUUCAAGAGUUAUAUAGAUAGAUAAAGUAGAGUUCGGGCGAAAUCAUGGAGGAUUUUUUGGUAAGAACAUAUAAAAUAUAUUAUAAACGGCGUAUUUCUAUAUGCAGAAUAUAUACGAUAUUGCAUACAAAAAUAAAUGUUAUUUUUUUAUCAUAUUUCUUUUAUUGUACGUGCCAUAUUUUUUUCACAAUUGUAAAUAAAAUCUGAAUCUACAUUGAAUAUUCUAGUGUAUAUACACAAUUUAUAAUAUUUUUCUGUAAGGCAACAUUAAAAUUCUGUGUUUUAUAAAUUAAGUAAUACAAUGUAGCAUUUGAGCAUCUCUAGUCUAUGAAAUAUAAUACUCUACUACUUUAUUAUUUAUUCACAAAAAGUUAAAAUAGAAAACACAAAAAAGGUGAAAUGCUAUGUUUUUAAGCAUAAACUAGUAACAAUUUCCGUGAAAUUACAAAUUAAUUGUCUUUUGUGGAUGCAAUAUUUCUACAGCUAUACACAUAAAUUACUUCCAACAACUGAGAUCCAUCACCGACUGUUCCUAGAGCAAGUGACAAAGGGCUUGGUGGUUGGUAUCGAGACUCAAGUUCGAAUUCUAGUUGAUUCACAUUUCCAGCUAAGUUUAUUCUAAAUGAAAUAAACAAAGCGGAUAGCGUGCUACCUUUCUCUCAAAAAAAAAACAACUGAGAUCCAUCUAACUGUAGAUAUACAGAAUUUACAUUCAAAAGUUAAGAUCUAUGUUGUUGUAAAUAUACGAUUUAUGUGUAUCAAAUUAAAUUAAACAACAGUAUUCUUCAAAAAUUUAAGCUGAUAGAGUAUGGUAUUUUUUUUUUUAUAUUUAACACUCGCUCUCCCAUUUGGACUCGAAAUCUUUUAAUAAACCCAUAAUAUGCACUUGUAUUAAAUAUAAAGAAAUAUGAUGUGAUUCAAAUACAGGAUCUCCAUCUGAAGCUGAUAGAGAACGAUAAUAUUAUAUUUUCAUAAUUAACAUAUAAAACAUGCUCCCACCCUUGUGAUAAUAUAUCUCUAAGGACUUGAUAGUUAGUAUUUGAAGUUUUAAGUUUGAAAUAUUUUUUUUUAAUUUUUUUCUUGAGUAUUUAUUCUCUAGAAUUUUCUUUAAAAUAAAAAAGAAAGGGUCAAAUGCAUACAGCUCCCUGCAAAUAUAGCCAAUUGCGGAUAUAUUCCUGCAAAAUCGAAACUCCAUAAGUUGUCCCUGCAAAAGUUUCAAGUUAUGCAGAUAUGUCCAUGCAGUUAACAUCUGUUAAUAAGCUGUUUGUUUUUUAACAGCGAAGUCGUGAAAUGACCAUUUUACCCUCACAAAUAUAUCCCUCCAAAAGUUUUCCUCUUUCCCUUCUCUUUCUUUUCCUUUUCGGACCGUCGAAGCAGACGACGGCGGCGGCGGCGCGGGGUCAGGUUCGCCGGCGACGAAGAAGAGGGAAGAACGCCGGGGCACCGGAGCUCUACCCGGAGCUCGUCGCCCUCAACGCCAUCCCCUCCCUCGUCGGCCUCCUCGGCCACCACAUCGCCGACAUCGCCGUCGACGUCGUCUCCCUCUUCAUCGACCUCACCGACGCCGACGUCCUCGGCGACCACGACGACCCCGCGCACGCCCUCGUCGCCGCCCUCGUCGACAACAACGCCCUCGAGCUUCUCGUCAAGAAACUCGUCCGCCUUUCCUCCGAGACCGACCCCGACGAGGUUCUUCUCCCUCGCCGGUGACGAAGAAGAGGGAAGAGGAAGAGGAUGAAGGAAGAAGGAAGAAGAAGGGAAAAGAGGAAGAGGGAAGAGGAAAAGGAAGAGGGUUCUCCACCGUCGCCGUCGUCGCCGCCGCAUCUCCUGGCCGGCGACGAAGAAGAAGGAAGAGGAAGAGGAGGAAGAGGAAGAAGGGUAAAUACGUCAAUUCACACUAUAAUUAACCAUGGUUAAGUAUUUUAACCAUGGUUAACGAAAAUUUUCUAACAGAUCUGGACGGUAGGGACAUAUCUGCAUAACUUAGGACUUUUGCAGGGAUAACUUAUGAAGUUUUCAAUUUGCAGGGAUAUAUCCGCAAUUUAUUAUGUUUGGAGGGACGUGUACGCAAAUAACCCGAAAAGAAAAAACAUGUAACUCUUUAACAUGACCUCACUGCUUACGUUUGAAAGAGCUAAUAAAUAAAGCCACUAGAACUUAAUUGCACUACAGCAGGUGGGUAUUUAAGCUGCAUUUGGUUCGGAUAUAAAUAAAAACAGCUUAUUUUAGGAACAAGUACAAGUUUAUGUAUAAGCAAAAAUUAAAUCAAUUUUUUGUUCAGAGGAAAAUUAGAUUGUUCUUGUGAAUAAAAUAAAUAGUGUUUGGAUAGUUAGAUUAGAGCAAGAGGAAUAAGAAUUAUAAUUCUAAAUUAAAAAUAUUUAUCUAAUUAAUUAACAUCAAAAUAUUAAUUAAAAAUAAUUUAAUAAAUUAAUAAGUUUAUUAGCUGUAAAUAUUGUAUAAGAUAAUAAAAGGAUAUUGAUCAACUAAUUAAAUAAAAAAAUAAUUUAAUUUUUUAAUUAGUUAGUAAAUUAUUGUAAUUAAAUAACUAGUAAAAAAUUAAUUAGAUUAAUAAAAAUAUUAAUGGUUGUUCAAUAUAAAUGUUAGUUUAUGGAUAAACAUAUUAAAUUAUUAAUAAUUAAUUAGUUAAUUAAUUACAAAAUAAUAAAUUAAUUAAUCACUUUAUUAUUUAAACAAUAAAUAAUGAUUUAAAUAUAAUAAUUAAAUUAGUUAAUAAUUUAAUACUGUAAUUAAAACUAAAUUUAAAUUUUAAUUAAUUUUGUUCCUACCCGGAAACAAAUUUGUUCGCGGAAAAAAAUGGUGGAACAAAUUUGGACCACCUUUCCUAAAGCUAGCUAGGGGGAUCGAUGACAUGCCCUUUGUUAGUACUGGAAAUGCUUCUUUCUUGUACUUCCGACAUGUUAAUCACAAGGACCAUAAAUUAAAUACUAUCAUUAAUUUAUCAAACAAAAUAUUAAUUAAUUGCUCUCCAAUUUGUCUGUUUGGCGGUUCUGAUGCACGGUAUAAUAUGCUAGCUGAGAUUAAUCUUUAAUCGCGAGAGAAGUACCAGCAUUCUUAACUAAUUAUAAUCUCCACAAACAGACGCAGAGCUAAUAUACUUUACAUCGACGAAACACAAGCAUACACACUACAUCGCAGCAAACAGUGAAGCAGAGUCGGAAGGCAAAGAUGAGAGCGUUGAGUACUCGAUCAAAGAUUCAUCACCAUCAGGUGGCCUUUCUCCUGCAGGCUCUUCACGGUCUCAUAGAGGCAUUGCAUCGCCGGCGUGAAUUCGAGGCCAAGGUCCUUCAACCGCUGGUUCGAGAACUUAUACGGUUGCUUUCGAGGAUUUAUCUCAUCUGAGCAUCUGCACAUAUAUGUAUAUACACACACACUCUUAAAACUUAGUAGUUACAAAAAUGUUAAUGAACAAUUAACAAUAAUUAACAAUAAUCUCAGGGCAUUUUAAUGAAAUAAUUGGAUUAUGGCCUAGAGAUUAGAGAGGGGGACUUCAGGUGACCUGGACUUAACUCAGUCCAACAAAUUUACAAGAAAAUAAAUGUAGGAUGAUGAUCCCUUGAAUAAAAUUACUAACUAUGUGGCCGUUUUAAUCGCCACGUAAUUUUGUUAGGCUUCAAAUUGCUACAAAAACUAUCUUAUUCCUUCAAAUUUUGAUAAUUAAGUAUACGAAUCAGAGAAUAAUUAAGUCACGCUCGACUAUAUAUCUUUGUUUUUUGUUGCUUUUUUCAUAAAUUAAAAAUAGAAAUGAUUUUCUUUGUAUUUAAAAUUUAUAUAAAAUUAUGCAACGCAUACACGGUCAAAACAGUUGUAUAAUUAGUAAUUUUGAUUAAAGAAAAAAGGCUAUAAAAUUCUUUGAAAAUUUUAAUAGAUCCAAUUGCCAAAGUCGGAGUUUAGAAAUCUUUAAAAAAAAAGCUAAAUUUCAAAAUGUGUUAAUACACUUUUUUUAAUUUACAAAAUUGUACCUAAACCAAAAAAAAAGAAAAGAAAAGAAAAAAAAAAAGCAUGACCUCAUUAACUAUGUCAUCACCUCACCUAUAACUCACUCAUAUUUGUUCCUGAAUAUAGGUCUUAUAUAUCAUUACCAUUUACUAUUCUUCUUUAACAUUCCAAUCAAAAUAGUACUUUAAUAAAGGAUCACAUGUAUAUAUAGUGAAUAAAAGUGAAAGAUGCCUUACUAAUUAAUAAAGUUACAAUCAAUCAAGUUAAAGCAGAGGCAAUAAUUGGUGGAAAAUGUUUUGCCUAGUUAGAUAUCACCUACCCAUAAUUAGUGACCACCACCACAUACAACACCAAAAUUUGGCAAUGAAUUACUAAUCAUCUUCCUUUAGAAUAUUGUUAUGGGUAGGAAAGAGAAAUGUUAGGAAAAUCCCCAACUACUGGCCAUUUUGAAAACCUUUAUGUAUCAUUUGAUGAUUUUACUUUGCCAAGUUGGUGGCCAAGUAAAAGCGAAACCAGUAUUUAGUUAGAACGUGUACAAAAUUAACUUACCAACUAUAUUAUGAUGAGAUACAGAGGAUUUUACUUGGUCACCGACGAUUCUUAUGUUUUGCAAAAUAAUUAUUGUUACAAUUAAUAGUUAUCAAUUGUAAUUGUACUUAUUGUUAGAAAGGAAAUAAAAUCUAGUAAUGCCUCUAUUGAACAAGCCUUAUAACUAAGAUAAAUGACAAAACAAAACUGAAACCUUAAUUUCAGUCAUUGAACACUUCUUUUUUGCUUUUAAAAAAAAAAAAAAAAAUGGAAUUGGAAGCUUGAUCUCCUACAACCCCAUCAAUCUUGAGUUCUCAAACUUUUAAUUUGUUGCAAUAUUUGACUCGAACUUUCAGAAUUAUUGCAAUCAAAUCCUAUAGCCCAAUUUUAGCAACUAAAUGUUGAUAAUCACUAAUGUAGGGAUAACGUAAUAGUGGUGCGAUUGAUGAUGCAUCAAUAAUUACGAUGUCACAUCACGUUACAUCAACGAUACAUUAAAAUUUGAUCAACUAAAUUGGAUUGUAAAACUUGAUUGCAAUAUUCUAAAAAUUCGAGUAAAAAAUUACUACAAAUUAAAGUUUGAGAAUCAAAGCGUUACCGACCACAUAGUUUGGGGACUUGUCCAUAAAUAAAUGAACAAUUAAGAUUAAACGUUUGGUUUCCUACCUAAGCCCCAGUAGGUUGGCAUAUUUUCUGUCACAUAAACUUGAUGAAUUAAACUCUUUUUGGAACUUUGGUUAGUUCCUUUUGUUUUUUCUCUUCAAGAAACAAAUUAGGUGACAACCUUAUAUCAGUUUGGUACAACCGAAUCAUUCACUUGUACAAUCUUUUUUUAUUAGUAGGGAAAACUUCAAAAACCCUCCCUGUGGUUUCACACUUUUUCAUUUUAGUACCAUGUGGUUUAAAGUUUAUCAAGUUAGUACCCUGUGAUUUCUCACUUUAUCACUUUAGUACCCUGUGGUUUAAAGUGUAUCAAGUUAGUACCCUGUGGUUUUGCACUUUAUCACUUUAGUACCCUGUGGUUUCACACUUUAUCACUUUAGUACCUUGUGAUUUAAAAAACCACAGGGUACUAACUUGAUACAAAUUAAAACCACAGGGNAAACAACGAUUUCAAGUUCUGUUUUGAUCUGUUGCAUCUUUUAAGAACACUUUCUCUAAAUAUUUUGUGUUUUCUAAGUUCAAGCCCUUCAUUCUUUGUUUCAUUAAUUGAUGUGUUAUUAUCUACUUAUCUCUUGGUAUUGCCAUUCUGGUUUCUGAAAAGCUUUAGUUUCUGUAAUUUUUGUGACCAUGCUAAUUCACUCCCAUGAUUUCCAUCAGGAGGGUUGAAGUGUAUAAGUAUUGUCAUCCAUUGAUACUCGACUGAUCUCAGUGUCGAAGCUCAGGACCUUAUGCUCUGAUAUUCAUUGCUCUGAUAUUCAUUGAUAUGACCAUGUUCGCAUGCAGCGUGUGUUGAUAAAUUUUUUGUAACAAAUUAGAUUAGCAAUAUAUCGUGGGAAAAAUUUUUGCUCCGACUGUGUAUUUCUUGUGGCGUGCAAGUGAACAAUACCUGACGUGACUAUGAAAAAGUUGUAAUGGAUUAUGAGAAUUGUAUUUUCCCUUUCCGGAAAGAGUACGUACAGUGAAAGCAAAAUUGUUUCUCUUUAAUUAAUUAGAUACAUGUUGUAUAAGUUUUGCGAAUUAUGAAUCUGAAUUUUGGUGUGUUUGUUCUCGCUACUGUGUUUUGUUUUAUUUUAUUAAGUGAAAUCUGUUUUCUUGCUUAGUCAAAUUAAAUGUUUGGCUUUGACAAUUCAAAAUGUUUUAUUUUAUCGUAAAGGGGUGUUUGGUUCCUCUGAAAAAAUAUUCUAGAAAAUAGUUUUAUAGCCGAAAAGGUGAACAAUAUGUGCUAGGGCUUUUUUUGCAUUUAGACCCCUGACAAAUUUUUAUUUUAAAAAUAGCCCUGUCAAAAUUUAAUUUGCAAAAAUGGCCCUCGACCUGCCACGCAGGCGCCACGUCAGCGCCACGCGGGCAGGGCUGUGCCCGUGUGUUAAGUUGAACACGGUGAACCAUUCACCGUGUUCAAACACGGUGAAUGGUUCACCGUGUUUAGUACGUAUUUUUUGUUACGUAUUUUUUGUAUAUUGAAAAGUGGAAUAAGGAGUAGGGAUGUCAAUAGAUAUGGAUAUCCGAAAUAUUAUUCGAAUUCAAACCCGAAUAAAUUAUAUAUAUAUAUANNNNNNNNNNNNNNNNNNNNNNNNNNNNNNNNNNNNNNNNNNNNNNNNNNNNNNNNNNNNNNNNNNNNNNNNNNNNNNNNNNNNNNNNNNNNNNNNNNNNNNNNNNNNNNNNNNNNNNNNNNNNNNNNNNNNNNNNNNNNNNNNNNNNNNNNNNNNNNNNNNNNNNNNNNNNNNNNNNNNNNNNNNNNNNNNNNNNNNNNNNNNNNNNNNNNNNNNNNNNNNNNNNNNNNNNNNNNNNNNNNNNNNNNNNNNNNNNNNNNNNNNNNNNNNNNNNNNNNNNNNNNNNNNNNNNNNNNNNNNNNNNNNNNNNNNNNNNNNNNNNNNNNNNNNNNNNNNNNNNNNNNNNNNNNNNNNNNNNNNNNNNNNNNNNNNNNNNNNNNNNNNNNNNNNNNNNNNNNNNNNNNNNNNNNNNNNNNNNNNNNNNNNNNNNNNNNNNNNNNNNNNNNNNNNNNNNNNNNNNNNNNNNNNNNNNNNNNNNNNNNNNNNNNNNNNNNNNNNNNNNNNNNNNNNNNNNNNNNNNNNNNNNNNNNNNNNNNNNNNNNNNNNNNNNNNNNNNNNNNNNNNNNNNNNNNNNNNNNNNNNNNNNNNNNNNNNNNNNNNNNNNNNNNNNNNNNNNNNNNNNNNNNNNNNNNNNNNNNNNNNNNNNNNNNNNNNNNNNNNNNNNNNNNNNNNNNNNNNNNNNNNNNNNNNNNNNNNNNNNNNNNNNNNNNNNNNNNNNNNNNNNNNNNNNNNNNNNNNNNNNNNNNNNNNNNNNNNNNNNNNNNNNNNNNNNNNNNNNNNNNNNNNNNNNNNNNNNNNNNNNNNNNNNNNNNNNNNNNNNNNNNNNNNNNNNNNNNNNNNNNNNNNNNNNNNNNNNNNNNNNNNNNNNNNNNNNNNNNNNNNNNNNNNNNNNNNNNNNNNNNNNNNNNNNNNNNNNNNNNNNNNNNNNNNNNNNNNNNNNNNNNNNNNNNNNNNNNNNNNNNNNNNNNNNNNNNNNNNNNNNNNNNNNNNNNNNNNNNNNNNNNNNNNNNNNNNNNNNNNNNNNNNNNNNNNNNNNNNNNNNNNNNNNUUCACACUUUUUCAUUUUAGUACCCUGUGGUUUAAAGUUUAUCAAGUUAGUACCCUGUAGUUUCUCACUUUAUCAAGUUAGUACCCUGUGGUUUUGCACUUUAUCACUUUAGUACCCUGUGGUUUCACACUUUAUCACUUUAGUACCCUGUGAUUUAAAAAACCACAGGGUACUAACUUGAUACAAAUUAAAACCACAGGGUACUAAAGUGAUAAAGUACAAAACCACAGGGUACUAACUUGAUACACUUUAAACCACAGGGUACUAAAGUGAUAAAGUGAGAAACCACAGGGUACUAACUUGAUACAUUUUAAACCACAGGGUACUAAAGUGAAAAAAAUUGAAACCACAAGGGGGGUUUUUGAAGUUUUCCCUUAUUAGUAUUAAUUUAACUUUUGUUUCCUUCAAGCGCAUGCAUGCGCAAAAGUGUUCUCUGUAAUAAAUAUUUCACACAGAAUUAUAUCAAGCCAAUACUAUUGAGAUGAAAAUACUUGGUUAAUUGUUGUUGUUUUUAUACAAAAUAUAUCCAUCUGUUACGAAGAAAAGUUAUUUCCCACUUAACCUUUCCACUCUCUGAAUUAACCAUCACUUCUCAUCCUAUAAUUUCUAAUACAGCUCCUUAGAAGCUAGCAAUUCUAUUGCAACCUAAAACAUAUGUAGAGAGGCCAACUGUUCCUAGCCCAAGCGACAAAAGUAUAUACAAUGGUUAGUAAUUGGGGAUCCCAGUUCGAAACAUAGUUAUUUUAUAGUAUGCUACUUUUUUAUUAAGAGAAAAAA
Molecule: long non-coding RNA, 98099 nt
Filed under: Ananas comosus (pineapple)
Lineage: Eukaryota; Viridiplantae; Streptophyta; Magnoliopsida; Poales; Bromeliaceae
Description: long non-coding RNA (ACOM_LNC029687)
Source: RNAcentral